This 97872-nucleotide long non-coding RNA is filed under the name Ananas comosus (pineapple). Its description in RNAcentral is "long non-coding RNA (ACOM_LNC026411)". Lineage: Eukaryota; Viridiplantae; Streptophyta; Magnoliopsida; Poales; Bromeliaceae. The record is from RNAcentral.
AAAAAAAAAAAAGUUUCCACCUCUCGAUUAAAAAAUGACACACAUUUAAUUUUUUUUUGAAGUAUCUAGAUCUAAUAGUUUCAGUUUGAGACAUGUUAAAGAUGUCUGUUCAUAAUCACCACAUCAUAAUCAUCCACCCUAAUAGAUUCGAUUUGAUCCCUGCUAAUAAUCUGUUAGUUGAAGCAUUUGAUGAGGAAUAGCCGUAUUUUGCAUGAAAUCUAUGAGGAUACUACUAAUUGGUAGAGAUUUAUUGAACCAUCUUAAAUCAUGUACAAGGUAAUUGACAACCACACUUCUCUUUAUUCUUAUGGUCAGUAGAGAUGAUGCCUCUGGUUGUCUGUAUGCUCGUGUUACUUUUGUUAGAGGCCCUUUUUUACUUGGGUACUUCUGGCAUAUGAUGUGCGCAAAUGGUGGGAUCUAAAUCAUAGCUUGCUCCGAUUAUAUAGAUGUUAUGCUAUUCUCUUUCUCAGAUCUACACUUUUUCCUCAAUCUUCUUAUGUCAUAAUUGCUUGCUGUUUGAUUUCAUUUCAUCUCUCUCUCUGUCUACUUAACUUCUUUGUUCUUUUAAAUAUGUUAAACCUUGUCUGAUUGUUCCCUUCUGGGAUUCUGAUUAUUGAAAUACCAAGAAUCUAUCUUCAUUUUAUUCUUGCAGAAUAAUGCUAUAUUAGCUAGACGCUUCCUUAAUAAAGAGUUGGACCCAGUUGUUAUCUUAACCAUGUCUCCAAAUGAGCUAAAGGUUUGCUCUGGUUUCCAGUUACUUCUUCAAAAUUCUUUUAACUGCAUCAGUCAAUAGUCAAUAGAGAUUAUAUCUUUGGUAGCUUGUUAGGAAUAGCCAGUAGAUACUUGACAUUAAUCAUCGAAGAAGAAAGAAUGUUUAAUUUAUAAUCCUUUGCUUGAUUUAUGGCCCGAAGUUGGUAGUUUGUUGGGAUUCUUUUUAGUUGUUAAUGGUAAGACUCUUUCGUAUACUUUCUUUCAGUAUGAAGGACCAGAAGGCCAUGAAAGAUCAUCAGUACAUAUGAGAGAGGCUGUUUUAUUGACAUAGUCGUAGGAAACAUCUGAGUAGGAACUUUUGACUAUUGCUAUGUAGCUUGCAAUUUUUUGUUGCCACAUUGAGAAAAGUUUAUCUAAGGGAAAGGAUUCCUGUAUCUCCAAUAUUUUCAAAAAUAUGGCAUGACAUGUAUAUGUGGAAUUUCUUAUGCAAUCCAUGCACAUCUACAACAGUUUAGACUUUGACUUCAACUAUUGAUUGCCAUCUUAUGAAGUGUGAACCCUUUUUUAUCCAUUUAGCCUUUUGACUUGCAUAAAAUACUUUUUCAAUCCAAGCCUGUCAUGCUUUUCCGUUAACUCUAGUAUUUUUGUGCUUUCCUCCUGCUAAAAGUGCCUUCUUUUUUAUAUUUCUACUUCUAGUGGUGCACGUAUCUAAGUGUUUCUGGGUUUUCUCUCCUUUGAGCUUAUCAGGAUGGGUUGACUGCGGAGGAGAAAACAACAAAGGAACCUGAAGAAUCAAAACAGUUGCAGGUAAUUAAGCUUAUACCUAUAUCUUUAUGAUAUGAGCUGAAUUUUUCAUUUCAUAUCCGCAACUUUAUAUACUGCGAUACAAUUUUGCAUCUGCUUAUCUACGUAACAACUAUGCUGAAUAUGAAAUUCUAUUCAGCUGUUAAGUUGUAGCAUUUCUAAGCAGGUUUCGCGUGGCUUGAUGCACGAUGUUCAAUAUGUGCGGAUAAGAAAGUAGGAAUCUCUGAGAUUAUUCGCGCCGGUGUCAUGGGGAUCAAAAUCAGGUAUCCAACAUAUUGUAAUUACUUUCGUCGGUUCUGGUGCAUUUGUCUCGCAGUUCUCCUUCCAUGAUUUUAAUAAAGCUAGUAGUUUAAGGGGAUAUCCAAUUUUUGUGCACAAUCGACCUUAACUUGUCCAUUGUGAUGAAUUUUCUCAGCUCGAGUGCAUAGCAUGUGGUCAUACAUGGUACACUCCUCGAGAUGCCAUCUCAUCACUAACCAUCGACACUCCAAACAUUGUUGGAAAUGCGGGCACAGCGCCAUGGGCCACCGCCGAAUUCGAGGACGUCGAGAAGAAGCUGGUUAGCCCCCGAGAAGCAGAGAAGCCUGCUGUUGACAUCUUUCACAAGUCAACUGCGGCUUAUAUGCCUGUUCUGGAAACCCAAAAAUCGUUCAACAGAUCAAAGACAGAAGAUACUGCUAACAUACAUGCAACAAAUCGUGAAUAGCUUAUCGAUGGUCUUCUUUUUUUAAGGGCCACUUUGUUUCUUGGGGGCCACUACGGGGAAAUUGGAGGUUUUAGUUGAGCAAUCUAUAGAAUUAGCAUCUGUACAGCACUCACAUCAAACUUCUGUUGUAUCUACGAUCUUAUGCCACCAUUGUGAUAGUUUUCUUUCGUGUACUGCUUCUUUCUGUGUGUACCCCCUGGAAAGAUGAAAUUUGCUUGUAUGACUUUCAUGCGGAAUUCGACAUCCCAAAAUAAGUAUUUGUUAUUGUAGUGAAUAUACUCAAUAGAGUUAGACUUUAAAAUUUAAAUGUUUUAUAUAUUUGAUAAAAAAAAUUAUUCACUUUAUUUUAAAAAAGAUCUUUUGAUUUUAAAAUCGAAUAAUUUAAUUAUCCAUUUUUGAAGGGUCAUUCUAAUUUGGUUAUAUAUAAUUUAAAUCCAUUUGAUAGACUUAAGUGUAAUUUUUAAAAUUUAUGAUAUUUUGCUUUAAAAUAUUUUAAAUGUUCUAAGUCAUUAUUAGCAGUUGUCUCGUUAUCUAGAGGUUUUAAAUCAACAAAUUAAAGGCUUUAAAUCAACAAAUUUAUAGGUUGAUAUAUGGCAUUUGCAAGAUGAUCCAAACCAAAUAAAAUUUUUAAUAGGAAAAGCCUUUUAUUGUUCAUACAAGAUCAAUGCACUUGGUUUGAAAUUCAAUAACCAUAUGAUUGAUUUUUUUUUUUUUUUUUUUUUUGCUAUUCAUUUCGAGACGGCUCAUUUAUAAAAUUGAUGAAUGAUGAAAAUUUAUAAAAUUUAAAUUUUUAGACACUUUUAAUAUUCUAAAUCAAGUUUGAUAGUAUCGACCAUCAAAUCAGCUGUUUUAUUAUUGAAAUUAAAAGUGAAAAAAGAGAGGUCUCUGUGUUUUUGCAAGUACUCUAGAGCUAAACUCAUAAUCAAGUUUAAGUGAGAGAUUGAAAUACAUUGAAUUUUUUUACAGCCUAUUCACAUAAAAUCUAUGAAUUAUGAAGGGAAGGAAGAAAAGCUUUUAAUUGAAAAAUGCUACGUGUACAUUUCUCAAAAAAGUGUAAAUUUUAUUCCUCUUUAUUGUAAAAUUCAUAAUUUUUUAAAAAUUAUUAGUACUUAUUAAAAAAUUAAUAAAAUAAAAAUUAAAUAUUAGUCCGGUCUAUUUCGUUUGGUUUGGGAAUAGGGAUAGGGAUAGGCCCUUAUCCCCCCUUUUAUACCCAAACGCUAAUUUUUUACCCGAGAAUAGUAGUUCUCGGUUAUCCCCACCAACACCUCUAUUUUCUAUAUAAAACUUUCUAAUAUUUUUCUUAUCCUCGGGAACAACCCAAUUUUCAUCCAAACGCUAUUUUGCUUAUCUCCAUACUUGUACCUAUCCCUAUAAUAACUAGUUCUUGCUUAUACCCGAACCAAACGGUACCUUAGUUUAUCCAAAUCAUUCGAAAUAUUUUGUCUCUCACGAAAAAACAAAUAUAAACUGACGCUUCUGGCACGACGAACGGUGGGACCAACGCGGCACGUCAGAUUACGGCUUAUACUUAGUUGCUCGAAUUGCGGAAAAAAAAAAGUCGGAAAUUAGCGCCGAUUGAGGGACUUUUUUCGAAAAUAACCCUCUGAAAUUUCGUAAUUGGCAAAAUAACCCUGUAAAACUUUUAUUUGUGAAACUAACCCUCCUCUCGCCACCUCAGCUGCCACAUCAGCAGUUCUCACAAAGACGGUGACUCAUUCACCGACUUUGGCGCAACCUUUUGAAGACGGUGAAUGGUUCACCGUCUUCUCAGGCCUGCACCAUUCACCGUCUUCUCAGCAAUUCCCGGGGAGCUUAGGGUGCCUCGAGAAGACGGUGACUCGUUUACCGCCUUCACAAAGGCGGUGAAUCGUCUACCGUCUUAUCGAGGCCACCGCCCACUCAGCAAUUCCCAGCGCGGCGCAAGACUUUCUCAGCAAUUCCCCGCGCCUACGGAAGACAGUCACUCGUUUACCGCCUUGACAAAGACGGUCAAUAGUUUACCGCAUUAUCUGAGGGAGUUUACCGUCUUCAGUGUAGAACUCCACCCAGCCUAAUUUCGCUAAGUCCUGGAGAGGGGGGCUAAAACACAGAUAAGACGGUGACUCGUUCACCGUCUCGUUCAGCGUCUCAUCUGGACUCCACUCAACACGGUUAACACCGUCUUUAGUGUUGGACUCAUCGAUAAAACGGUGAACGGUCUACCGUCUUCAUUAGGCGGUGAACGAUUCACCGUCUUAUGAAGACGGUGAACCGUUCACCGUCUUCAUUAGGUUACCCCACACCACCUAGCGUGGCAAAGGACGUGAAGAAAACCGCAGUAUAAAUCAGAACGGAAGUAAUUGCCCUCUUAAUGAACUGUAUACUCUAAACUUCAUGUUAAUGCUACGCGGCGUGAAUCGUAACCUUAUUGUGUUCAUACAACUGGGCGCAUACAGAAUUGAGACUUUAUACAACGUAGGAAUCCUUGGCUACGCACAUUGGAGGUCCCUGUAGGGAGUUGACACGUAAAGUGACAUAUUCAACAAAACCAUCUAAAGUGUUGAAAGUAGACUUGUAACACUCNNGUUAAAUUAGGUGGUAGCACUAGUAGAAGUUACAGUUGCCGAUCUAGUAAGGUUAGCAGCAGGAGUACUUAACCACGUAGUAGGACUAAUGACAGUAAUAGUUACCCACGUAGGAGGACUACUGGUAGUAAUCCUUAUUCAAGUAGCAGGACUAAUGGCAGUAAUUGUAGAGGAAGUAGCUGUUAUAAUAGUUCUUGAAGUAAGGUUAAACAUAUCCCACAUCUAUCGGACGUUAUCCAGGGCUUACAAAUGAUAUAAUCUAUUUUAAAAUAAAUGAUAAUUAAUUUAUUAGGUUUAAAAGAAAUGGGGGUUAGCAUUAAAAGUAAUCCACAUACUUUAUAGGACCGAAGCAGUGCACUGUAGCUCCCAACGCGUGCACUGCAGCUGCCAACGCGUGCACUGCAGCUCCCAAGCCGUGCACUGCAGGUCCCAACGCGUGCACUGCAGCUGCCAACACGUGCACUGCAGCUCCCAAGCCGUGCACUGCAGCUCCCAACGCGUGCACCUCUGACUGAGACAGACGUCAUAAAUAUUAAUAUUAAAUAGUUUUAUAAAGUAUUAAUUUUCUUUAUAAGUGGAUUUAGAACUCUAUAAAAUGACUGGAACAGUAAGAAUGCAGACCAAGUAAUGGUUGAAGUGCCAGUGGUUAAUGUCGUAGGCCUUUUGGGUGUAGCUACAGUAAAACAUCGUCCGAACACAUUAUUGGAACGCUGACUAUAACACAGAGGCUGCCUAUAUUUAGAAAGAGCUACAUAUCGCUGUGUGUAGGUAUUACAAGUCUGUUAGGUUAAUUUGGGAGGUUACUAAGUAGUAGAUGAUAUAGUACUAGUUAUAUAAGUAAGCGAGGGUAUCCCGUAGCUUAAAACAUAAAUUCUGUUGUAAGAAGAGAUAAUGUUAAAUGAUUUGCUAUGUAAGAGGAAAGUUUUAAGCAUAUCCAGCAUAGACUUGCUUAGCGCUAGUUAAAGAAAGCUGGUGGCUUUAUAGUCCCUGGUAAAGGUAGGUAUUGAUUGACAGGUAGGGUUACUUGUGAUUCUCUGUAGGCUGCUGAUCGGUAAAAUUGAUGUGUCCUUUUUCUUAGGAUUAAUAAAGGUUGCUGAUCGUUAUUUGGAAGUUUUCUCCAAAGAUAUCAUGUCUUAAACUGAGUUUGAAACUGUGACUACGUGUUAUUACACCGAACUACACGUAACUUUCCACUCAUUUUCGUAGUAAAACAUUAUGACAGGGUAACGUGUUUUAGUAACAUACAUGAUUCAGGAUCAAACUAUUACACUGCUCAAUUUAAGAUCAGAUAACCUGGUUUUGAGUAGAGGUAAGAUAUAAAAAAAGUUUGUUUAUUAUGUUUAUAUCUCAGACUGAUGAUAUAAAAGCCGGCACUUUAAGGGGCGCAUCAGACUUAAGAUAUAAAAGCUGGCACUUUAAAUGGGAAACUAGUAAAAGUGGGCAAUCUAGUAUGAUAAGUUGGUUGUUGAGUAAAUUGGGAUCCCUUGGUAUUAAUGUCAAUGUAAUUUGGAUGUAAUUUGGAUGUAAAUGUAAAUGUAAUGUAAUGUAAUUUUGAUCUAAAUGUAAUGUGUUAAUGUCAUGUAAUUUGGAUGUAAAUGUAAUUUGGAUGUGAUCUUUUGUGUGGACUCUCUCCCUACCCGUCGCUGGAGCCGUUCCCGCCGCCGCCGCUGCAGCCGCUGUUACCCGCCGCUGGAACCGUGCCCGCCGACGCUGUCCCCCGCCGCUGGAGCCGUGCCCGCCGACGCUGUCCCCCGCCGCUGGAGCCGUGCCCGCCGCUGCAGCCACUGUCCCCCGCCGCUGGAGUCGUGCCCGCCGCCGCUGUCCGCCGCCGCUGCAGCCGCUGGAACCGUGUCCGCCGACGCUGUCCCCCGCCGCUGGAGCCGUGCCCGUCGAGCACCUCUCUCUGUCUCUCUAUCUCUCUCUUUCGCACUCGCCCUUUAUCUUCCCUCUCCAUAGAGCCCGAGCCAGNAUUUUUGAUUUAGAUAACUUAGACUUUGUAUAAUAUUAUAUAAUACUGAAUUUAGUGCAUAUUUGUAUAUUUCUCGGGGUUUUUUUUUAUAUUUUUAUCUUGUUGAUUGUAUCUUGUUAUUCCACUCGUGAUCUUGUGUUUCUUGUUGAAAAAUUUGUUAUCGUGAAAAAACUUGCGUCAAACUUGUUGAAAUUUUGUUUAAAAUCAAGCUUAAAACAGUAGGUGGUGCUGUUUGCCCUAAAGACGGUGAACCAUUCACCGUCUUUAGUGCAAAUACACAAAACCGGAGAAAAAAAGGGCUAAGUCCUGGCAUUGGUUUACGCCUAGAUAAGACGGUAGACAAAUCACCGUCUUUAUUAAGACGGUGAACGAAUAACCGCCUUAUCUGUGUUUUGGCCUCUUCACCGUCUUUAGUGCAAAUACACAAAACCGGAGAAAAAAAGGGCUACGCCUAGAUAAGACGGUAGACAAAUCACCGUCUUUGUUAAGACGGUGAACGAAUAACCGCCUUAUCUGUGUUUUGGCCUCUUCACCGUCUUUAGUGCAAAUACACAAAACCGGAGAAAAAAAGGGCCAAGUCCUGGCAUUGGUUUACGCCUAGAUAAGACGGUAGACGAAUCACCGUCUUCCUUAAGACGGUGAACGAGUCACCGUCUUAUCUGUGUUUUGGCCUCUUCACCGUCUUAUCUGUGUUUUAGCCCAACCACAACUUGGCCAAUUUACUCUGAAGACGGUGAAUAGUUAACCGUCUAAUGAAGACGGUAACCCAUUCACCGUCUUAUCUGUGUUUUAGGCCCGCUCUCAAGGACUUGGCCAAAUAGCUGUUUUAGGCCCCCUCUCAAGGACUUGGCCAAAUAGCUGGCUAGGGAGAUAAGACGGUAAAUUAUUUACCGUCUUUGAGAAGACGGUAAACAGUUAACCGUCUUAUAUAGGCACCUUGUGCCACGCGGGGAAUUGCUGAGAAGGUGGUAGGGUGCGCGGGGAAUUGCUGAAAAGGCGGCAUGCUACGCCUAGAGAAGACGGUUAACGAUUUACCGUCUGAAUAAGACGGUUAACCAUUUGCCGUCUUCAAGAGGUACUUAUAGACGGUGAACGAAUCACCGUCUUUAUGAGAAAUGCUGAUCUGGCCGCUGAGGUGGCGAAAGGAAGGUUAGUUUUACAAAUAAAAUUUUCACAGGAUUAGUUUGGCAAAUAUGACAUCCUUCGUAUUUAGGUAAACAAGUACUAAACAAACAGAGAAAAUGAAAAAAGAAAAAAGAAAAAGAAAACAAACAACAUGCCCCACCCAGUCCACUCACACUUUUCCCCGCCCUCCCACCCCAAUUUUGUUCCAUUCCAUUCUUGUUCCACCCCAAUUUUGUUCCAUUCCAUUCUUGUUGCUUUCACUAUUCCGCUAUCAUCCUAAUAAUAAUUAACCAGCUAAUUUCAAGAAGAGAAGAAAAAAGGAGGGAGGAGCAGCAGCAGCAGCAGCAGAAGUGAAGUGAGAUCGGUCGGAGGACGGAGAGGGGCUUAAGGGGAUGGGAUCGGUGGGGUCGCAGAAGGAGACGGAGGUGGUGGUGAGCCAGGUGUGCUUCGGCGGCUUCGACGAGGGCGUCUCCGCCAGAGAGCUCACCGACUUCCUGCAGCAGCAAGUUGGCCUCAUCUGGCGCUGCCGCGUCAAGACCUCCUGGACCCCGCCCGACUCCUAUCCCGACUUCUUCUUCUCCUCCUCGGACGACGUCGAUGAUGCCUCAUCAUCAUCAUCAUCAUCAGCUGCAGCAGCCUUCUCUUCUUCAUCGCCGACUAUUGCUCCUACUACUGCUUCGGUCAGGGACAAGGAUGACUACCCCAAGGUGGUCCCCCACGCCUUCGUCCACUUCGCCUCCCCCGACGCGGCCAAGCGCGCCAUGAACGCCGCCGGCCGCUGCGACCUCGUGCUCGGGGGCCGCCCCCUGCGCGCCCACUGCGCCGCCGAGAGCUCCUUCCGCGUCAGCCGCCGCCGCACCACCGACCCCUUCAAGUUCUCCGACGUCCGCCUCGACAUCGGCUCUCUCCUCGCCCGUGACGACUUCUGCGCCAGCUGGACCUGCCCCUCCGGCUCCGGAGCCGCCGAUUUCGUCGUCGACCCCUUCGACGGGCUGUGCAAGAUCCUCUUCGCCAGGGAGACCGCCUUCGCCUUCAAGGGCACGCGCGACGCGGCGACGAUCCGCUGCGAUUUCAAGAUCGAAUUCCUGGCGAGGGACAUCGCCGAGGUCAGGCUGUACACGGACCGAGCGUCGCUCGCGAUGCUCCUGCAGCUAACCUCCGCGCCUUACAUAUCCUACCGGACCGCCGACGACGACAUCUAUACCUCCGUGCCCUUCAACCUGCUCGACGACGAGGACCCGUGGAUCCGCACCACCGACUUCAGUCCUACCGGUGCCGUCGGCCGAUGCAGCUCGUACAAGAUCUCACUCUCCCCUCGUUUCGGUGGGAAGCUGGAGAGAGCGCUGGAUUAUCUGAGGAAGCGCAGAAUUCCGGAUUACCGGCCCAACCGUCAGCUAGUGGUUCGGCCGGAGCCCGACUUCGGCUUCUCGCCGGCAACCGAUCACUUCUUCUCCAUCCAUCACGCAGAGGGGGUCGGCUUUCCAAUACUGUUCCUGGUAAAUGCGUUGGUUCACAAGGGUAUCGUCAACCAGCACCAGCUCUCCGAUCAGUUCUUCGGCUUGUUGAGGGGCCAAAACGGUGUGGUAAAUGAGACCGCGCUGAGACAUAUAUGGUCUUACAAGCGCCCUAUAUUUGAUGCCUAUCGAAGACUGAAGCUUGUCCAGGAGUGGCUUCUGAACAACCCCAAACUCCUCAGAAGCUCCAAGCUAGCCGACUACUAUGCGGAGGUGAGAAGGCUUGUUAUAACUCCCACUAAAGCGUACUGUAUUCCUCCGGCAAUUGAACUCUCCAACAGGGUGUUGAGAAGGUAUAAGGAGGUCGCUGAUAGAUUCCUGAGGGUUACGUUUACCGAUGAAGGAAUGCAGCAGCUUAAUAACAGCGUUCUCAACUACUACGUUGCGCCCAUCGUCAAGGAGAUCACGUCAAACUCGUAUCAGCAGAAAACUACUGUGUUUAAGAGGGUGAAGAGUAUUCUAGAGGAUGGUUUCUACCUGUGCGGGCGCAAGUACUCCUUUCUUGCAUUCUCGUCCAAUCAGUUAAGAGACCGCUCCGCCUGGUUCUUCGCAGAGGAUAGCAAGACGACAGUUGCAGCCAUAACCAAAUGGAUGGGCAGGUUUAGUGACAGGAAUGUGGCAAAGUGUGCAGCUCGAAUAGGGCAGUGCUUCUCGUCCACAUACGCAACUGUAGAAGUGCCGUUGAGGGAGGUGAAUCCAGUGCUGCCUGAUAUUGAAGGAAACAGAUAUAUCUUUUCUGACGGGAUCGGGAAGAUCACUCCUGAUCUGGCAAUGGAAGUAGCUGAAAAGCUGAAGCUGACGGAUAACCCCCCCUCUGCAUACCAGAUAAGGUAUGCCGGCUGUAAAGGUGUUGUCGCUGUUUGGCCAGGAGAUGAAAUUGGCAUCCGGCUUUCUCUAAGACCGAGCAUGAACAAGUUCGAGUCCAACCAUACUGUAUUGGAGGUCGUCUCAUGGUCGAGGUUCCAACCUGGUUUCUUAAACCGGCAGAUCAUAACACUGCUCUCAUCCUUGAGUGUUCCCGACUCUGUGUUUGCCCGAAUGCAGGACUCGAUGAUCUGCAAGCUAAAUGAGAUGCUUGUGGAUACUGACGUUGCAUUUGAGGUCCUGACUACUUCCUGUGCGGAGCAAGGGAACACGGCAGCAAUGAUGCUGAGUGCUGGUUUCAAGCCUCAGACUGAGCCGCACUUAAAGGCAAUGCUCUCUUGUAUAAGGUCCGCACAGCUUGGGGACCUGUUGGAUAAAACCAGAAUCUUCGUUCCCAAAGGAAGGUGGUUGAUGGGUUGCUUAGAUGAACUUGCAGUGCUCGAGCACGGACAGUGCUUUAUUCAAACGUCGAGUCCCUCACUGCAGAACUGUUUUAUUAAGCACGGCACUAGAUUUUCUAGUACAAAAAUGAAUAGGCAAAUCAUUGUAGGUGUGGUGGUCAUAGCCAAGAACCCCUGUCUUCAUCCGGGUGAUGUUCGGAUCCUUGAAGCUGUCGAUGUGCCUGAUUUGCAUCAGCUCGUGGAUUGCCUUGUUUUCCCUCAGAAGGGAGAUAGGCCCCAUGCGAAUGAGGCAUCGGGCAGUGAUCUUGAUGGCGAUCUGUAUUUUGUCACAUGGGACGACGAUCUUAUUCCUCCAGGGAAGAGAAGCUGGGUGCCGAUGGACUACGCUGCGGCUGAAGCCAAAAAACUGCCACGAACAGUCUCUCCACAGGUAAGUCUUCGCAUAGGCUUAGCUUCUUGUUGAUCUUUUUCCCUUAGCACAUAUUAAAUUUUUUUCUCUCUCUUAGAAGGAUUAAGCAAGUUGUGUUGCAUUGUGUUGCUUGCGUUGUUGCUUGCAUUGUUCUGUUGAAAUGUGAGUACUUUAUGCCUAGUUUGCAAGAAAUAGCUCUUAAUUAUGUUUCAGGCACUUGAUUAAAGUCGAUUGGUAUAUUUGAUGAAAGUAGUGGGAAACACUUUUCCUUAUGAAGAUUGCAGUGGCCUACAAAUUUGGGUCUUUUGAUUGAGGGUGCUUGUAAUGUUAGUUGCAUUAGAUAGUGGAGAAAUUUGACCGGCUGCUGGAGUGCUGGGUACUAAAUAUAUUCUUCAUUAUUUUGUGCAGCAUCUGAUUGUUGUUAUUUUUGUUGUAGUGCACUAAUUCUUAUCAGAAUUAGCACUAAUUCUUAUAAGAAUUACUUAUUCACGUUGAUCCAUUGGGCCGUAGAUUAUAUCAUUGUACGUUGGUUUCCAUGUAUCUCACCUUCUGUGACUGGAUGAUUUUUUCCUUUUCAGCCCGGAACAAUUCAUUGGCUUCAUGUCUCUAUAUAUUUCACACAUAUAAUGCUAUAUAAGUAAAAAUGAUUUCAGUAACAGAAAUUCUAUGUUGUGGCUAACAGGAUAUUAUUGACUUCUUCCUGAAGAAUAUGGUCAAUGAAAAUCUCGGUGUUAUUUGCAAUGCUCAUGUUGUCCAUGCUGAUCUAAGCGAAUAUGGAGCUAUGGAUGAGAAGUGCCUCCAGCUUGCUGAACUGGCUUCUACUGCAGUGGACUUCCCCAAAACAGGCAAUUUUGUUACUAUGCCGCCGAAUCUCAGACCUAAACUCUACCCCGACUUCAUGGGGAAGGACGAUCACAUGUCCUACAAAUCAGAAAAGAUAUUAGGAAAGCUGUAUCGUGAGAUCAGAGAUGCCUCUUGUGAUGAUCCAUCAUCAUCAUCAUCUGCUGCACAAGCUUGCUCAUGGGAGGACGUAUCAUAUGAUAUGGAUCUCAAGGUUCCUGGGGCAUCAGAUUACCUGUUUGACGCCUGGAAUUGCAAGUGCGCCUACGACGGGCAGCUAAACGCAUUGUUGGGCCAGUACAAAGUUUUCUCAGAAGGGGAGGUUGUUACGGGGCAUAUAUGGUCGAUGCCUAAAAAUAAUAGUAGGAAGCAGGGAGAGCUCAAGGAGCGCCUCAAGAAUGCCUACGCUGCGCUGCGCAAAGAAUUCCGUAAUGUAUUUGAGACGGCGGGACCACAUUUUGACGAACUGUCGGAUGACGAAAAGAGUGUGUGGUAUGAACAGAAGGCGUCUGCGUGGUACCAAGUCACUUACCACCCCAAAUGGCUUAGAAAAUCGUGCGAAAUGCAAGAGCCAGAGGGGGAAAUGGUCCCUGCAAGGCUGUCGUUUGCCUGGAUCGCUGCAGACUAUUUGGUGCGCAUCAAAAUAAGAUGCCAAGACAAAAGCAAAUUGGAUCAACAAAGACCUGUCGAUGUGCUUGCAGUUUAUCUCUCUGAGAGGAUAUGAGGAGUUGCUUCUGUUUUUGAAACAGUUCCUCCUUUGGUACAGCAAGACCCCUCUGCCAUUUUUUGGGUUCAACGUAGCAGUGAACCUUGCGAGAAUACCUUUGUUGCGAUAUUUUGGAUAAACUUAAACAUUCUUUUUGUAUGUUGGUCUACCGUAACAAGUAGAUAUUUCUGCUCUGUUGUGUAUUCAGCUGUUCUAUCACCGAUUAUAGACAAUAAUUUAGUUCUUAUUUGUGGGUGAUGUAAUUUAUUGAGAGCUAUGAGUGUGCUUUAAACUAUAAUCUAUUACGCUAUAUUAAUCCUCAAAAUUUUAUUCACGUGGCAGCCCUACCUUCCAUUGCACUCUCCCUGAACCGACUUUGCCCUUUCCUUCGGUCGUUUCUCUCCACUUCCUUGGGCCGUUUCAUUUCUCUUCCCCGUGCGUUGUCGUUUCUUCUUCCUUUGCUACUGCUUCUUAGUCGCCAUUUCCUUUACCAUCUUGUCUUUUUCAGUGGAGAUUCACUCAUGCGUGGAUCGGAAUACCCGAUCGCGGUGGUGACUGCCUGAUUUGGUGCGAUCCAAGCCGAGGGCGCCAACUCUACAGGCUCCUCUUUGGCUUCGGCCAACUUCGCCAUUUCUUCAGGAAGAUUGUCUAUCAGUUCAAAUCUAAGGAUGCAAAUUCAAUCGGUCCAAAUCCAAGGAUGUAGAGGUAAUCCUAGCUCUUGAUACGUGCUAAUUGUUUAUAAUCGUUUUUCAAAUUUACCAUUUUUUUUGUUCUUUGAUCAUUUUCAUCCAGUGGGAAUCUGGAACAUAGCCCAAUUUCUUCUCUAACCAGGUAAUGGUGACGGCGCGAGUGAGAGAGGCUAAAAUGCCCACGAAUGGAUUGAAGCUCACAUGUUCGAUGAAAUGUCUAAGCAAACAAUCAAAUUACUUAGCGUUAGGUAUUUUCCUCUUCCCUUUGUUAAUUUAAUAUUUGAUUCAUCUUUUGAUGUUGAUAUCUUGUAGCAAUUGAUUCAUCUGAUUGUUUUGCGAAUUAAUGAGAUGAGAGCCCUUUUCUUCAACUUCUACAUAAUUCGAAAUUUUUAAGGCCAAAAACUUUUAAUUAAAGGAUGGAUGAAAGAAAAGGAUUGAAGAAAGAAAAGGAUUAGAGAAAGGUUGAGAUGGUUUCGCUCUUCUCCUACUCUCCCAACCUUUUUAAAAGGUCUCCUCAAAUAUCUAUUGAAUGAGUGGUAUCUUUUGUUGCUGAAUUUCAAGCGUUUGAUGAAAUGCUUUCUUUUGUGAUGGGCCAAAAGCAUCACUGACCCUCUAUUUCCUGCUGCACUGGGUCACCCGGUAAGCUUUUCUUCCUUCCGGCAGUGUGCAAAGAGAGCUCCAAGCGAGUUCAAUUUGUUUUUUUUGCCAAUUUCAGUUCCCUCUCCUCACAUGGAUUUGAGCUGUCCCCGAUUUCUUUUGAAUAUAUGUAGUAACGUCUAAUUUUUUAAAAUUUCUCUCUUCAUUUUACCUUCUUUUUUUUUAUACAUUCAUAUAUACAUGUCUAGCACUGCAUAUCUAUGACUAUAUAUUAAUCCCCAAUAUAUAUUAUUGCUGUACUAAAUGUUUGAAUAGAUAUCUCUAUAAAGCUCUAGCAUUCUUACGACUACGCUGUGUUUUCUUUUUUCUUAUCUUUAUUUUGCUAUUUGCCUUCCCCAAUCUAUCAUUUGCAAUAUUAGAAGACUACUCAUACUCUAUAUCUCAUUCUCAUUAGAAUAUCAUUUAUUGUCACAACUAUAAAUUUAUAUAUGAAGCUAUUUAUAUCUUAUAUUUCUUUUGAUAAUACUUGGUUAGUUAUAGCUAUAAUUUUCUGAAGUGCUAUCUAAAUUAGCCGUUUGCACCUUGAAUGUCACUUGAAUUAUAGUUUUGUAUCAAACAAUUUCUUCAUUGGUUAUUGUGCAUCAGUGGCAAGAGCGUGGGAGUGCAGGAACCGAAUUGUUUGCCAAAAGAUCUUUUUUUCCGAUGCCUUUGCUUACCAAACAAAUAAUAUGCCCAGAGUAGAUUCUUUGAAAAAUAAGAAAGUCAAAUAAAUUUUAAAUCUAAAUUUCUUUGUGUGUGAUGUGACUAUGUCUCUGUAAUGGCCCAGACGACCCGCAACCCGUCGACGACGAGAUGUUGCUGAGACGUGGACGGCGGGGAGGAUGAGGGGCGCCCGAGCUGGAUUGCUUCUACUGGAUUCGGGUAAAAAAGGGGAAAUUGGGAGGACUUGAGGAAGAAGUCUGGAGAGUUGGGGGAAGUGAGGGAAGUUGAGAGCACAGGAGAGGGUUACGGAUAGAGUUAAGAGAGAGGGGAGAAGAGGAAGAAUUGGGGAAGAUGAAAUUUGUAAUAUAUUUCUUCACAUCUGCAAGUUACAUGGCAUUCCUAUAUUUAUACUACUUAGCAUAUUCGUACUGAAAUGUAGUUAACUAGUAUCUGAAGGUUAACAACAAAAAAAUGGUAAAUUGGAGUGUGGGCUGGCUGGACUGCUAUUUGAUGGUUGAGGGGCCUCCGCCUGGGCUCGCCUGGUCCAAGAACGCCUGAUAACGGGUAAGUGGGUCUCGGUUUCUUCUUCUCCGCACUAUCCAGUGCCCAGCGGGUCUUGGGCUCGCCUUUUCCGCCCGAUCCGAGAUGUGGAUCGCCCGAUCCGCCAGUGAACGGGCAAAAGGGUACCGGUUCGCGCCUUUUCCCUCCGAUCCGCGACUCGGACGCUCCCUCCAUCAGCACCGAAGUGUUACUACUUCCUCCACUUCCUAGAUUCGGUCGGAUCUCUCUCUCUCUCUCUCUCUCUCUCUCUCUCUCAAGAUCUCCACCUCCUCUCCACUCCAAGUAUGCCCUAAUUCCCUUUCUCGGUUCAUCUCUGUCGGCUCGCCGGAACCCUCCUUUCGACCACUCCGCUCCACCUCUUGCUGUCAACAAUUAUUUCUACUUAGUAAGCUACCUCAUUUUCCACCCCUUUCUACUAAUUACUAUUCUGUUUAUUUGCAGGCCUUACAGUCUCCCUCUGCUUAUAUGACUGCUGUUGUAUGAAUAUUGGGCGUUGAAUCUCUGGUAACCAAGAGGGCUUUAGACUGCAUCCGAUACUUUUGGUGUCCGUCCUAGCCUGCGGAUUCGUUAAUCUGGUAAGUUUUCAUAGAGGUCCAAUUCUUGCCAUUUCCAUUGAACUACAGUAUAGUUGCUGCAGUAUAUACUAUCACUAUUCUCCUGCAAAGAUCCCAAUUUUGCGGAUAAGCAUGCACCAAAGCAAUCAACAAAGACGCCUAAAUUACUCUGCUCCCUGUACCAAAUAAUGAGCCUCAAAUAUAAGUGCAUUUGUUGUAGGGAUGAGUAGAAGCAUCGAUGUGUCUUAUGUAUACAAAGUGCCUAACAGCUUUAAUUUGGAAGCAAAGUAAAUGGAUGCUCAUGUUGUGGUGUCCCUCCUCGUGAGGGAGUUAUGUGCAAAAUUGCACAUAUUUUGUUGGACCUAUUUUAUUGGGUUAUGUUGAAGCCAUUUGGGCUCAUGAGUCAUUUGGGCUUCUGGGCUAAAUAGUUGGGUUAAGAUUUAUUCUUCACUUACUCAUAUGUACAUUGACAAAUGGAUAAAGAAAUAGGGUUAAUUACACCAAUGGUCCCUAACUUUUACACUGUUUUUUAAUUUGGUCCCUAAUCUCUUUUUUUUUUGCAAUCAAGUCUCUAAUCUCUUGAUUUCAUUUCAAUUAAGUUUCAAUCGUUAGAUAGUUGUUAAAAUUGACGAAAAAUACCACGUCAGUAUCCUGUCAGUGUCAUGGAGGCGCCAUGUCAGCGCCAUGGUGGUGCUGUGUCAGUGGAUUGUAAAAAAAAAAAUUCGGGACCAAAUUAAAAAACGGUACAAAGGUUGAACACCAAUGGUAUAAUUAGCCCAUUAAAUUUAUAAAUUUUUUUAAAAAAUAAAUUUAAGAUUUAAAUUUUGAUUUUGGAUCCAAAUUUAAAUUGGAAUUCAAAUUUCAAUUUUGUAUUUUAUUUUAAAUUCAAAUUCACAUUUGGAAUUCUAAAUUUUAAUUUAAUUUCAAACUCCGAUUUGAAAUUUCAAAUUCAAAAUAUGAAUUUGAAUUCGAAGUUUAAAUUCAAAUUUAGAAUUGAAAUCAAAUCUUAAAUUCAAAUUUAAAUUUUGAAUUCAAAUUUAAAAUUUAAAAUUAAAAUUUUGAAUAUGAUUUUAAAUUUANUUCGAUUUGAAAUUUCAAAUUCAAAAUGUGAAUUUGAAUUUGAAGUUUAAAUUCAAAUUUGGAAUUGAAAUCAAAUCUUAAAUUAAAAUUUAAAUUUUGAAUUCAAAUUUAAAAUUCAAAAUCAAAAUUUUGAAUAUGAUUUUAAAUUUAAAUUUAGAUUUUAAAUUUAAAUUUUGGUUUCAAAACUUUCAUUUUAAAUGUAAAUUGAAAUAUCAAAAUCAAAAUUAAAAUUUUAAGUUUGAAUUCAAAAUUUAGUUUCAAUUAAAAAUUUAAAUUUAAAAUUUGAAUUUCAAUUCAAAAUUUUAAUUCAGUUUUAAAUUCGAAUUCAAAAUUCUAAUUUCUCAUUAGUUUAAAAUUUUAAUUUUAAUAUUAUUUUUGAAUUUAAAUUUAAAAUUUUGAAUUUUUAUUUUUAGGGACUAAAAUAAAAAAUGUGCAAAGUUUAGAGACCUAAAUUGACAUGCAAAAGGUUGCCAAAUAGACGCUAACGUGGCGAUUUCGUUAAUUUUAACAAUUUUUUAACGGUUGGGACGUAAUUGUAAUAAAAUUAAAAGAUUAGAGACUCAAUUGUAAAAAAUAAAGGUUGGAGUUUUAAGUGAAAAUUGGUGCGAAAGUUGGGGAUUACUAGUGUAAUUAACCCUAUAGGAAUAUUAUAACUGAGAUGUGAAAUGAUUAAGAUAUUAUAUCAUUUUUAGAUUAAUAAUUUUUUAAUAUUUAACCAAUAAAAUUGAAUCGUGAGAUUUGAUUGUAACAAUUUAAAUAGUUUGAGUAAAAAAUUACAAGAAGUUAAAAUUUGAGAAUCAAAAUGUCAUGCGUCUCAUAUUUUGAAGAUUAAGAGUGUUACCUUUUUUUUUAUUAUUUGGAAAAAAAAAAUGGUGAUGGCCAAACCGAUUUAUCUGGUGAUAACUGAUGAACCAUCAAGAUUGAACAUUUGCAGGCCUGUCGGCUGAGCCGGACUCUUAUCCGCCCAUGACCAUGAGUGCUGACUGCUGAGCCCAUUACACGGAUGCUAAUCUGGCUCCGCCCCCCAGAUGUGCGCGGCGUCGCGGGCGACCCUCGCCCUUCGCGUCCUCUGUCACCGCCAAUCCCCUUCCUCCGCUUCUACUCUGCUGUCUUCCCGAUCCCGAUUGCUUUCGCCGCUUUCCCGUCAUUUUUUUCUCCUCCUCCACAUGGAAUCUUCCUCUUCCUCUUCUUCUUUCCAUUCCAAACCCUUCUCUUCUGCUUCGGCCUCCGCCUCCUAUUCCUCCCGAAGAAGGUAAUCUCUCCUACUCAAUGAAGAAUAAGGCUUGUUAAAUAUACUCGGAGGCGUUUUCUAUCUGAUUCUAUUCUAUUCGAUCAAUCCUUUCGUGGAAUAUAUAAAAAUUAUUGCAUACAAUGUCCUCCGAUAGAGUAAGUUUUUAGAGGCCACUUUUGAGUAAUAUGGUACUGGCGCUGAAGCUAAAGCUAGUAUACUUCUCAAAAUAAAGGAUGCUGUUCACUUUCACGCCGUUCCUUGCGGUGGGGCAUCCGAAUAGACAAUCGACUCUUUUAAGUUAUUUUAACUUCAUAUAAAUCAUGUUUACUUCAUGUUUAACGGUGUUGACCUUUGAGUAGGAUGCUCUGCCGCCUGUAACAACAUGGAAGUAAAUGAUCCUGUUUACUUCUAGGAGUGUUCUAGCUUUACUCUCCGUGCUGAACUGUUUACUAUCAAAUUGGUAAUGGAGCUUUGUUUUAUUUACCAUGAUUUCUGUUAGGGAAAAAGCGCACUGAAAAUCCGAUCGUAAUUAAAAUCUAACUAAUUUUGUGAUAACGAUAAAAUUAAACUUACAGAUAAAUACUAAUAUCCAAAUAAAAGAUUUAAUUAUCCGGAAGCGUGCGAGGCACUGUUCUAAGAUGUAUUCCCGUCCAUACGUGCGGUAUUAAUCGAAAAUACCGUCCCAAGGUACGACCGGAAUUCCUCCUUCUAUGAGCACGAUUAUGAAGGAAGUUGACGGAAAUUCUUUCAACACCCGACGAUAAAAAAAAAAUUCAAGUGAAUGAAGAUAGUAAAAAGAGAAUUAAAACUAUUUCUUGAAAUUAUCUCUCUGUCAUGUAUGCAUUCACACUGACUAGAAAGCUCCAUUUGGACAUUAAUAUAUAUACAGUGACUAUGAUGUAAUUAGAACGUUGCUUCCAAUGUUCUAUCAGAAAUGGUUGCACGUAAAGCGCGUGAACGUGCGCGGAGUGGAGCGCGCACGGAGCCGGUGCGCACAAAGCGCAAGCUGAACCGUCCGCAUUAAAAUCUUAGAUUGAUUAAAAUAAUAAUAAAUUACAAAUAAUAUUAAAGAAAAUAAUAAUUAUAAUUUUGAAUUUUUUUACUAACAAUUUCUUAUCUGCCCUUCAACUCCUUGUUUUAUUUAUAGCGGGAGGGGAAGGGGAAGGGAGUCCGGCAUGAGGGAAGAUAGGAAUCGUGGGGGAGGAAGUGGCGGUGAUGCAGAAAGCGAGAGGAUUGAUGCUCUUGGCCGGCUUCUGUAAUCUCUUCAUCUCUUCUUAGUUUUCGAAUUGUGACAGAUGAUAUCAUAUUUCUUAUCAUUACUACUAUUCUAUGUGUUCCAUGUAUAUGUAUGUGGUCGAGUUUUGGUUAGAACUUGAUUUUCGGUUUUGCUGAGAAUUAUGUUUUUUUAUAGCAGAAAUUGUUCUCCAUUAACUUCUACAAAUUUGGUAUGUGGGCAACAAAAAUUUAACGAUUUUGAUUUAUUGCUAUCUGUGAUUUGAAUUGUGUUAGGACGAGGAUCUUGCGCCAUAUGGCCUCUGAGCUGAACCUAGAUAUGAGAAGUGAUGGUUAUGUUCGAGUUCGUGAUUUAUUGAAACUGAACAUGACAACUUAUGCCAAAGUUCCAUUGAGAUCCCACACAGUUGAAGAAAUCAAGAAGGUGAGCUGGUGACGCCUCUUUUAUUCGCUUUUUGUAAAUCCUUGGUUAGCUAUAAUUUUUGAGUAUGAAUACUACUUUUGCGUUAAGUGAAACACCGGUGGUCUGAUCUAAGAGACCUCUCUAUCCAGUUGCAAACUGAAUAAAUUGGCUUAGUAAUUUUUCAUACUUUGGUAACCUUAGGCCACAUAAAUUGGCUUAGUAAUUUUUCACCUUAAUUUUUGAUAUGUGAUAUAUUUGGAUUAGGUUGCGUAGUCUCUACGUAGAAAAUUUAAAAGCUUGUAUAUCCUAAUUUUAUUUGUAUAUUUAUGUGAGUGAAUUCUAGAUCUUCUUUAUUGCAUUGAAUAACGGCUCUAACAUAUAGACUACGCCACUGUCUACAUGUCAUCUCCUUUUCAUUAAUUGUGUUUUUUUUUAAAGUCAAAUCUUAUGAUGUUGUAGUUUUCUGCUGAAUGUGAACAUAAAUGAUGCAAAUUUUGGUAUUUUUUGCAUAUAAGAUGUAUUGUGAUUGUCUUAUCCAUUAGUACUCUAUUGUUUUCUCUUGGAUAAGGAUACCAAAAUAUAGUGAGGCACGAGGCUAGAGUCUGAACUGAAUAAUCUGGUGGAACAACAUUAAUAAUGACUUAUAGCAUAAUUGACUCGAGCACUUUUUCUGCAUGUAUUUAAAGACCCUUAGGCUGCGUUUCGUUCAGGGAUAAUGAAUUAGGGGAUAAAUUAUUUAAUUCCUGUGAUAGGCUGCUAUUCCGGGAUAGUUAGGAAUAUAAGAAAAAUUGUGUUUGGUUUGUAAAACUAUUGUUCUUUAGAAUAGCUGAAAGUGUGUUUGGUUAAUUUGUUGGAAUAGCCUAGAAUAGUGAGAAAAAGUGGUGGUUACAUUUUUUAAAAUACCAAUUUUGCCCUUAGCAUCCUUCCAUAUAUAUGCUUAAUAAUACAAAAUCAAGUAGCUGUGGACAUUUACAAUAAUAGAACGUUUGAUACACAAUUUUACUUUCGAUUUAAUUCUGGUAGUGACAACAUCUGAAGAGUACAGUGACAACAUCUGAAGAGUACAUAAUUAAACUAACGAACUUUAGCAAAUUAAUUCACUAUUUAAUUAUACCAAAGUGCUCAAAAUCUACAAGAAACUUUUUAAUUACGUAUAACUUAACAUUAUAACAAACCACAAUGCUAAGUAUAAAUUGUAAUAUACCUGCAGAUCGCAAGAAAGCAUGAAGAACAAACAUCAUAUUUAAGCUCUACAACUAUGUAACUCAACAUUUAACUUAAACAAAGUUUUUAAAUUGAAAUAUCUGUGAGCAACUCACGAAUGUAAGUAAGAAAACCAAAGAUAAGCAUCCUCCAGUUACAAAUGUUUCACUAACAGCACAAAUUAAGUUGCAAAUUUCGAGAAGAGAAAUAAGUUCAUACAAGUAGAACAAAAGCAUGUUCACGUAAAAUUUAAACGCAUCAUGUCCAUUAUUGCCUCUUAUCUGUUGUUCCAAACUUCUGUGAUCAUGGUGCGAAGGGUGUCACCUCGUCGAGACUCGUCUGGGCCAACAGUAGGUGACGAUUCAUCAACUUGGUUGUCCGUGGGCAAUGGGUCCAGUUGCAUGUUGAAGUAUCGGUCGGUCUCUUGGUGCCUCUUGAUGAAAUUGUGUAUGACACAAGAUGCAAGGGCAAUGCGACACUGCACUUUGUAGGAAAAGGGUGUUGCUUGUCGGAGCAUCUUGAACUGCCUCUUCAGGAUCCCAAAGGCUUUCUCAACUACAUUUCGCAAUUGAGCGUGAUGAUGAUUAUAUAAAUCGCGAGGUCCUCGUUGCCUUCGGGCUUCUGCGUUUACAUCGAAUUGGCUUAACUGAUAUCGCUCCCCUUGAAACGACGCAAGGAACCAAUCAGUGUUCGCAUAUCCUGAAUUGACUAGAUAAAAUUUUCUUAUACCAAUACAAAGCUUUAUGAAAAUUAGAACAAUAAAAGCUAUAUCACACAUUAACUUGCAAAUCGUUAGUUACCUUCCAGUACUGUGAAACCACCACUCUCGCAACACCAUCACAAUACCCUUAUAUUAGCCGCAGAACCCUCCCAACCGGCGCACACAAAUAAAAACUGAUGGUCGAAUGAACAUGCUGCCAUCAUGUUUUGAGAAGUAAAUCCUUUGCGACACCGAUAUCUUGGUUGCUUAGUCUUCCGUACAACCACCGGUAAGUGUGUUCCAUUAACUGCACCAGUUGCAUUCUGAAAUCAAUAGUUAAAUAAAAUAGUUAGCAUCAAAUAUUGCAUAACUCCAAAAAUUAAAAAUUUUGUUUCCACGAAGUUUUAACAAAUACUAAAAUAGUUGCCUUGAAUGGAUGAAAUAUUGAAUUAUCUUUAAUUCUAGGAUCUACUCCCAUAUUAGAUAGUGGGAGUUGGAUGUAGUCAUGUCUAAGCUCAACCACUCCGCGAGUACAUUUUAAUGCCUACUAAUCGUUUCUCUUGAAUGUUGAAAAGAAUCUGUCAAAACUCUAUUGGCCCCGCUAUAACCUAUUUUGAAUAGAAAUAUACCAAGCAGUUAAAUGCCUAGUGUUUUGUAUAAAACCCCUCCCAGCCAAUUCAUCGCGAAGCCUUAUGAACAUAGUGGUGGUCAUCCUGAAAUGUUGAUAACCUCUAUCAGGAUGUCCAGUCAAUAUGUCAUGAAUUAGCUGAUGGCCUGUGAACGGCCGAGUUCGACAAGGCUGCUUAUAAAUUGUGUCGUGGAGUGAAAAGUCCCCCCCUUUGAUAAGCAAGGCAUGCGCUUCUUUCCAGUAGUCUUCUUCCUCGUCUAAGAAUGCCAUGAGAUCUGCAACGAGUGUAGAUGAAAAAACUCGCCGAUUGAUUGCUCCAACCAUGACUGCAUUUGGAUAAAAUGAAUCUUUUAUAACCCAAUAAUAGUUUUUGUUGAUAUCUAUUGGCUUAGGUAGUAACGCAAAAGAGUAUACAGUGGUUUUUAUCCAUGCCUCCCUACCAUGUGUAUCUAGAGCCCUGCAUAUCAUCAUCACCGAAAGGAUGAAGCACAACACUCUGAUGCUCAAUAACAUUAGCUUAAGAACUUCAAAUAUGGCAAGAAUUGUAACAUAGAUACAGGUUGGUAAAUGAGCUGUAGAGAAGUUAUAAGUAAACUAUAUAGCUAUCGACAUGUGUUGGCUCAGGACGGAAUGAAGUCACACAUGUGCAUGGUGGCUGCAAUACCACAUGUACUGCCCCCCUACCAUUCACGCAUAUGUUUGAUUGCUCAUCAUUGCCAGUUUGAGAAAGCUACAAGUUGCAAGCAAAAUGAAGUAGCUUGCUGCAGUUGCAAGAAUUGUAAUGAAGAUGUGAAAAUCACCAAAGCAGUCACUUUAAAAAGCAUAUGAAAUAGUACCAAAGCAUGAUAGAAGUGACCAGUUGAAUGAUUAAUUAACUUUAAUUCCUCACUGAAAAUUAAAACACAAGCAUGGUAAUAACUACAAUACAACCAAACCAUGUCCAGUCAACAAAUAGAAGCCACAACUACAAUACAACCCAACCAGCAAUUGAAAAUCACCCAAAAGAUUUUAAAUUACACAAUGGUCGGUCGAAGAAUUAAGGUGAAGAUAUGAAUAUCAAGUACUAAACUGCAAUGGGAAAUAUAAAAUAUGCAAUCUUGACAUAGCAGAAAAGGCAAGCUAUUGUAAAUCAUGGACUAGUUCAUUGGUUUUGGAAUAAUUGUACUGCAUCUGCAACAGAAGAUUUCAGCAUAUCACAAAAUUUGCAACUUGUAGCUAUCCUCACCUCGAGUUUCAUUCACUUUGGAACCAGCUCAUUCAUGUGUUGGCUUAGGUCUUAAAGAGCACAAGUAUGAAUGGUGGCUGCAACAGGUUUCGUAUUGCCCCCCAACCGUUCACGCCUGCUGCUCUUUUGCUCAUCAUUGCUGGAGCGAGUAACGCACAGAUUACAAGUCGAGAAGAAGCAAAAUUAUACAUAGUAACUUCAACCAAUUAAUCCUCAAUUUGGUAAAGUUGUAUACCUUUUAUAGAUGGCCAAGAAUCAAAAGAUUCAGGUAACAUAGGAAUAAGAAGCUUGUCACGCCCGGGCUCCAACGGAAGCCCACCCGGCUCGUGCACAGACCCGUGUACACCUAGCACCCCCAGUGCAUACUAGGCGUCUACAAUAACUAUAGUAAGAAGUAGAAAUAAAUCCUAAACGCGGUGAUCAAAGUACAUAAUUCUACCAAAUAAACAAGUCUAAUACAAAUACACAAUCACAAGAUAUACAAUAAAUUUGAACAAAAGAUGCAUCUCGAGUACUAGGAGAUCUCUAAACUAAAGACAAUUGUACAUCUUUCAAAGUAAACCAAAAGAAAGAUGUCAAUGGGACCAUCUAUAGCAACAUCGAGGAGGCUCUAGCUAGUCGCUAACCUCUUGCCACGAUCCUUAUCAUCUCCCGCAGUGAAAGGCUCUGAAACGAAAACAAGCAAUCAAUGGGGGUGAGAACUAUUAAACAAUAGUUUCCAGUAGGUAAACCGCUGAGAGUGGCGAAAUACACCACUAGGUCAACUGAGACAAUAACAGUAUGUAACUGAAAUACAAAACAAUUAGGUAAAAUUUAAACUGAAAUGGUUCAACUGCAGUCACGCUUCUAUGUGACAAGGUCUACUAUAUGAAUGUAGUUCUCUCACUGUUAUAUGUACAAGUAUAAAUAUGCAAGUUUACAUGCAUGUUCAUCUUUAUGCUAUGAGCAAUAGUUAAAGAAAAAUUUUUCAUUAUCAUCGUAUGGCUACACUACUAUACUAAUCAACAUGUGUAUGGAUUUACUACUAUUAUGAUUACCAAUAUAAGUAAUGAUCAACAUAAAUGUCCAACUACUAUGAACGCAUCAAAUAGUGACACAAGGUAAUAACCAACUAGAAUGUCCAUCUACUAUAUAUACAUCAACUAAUUGUAAUGUACAAUGUCAUAAAGCAAUAAUCAACUAGAAUAUUCAUCUACUAUACAUGCAUCAGCUAGUUGUGAUGUACAAUGUUAUAUUUACCUGACUUUUACCCAAUCAGCGAGGGACUUACACAUAGUAACGUCCCGACUUGUACUAUACUUAAUGGCCUCAUGGUAGUCAACAUUCUUCCUCUAGGAAUGGGCCUCUCCCAUUGCAAUCCACUUUAUCAGCGCCCAAUCCCGCAUGGGCGAGCAUGUUGUCGUAAAGACUAAUUCCGAAGUGUCGGCUUGUAGGGAGUGACCCUCACAAACUUGUGUGAAUGAGCACAAAGGCAAAACAAGCGUGGUCAUAUGCAUCAUGUCCAAGGCAAUUAGUCUCCAUCAUCAGGUCUAAAACAUGAAAUCCCAAUCAUCGACUCAAGAUCGAGUACUAUAACAUAUUUGUCAUGUUUCUUUCUCAAUCAACUUGGUGGUCUGUCCCUAUCAAUAUGCAACAUGUCUCAAGCAUGUAAAGGUUUAUAUCUAAUUUAUCCUAACAAUGACGGUUCUAUAUCUCAUGGCAUGAUCCUAACGGGUUACAAAUGUAUACUAUUUUCACUAUAGUAUGUAAGAGAACAAUUUACUAUUGUCAUGUUUAAAGAAUAUGAGGAUGUCAACCAAGUUCAUUUUUCAUGUCAUGAAUGCGUCUUGCUUCAUAAGCCUCCACUAUAUGGAGUAUGAAAUUUAUUAUGCAAGUAAUUACCUCUCAUUUAACUAAGCAAUUAUAUAUAUUUGUCAUUUAUGUCAUAAUUAAGUAAUUCAAUUGAGCUUAAGGUGUUACAUGCAGAUGCUAGCCCAACUAUAUACGCACAUAUAGAUUGCAAACAUUAACAUGCAAUAUCAUAUUUUUCUUUAACUAUAGCAAAUAUGAAAUAUUGCCAUUUAAGUCCAAACACAAUUGCUUCACUAGUCAUAUAGUGUCUCAUAUAAUACUACCAAUCAUCUUUAACAUGCAUAUACAUAUAUAUACUUGAACAAGAGAAGAUUAAUAUUUUUAAUGCAUUGUCAUAUAUUUUGCUAUGCAUGUUAUAGUCACAAGUUCUCUACUACAUAGAGAAGAUACCCUUUCAUAUGUAACAUGUAUAUGUCAUGUAUCCAAAAAUUUUAUGAUGUCAAGAAUAGCAUGAAAAAUCAUCUAUUAGGUCUUAUAGCAAGAUAGGAGACAUAGGGGGAGUUCACCCAUUUCGAUGAGGUCAAACCCAUCGGAUACCCUUCGAAACUUAAUCGUUUUCCUGAUCGAAAUUGUCUACUAGACUUCUAGCACCUAAAGAAAAAUUUUCAAAGGGUUACAAGCUUAUAAAAAGCUUAUCACGAAAUUCACCAAAAAUCAAGGAGAAAAUAGGUGAAAAUUAACUUUGAUCAAGGAAAACUUGUUCAAGGUCCAAAUCAAAGUGAAGGAUCUUCAAAUCCAACCUAAAAGAGUAUUCUACACCCAUCAAUUCAACUCCAAAAACUCAAAAUCAAGAAAUCCCAAAAUAAAUCCUAGUUUAGGUUUUUCUACUAAAAAUUCUUGCAAAACUCAUAAUUGGAGAGAGUAAUAAGAUCACUAACCUCAAACAAGCUCCAAACCAAGCUUCAAGAUGCUAGGGUUGAAGUUUAAUCCACAAGCAAGCUCUUCUCUUCAAUCCCGAGCUCCCCUCCAAGGUCUAAUGGCAAGCUUCUAUGAAGAAGUUGAAGGAAAAGGAUCAAUUCCAAGAAAUGGAGGAGUUGGGAGGAAGAAAUCCAAUAGAGAGAGUGUAAGGGCUUACCUCCUCCUCUCUCUAAGCUCAGCACAAAGUGAGCAAAUGAGAAGGAUGAAGGGAUAUACUAUAUGUUGUAACAAUCCCACCCAUGCCCCUAAAAAAUUCAGAAAUUACUAACAGCACGAAACUACCUUUGCAGCAUUGAGUACCGGUACACGAAUUGGGGUACCGGUAGUCGGCAGUUCCGGUACUAGGGACCCAGGCCCGCAAAACUAGAACGUUGGUUAAAUUGGUUUUCCAUUACGUUCCGGUACUAGCCCGAUGCAGUAUCGGUAUACGGCUCAGUACCGGUACACAGAGCCGAGUUCUGCAAAACCUAAGAGCUGUCCAAAUCGGCACUCUACUGAGUUCCGGUACCUCAUGUUCAGUACCAAUACUCAACACAAAUACUGCAGUUUUGCAGAAUUUGAUCUUCGGAGUCCGUUAUCGCGCUUACUGAGCCUCGAAAACACUCCUAAGCUCUCCAAACUCUGUCAAAACCUUCAUAAUAGUAUAAAGCACUAUUCUCUCACCAGAACUCCGCAAUUUGCAGAAGUUUUGUGUGCUACAAAGCCGAUACAAUGGUACAACCAACAAUGAACACAAGUAUGGCAACAACUGAAGAAACACAGAUGCAGGUGCAAAAAGUGAACUAAAGAAACCAAUAUCAAGUGAUCCUCACUGUAAAAUAAAACUGCAAGCGUGAUAAAGAAGAGAGAGCCAACUUUUUGGUCAAUCAUGGAUGAAAUGAUUAAGUUCAAAAAUACUUCACUGCAAGUUCACAAAAACAAACUUAUAAAAUCAUGUAAUAUGAAACAUGUAGCCGCCACUUACCUCGAGUAAUAUCAAUUGAACCCAAUAGCUGGAGGUUUGAAGAGAGUUGGAGACAAAUACAUGCUGAAGCAGAACAAUCAUGUGUUGGCUUAGGUGAUAAAGGGCACAAGUCUGAACAGUGGUUGCAAUAGGUUACCUAUUGCCCUCCAAACCAUUCAAGCCUACUGCUUCUUUGCGCAUCAUUGCCGGAGCGAGUAACGUGCGUAUUACAAGUUGAGAAGAAGAUGAAGUAAUACAUACUCACCUAGAACCAAUUAAUCCUCACUUUGCUAAACUGUAAUACCUUUUAUAGAUGGCCAUAAAUGAAAAGAGACAGGUUAUAAUAGAAUAAGAAGACAAAACUGCAAGCGUGAUAAAGAAGAGAAAGCCAACUUUUUGGUAAAUCAUGGACCAAAUAAUUAAGUUCGAAAUAACUUCACCGCAAGUUCACAAAAACAAAAUUCUGAAAUCAUGUAAUAUGAAACAUGUAGCUGUCACUUAUCUGGAGUAAUAUCAAUUGAACCCAAUAGUUGGAGGUUUGAAGAGAGUUGGAGACAAUUUCAUGCUAAAGCAGAAUAAUCAUGUGUUGGCUUAGGUGAUAAAUGGCACAAGUCUGAAUGGUGGCUUCAAUAGGUUACCUAUUGGCCCCCAAACCAUUCAAGCCUACUGCUCCUUUGCGCAUCAUUGCUGGUGCGCAAACAAGUGCAAUUGUUCUUCACCCAUCUAAGCAUACUUAAUUUGGUGGGAAAGAUGGCCUUUCUGGUGGAAAGGAGGGUAAAUUAGAAGGGACAGUAGGCCCUGCUGGAGGAAAGGUUGGCGUGCCAAGAGGGAAGCCCGCAAUUGCUGGUGGAAAGAAGGACGGUACAGGAGUAAAGGAUGGAGAUGUUGCUGUUAAAAAAGGUCCAGUAGGUGCAGAUGAUGGUGCAACUGGCCUUUGUCCAGCAUAAACUGUUGCAUGGCGAUUUACCAAUUUAUUCACAUGUACAAGUAUACAACAGAUCAUCAGUCAAUGUCAUAAAAUAGGCCUACUGCGCUCAUCUUUUAGAACCUCACAUAAAGCAAGUAAACCAUCAGGAGUCAAGUGAGCAACAUUGCUAAGCCUUUCCAUACACACCUCUAUGGAAUGAAUUUUUGGCCGAGCUUGUAACUCACGUUCCAUUACAGCUUGUGCUAUUUCUGUUUUUUUUCCCAAUUCAACUAGCUGAUAAAUUGCUUGUGUUCAUCCGUCAUCUUUUCAUCUAUGGUUUGAAGUUGGUGUAGGAUUUGGUAGUGACACUCAAGGCCUCUUCAUUGACGAAGUGCAGCCAGAGGCACUACCGCAUAGUGGCUAACUACUUUAAUUGGAGUCGGAGUAGUAGUUGAAUUUGCGUCGUUAACUUUCUCCAAAUUCUUGCCUAAGUUCUCCAUGUCGAGUCGUUGCGUAGCAGGAGAAGAUGAAGACGUGCUACAAACAUCCUCGACAUUCAUUCGAGAAGUAAAUCCAUGUCUACCGGUUGCAGUAUCUUUUCCCGUCAAUAAUUCAAUAGAUUGAUAUGCUGGAAAUGGUUUGUCCCAGUACUUAGCGUAAACUGGAUUUUCCUAUAAAUGGAAAAACAUAGAUGAUAUGCAAAUGUUUACCUAAAAAAAAGCAAUUUUGGUUUACAAAAAAACAUAAAUGGUAAUAGAAUAAAAAACAUUUCGCUAUAAUGGCAUCCCAUUCACUAGGUCACCGGCAGUUGGAAUAUUUUGUGUAAUCCAUUCCCCUCCACUCUUGUUGGUUAAAGUUUGAUACAUCAAAUAUUGACGCUUCAAGACUUUUAAACGAUUUUGCAAAUGAACUUUGUUAAAGCCCAAUUUUGUCCUCUCAUUAAAGUCCCGAACCAUUCAAACCCAUGCCAAGGGGGUAAAACUCCCAUUGACAAAAUUCCCAAGAGCAUGCUCCUCUGUCAUUAGGUUCAACAUUGCAGAGUCCAUUAUUUCUGUCCAGUUAGAGGAUCUUACCUUGCUUUUCGUUGAAUCUUGCACAGGGCAUCUAAACUUCGGCUAUCAGCGGAGGAAACAUUAAUAAAUGAGCCUUUGUUUUUCAAAUUAGGCUGUAGCGACGUUUUUAGAGGGGCCAUCUGAGAUGAGUAAGCAAACAAAUCAAUCAUGUGUAUUAUUGCAUACAUAUAACACUGGUUUAGUAUAGGCGCAAUAUGAUAUAUUAUUUUGUUAAGUGGCUCAGAGGAUAAGGUUAUACAUGACUCCACGAUGGCUGCAGUAGUUACAAAAACCAUGCCACCCUGCCGUGGAUAUGUAACAUACCUUCCCUACAUUAUUGUUUUUUAAAAAACUUUCCCCCCAAACAGAUUCUGAUAUGAAUGUUGCUAGCUUCUUUCAAUUCAACAUACUUGACGGCCAAAUAUAUGUGAGUUCUCUUAUGUUCAUCAUUUUGUCCAACCUGGAGCUAUGUUAAAAAUCUUACCAUACUUUUGUCCAUGGUUGGAUUGUGAAGUAAUGAGUAUGUAAGAUAGGCUCUAGUUGUAUGAACUAUGAAAUAAUAAACAUUAGCCUCGGCUACAAGUGCAUGUAAUAACUAAAUAAGGUAAAAAAAAUAUAGGCAGAAAACAUUAUCAAAUUGCUUUAAGUGGUAUAAAACAGUGGAAAAUUGCUUUUAAAAUAAAAAACCUAAGCUUAUAACAUUUAAAAAGUUCACAAGAGAUAUAUAAUACAAAUUUCACCAACUGGCGACAGAUUCAACAAAAUAAGAAAUCAUCAAAAAAUCCCAAAUAUAUGUAAAUAUGCAAGAGUUUAUAGUUUUUGGUUUUCAAAAAAUAUAAACUAUAAAAAUAGUUGAACAAAAUAUUAAAUUUCAUGAGAUGAAGGUAGGAAUAGGGACUAUAGGGGGGUUGUUACAAAAUAUAGCAAUAGAGAUAUAAGACAUCAAAUAGAACCGAACAUCUUAACAUUAUAUAUAAAAAAUAAUAUUGAACCCCGAAGCUUUUAACAAAUUUCUUAAAUUGUGGGUUUCAAAUGUCACUUGAGUUUAAGAAAACAUACAUAUCAAAGAAAAACAGAGUACGAAUUUUAUGAAAGGCAAAUCUACAAAAGAUGUUAAAAUUAUGAGAUAAUCAAAUAACUCGAUGAGAUUAUUAAAAGGCUGAAAAUUCCAACAGUGAAUACUUCAACUCCAACACAGGUACAAUGAAGGCAACAAAUAGGAACAGAGAUAGGGUUUCAAGCACGUUGUAAAGAGAAGUCUACCUUCGAAUCCCACUCACUUUAAAGAGGAAAGGGGCACGAAAACUUAAUGGCUUUUACCUGCGAGGUUGCUGGUCGCACUUAAUGGGCGACUUGACAACACAGUAUAGUUGGCGAGGAGGAAAAAAGAGAUUCCUUGCAUUGGAAGCCCAAUUGGAGUUGAGAGGAGGUAGCCAUUAUUAAUAGUCAAAUCGGAAGGUUUGAGAGAGGAGUUAGGGAUGAGAAUGAAUCUUGGGUGAGAUCUUCCUCAUCAUUGCAGUAGUUGAGAGAGACUGCUAGAGGAGUACCGAGGAAGACAACAAGAGGAGAGAGGGCUUACCGAUGAAGGCGUCUCAUACGAGGUCUCACUCAUUCAUUAUGGUCGUUGCCGAAGGAGUCGAGAGAAGUAGAGAGGAGGAAGAAGGCGUCCGACACGAGGAGGCAGGGAAGCAGCGAAGCAGUAUUGAGCAAGGAGGAAGGUAGGUGUCACGCAUUAACGAAGAAGACGGACUAUCAUCGUAUUUUCCAACCCUUGCCCUUGGUAUAAACCAGCGAAAGUGGGCUCUUCUGCUAGUGAGGAGGGAUUGGUCUUAACGGGUUAUCCUUGGAUAACCCGUUGAGACCAAGAUAAAAUAAACCCCCAUAAUUAAUCAAUGUUUGGUUGAAUGAGUAGGAUAAAAUAGACCAUUCCCAUUUUAUUUUGCAAACAAACACAACCUUAAGGAAUGGAUGAUAUUGCUUGUGGAGUUAGCAAUAAGAAAGCCAAAGAAGAGAUAAAUAACAGAGCUAAAUGGAGGUAGAUGACCAUUUGCCACUAGCAUAAACCUUCCUUUUCUUAAUGUGUCUAGUGUACAUUUGCUGCUUCUCCUCUUCCCUCAUCUCUCAUUUUCCGUUUUAUAUUUGUUGAGUUGACCUAUCAGUUGACAUAGCAACUGUUGCAAGUAGAUGCUAUUGCUUACCAUGUGUAGUUGAGAUUGGCUCCAAAUGCAUGAUCAACCGUUAUUAAUGUUUUCAAGGCUGGAAGAACACGAUCUUUACAUGUCGGUGGGAUACAGUAACUGAUAGAUGCCUUGUUGUUGCCUCCAAAGCUCAACCUUUUGUCAUGUUCCUUCGGGCUCAGAAUGAUUGAAAAGUUUGAAGUUCUUUUCAUAGUGUAGCAUGUUAUUUCUUGCUUGAUACAUUGACAGAUCUUAUACAGAUUGUAAAGUUGAAUUAAAAUUUUGAGAUCCUUGCUGCACAAGGAAAUGGAAUUGCCACUGUUAUUAGGAAGGUAGUCAAGUGUUCUCUAGGCAGAAAGUCUAUAAAUGCAUUAAGCUGUCAACUUUUACGAAUGUCAAGAUAUAACUAAUAGGGUUAAUAUCAUACAGGUCUCGGCAAACAUAGUGAAUUGCAAAUAUAUCUCUACAAAGUUCAACUUUCAUAUGUUGUCCCUACAAAAGUCCUGAUGUUUGCAAAUAUGCCCCUGCCGUUAGGAUCCGUUAGAAAAAAUUAGUUAACUAUAGGUAAAAUAGUUAACCCUAAUUAGUGAAUAAUGUGAAUUGACUUUUUUACCCCGCUUUACUUAACAAUUGAGACUUUUGGAGGGACAUAUUUGUGAUGGCAAAAAGAUCAUUUCACUUAUAAAAUAAACAGUGCUUUAACGGUAACAAACCAGAGGGACAUUUGAAAAUAUUAGGACUUUUGCAGGGGCAACAUAUGAAAGUUGAACUUUGUAGGAAUAUAUUUGCAAAUUACUAUGUUUGCAGGUACCCGUAUGAAAUUAACCCUAACUAAUAAUAGCUUUAGGUUUGUCUAACAUGCAAGUAUACUACUAACACAGUUACUUGAAUUGUAUCCUGUCUCCACCCUGGUGCACUCUAUGAUCAUUUCAUGAAAUUUUUAUUUGAUCUUUGAAAAUUUUCUCUUACCUUUUGUUGGUGUUAACAACAACAGAUCACAAUGGAUUUUCUGACUUACAAUCUUUUUUUUUUUCUUUCCCCCAAUUCACUACUAGCUUGAGUAUUUAUCCUUGUUUUCUCAUUUUCUACUGCUGGCAUUGCCAAAGACUGCCUAAAAUUUUGGCCUCUCAAACGUCUGUAGUCCUUUUGUUUUAUAAAUACUUUGCACUUCUAUUUUCUUAUAGAUAUUAGUUCCCUGUAUGUAUUAUAUUUGUUCUAUUUGUAGAUUUAAUUAUGUAGUACUUGAUAAUUGAUAUCUUCUGUAGCAAGAAUGGUACUCAUGUAUAGUUUUCAUUCUGCCCUCUGGGUCUGUGCCCUUAUAUUUUUCUCUAAUUUAUUACCUUUUGUAUCUCAUUAAUCAGAUUAUGCUUCAUUCUAUUAUAAUAGGACUUUAUCAAGUAUUUGGAAGUGUUUUUUACGUUCAAAACAUUAUUCUAACUGAAUAUUUUUUUAUUCUGUGUAUGGGGUGAGAACACAUGCCACUAUUAUUAUAUUUGUCUAUAUAUUUGUGCUUCAUUCUAUUAUAAUAGGACUUUAUCAAGUAUUUGGAAGUGUUUUCUACGUUCAAAACAUUAUUGUAACUAAAUAUUUUUCUAUUCUGUGAUACAAUAAAGGCAGUGAAGAGGGAUAAUAAGCAACGCUUUAGUCUAUCGGAGGAAGAUGGAGAGUUGCUGAUCCGAGCAAACCAGGGCCACACAGUAAAGGUGAUGUAUCUAUACUACUUGUACAUUCAUGAAAAAAAAAGAGAAUAUUUUGCUGUGCAGGUAGAAAGUGGUAGAGUUAUAUGUCCAAUCGCAGUGUUUGACGUGUGCUUUAUUUUAUUCUAAUUAGCCAGUAAAAUGGGACUUUCAUUUCUUGAAUUUUGUAAAUUUACUCAUGAUAGAUACAUUCGAUAGGUAAAAAAAUAUUCAACAAUGACUAAUAUGUUCAGUAGAGAAAAACAAACAACUUAUUUUAUGCGCACAAUAACUUAAUGAUUUCAUUUUUUUUUUUUUUAAAUGUCCAGGAAAUCAACGUACAUGUUAUGAAUUUCAGCUAGGUAUAGAUAUCCCAUAAGUUUGCUUAUACAGCUCACCUUUUAGGAUAUUAUUGUAUCUAGCCGUGGACUUGAGAAAUUCAUCAAUCUUGGACUUGAGAAAUUCAUCAAUCUUCCCCUCUGUAUUCAAUUCUGCUACAUAAAGUUCAUGUAGUCUAAGUUAUUAUUGUGCAUGAAUGAUGCCUUAAAUACUUAUUUAGGCCUUUAUUUACUAUGCUUUUUUUUGUUAUUUUAAAUUAUAUGUGAUUGAAUGUGCCGGCAGAUGGGCUUUUAUGUUCUUAUUGUUGUUGGUUAGUUUGCAGUGCAGCCCAGCUAGAUGUAAAACUGCAUCAUUAAAUAAAACAAAAAUGUGGAAAAAAGUUACUGCUAAGUUUCGGUUUUUGUUGUCAAACAAAAGCUUAGGUGCAUAGAUUGCAAGCAAUCUCCAAUCCUCCGGCCCAUUCAAUCACAAUAUUUUAGUGUAAAUAAAACUGAGAACAGAAGCAUUACUUAAUUUCUGGAUUCUCCCUGUGGUUGUGCUAUAUAGAAGUCUUUCUGUUUGUACAUUACUUGUGAUAUAGAUGGCAAGAGUUUGAGAUUGAAACUUCAGACUUAAAAUUAGUGCCAUUUCCAAUAAAUUAUUUAAUCAGAACAUUGGACUAGAGUUUUGCGGCUCGCAUGGAAUUUGAUAAGAGAUUUUAUGGGCGUAGAUGUUAGAUUCCAAAGUUACGGUUAACAGAAGUAACGUGUAAUGGAAAGCUAUGGAAGUCCAUAGUGAAUGGUAGGCAAAAAGUUGUAGACAAGUAUCAGGAUUCAGAAUUAUUACUUGACAGUUAUAUUUAACAGUUAUAUGUACAAAGCAAGUUAAAUGAGUAAAAAUAGAAAUGCAUAAGGGUGUUAGAAGAUCAACCAAAAAGAUUGCGAACGUGCAGCGAAAAAUUUUGAAUGUGUGGAACGAGAAAACGUUAACAAAGCAAGACAGGUCUGUUGAAUUAUUACAUCAGAAAUUGCAGAAAUAUUAUCUGAAAGUUCGUCUUUGAGACAAAUCUGUAAAGGUCAAAAAUGAAAUGAGCCUUUAGCUAUGUUAAUAGUGAAGUAAAACAUUGAAGUAUCUGAAAAUAGCGCAGCUAUUCACAUAAUUUAAUAGAAGGUAAGAGUUGGUUGUGCAACAUGAUAUUAGGAAACUAGGAAGUACGUAAUCAAGAAAUUGUAAUUUUAUCACUAAGAGAAACCUCAUUAUUAUGAAAAGAAAGUACAUAGAAACUACCACAUAGAAAAUCAUUAUCUCAUCUAUGGGCAAAACCAUGUUGAUGUUGCAAUUGGUGGCAAACCAAGAGUAGAGCGCAAUAAUUAGAGGAUAUCUAAAUUUGGGGUAAAGAACAAAUUCACAAUUAUCGAAUAAUGCUGAGGAAGGCAAAUAGUUUAACAUUAAAUUGUAACUUGGAAGAAGAGGAAAGUAAACUGUCUAAGGGCUUGGGCCUUUUCCAGCAAAUUAAGGUUAAUUCAUGUGAAGAGCUAUACAUUUCAUAAUCAGUAUUUAGCAAAUAAUUAGGAUCUAUUAUAAACAUCAUAUCAGCCUGUAGAGAAUUGCACCAUUCCUAAAUAAUUCAACUCCAAAUGAGAGAUGAGCCUUUGGAGAGGAUAGUUGAUAGGUAAGGAGCCCACCUCCUAGGUCCUUGAACAUUUUAAUCUUGUUUUAGGGGCAAGUUUUGACAGUACAAGGUUCUUGAGGGCUUGCAAAUUUUCUAUAUUAAGUAUCUUCAUCUUCCCAUAUCCUUUGUCAUAGGAUAAACAUGAAACCAGAACAUAUAAGAUUGAAGGUGCUAAGAUGGGAAACAUGCAAGGUUGGAUGUGAUAAAUAGAAAGCUGAUAAUUUUUUGUGUCACGAUAUGACAAUAUUUCAGUAAGGGGUGAACAUGCCAUGUGUUGCUGGCAUAGGUGCUGCUGCUUGUUUUGAUCAGUUACUAAUCUCAAACUUUUUUGUCACUUAAAAGAUGAGAAAAUGAACUAUGGAAUCAUGUCAAUCUCAUUUAAGAAGUUAAUAGAGGAGGGGAGAGUGGGGUCUUACACGUAGAAGCAUUGGUUGGAAUUAUUUAAUACCCCAUUCUAUGUUAGAAACCUCAUUGAGACUACGUGCUAUGGUGAGUUUGCAAGGUUAAAGUAGGUUGACUUGAUGGGUUCUGCUCAACAUUACUGUCGUAGAUUAUGACUUGCACUUUAAUUCAGUUGGUUUAGUAAUAAAUAUGUUGAUGUUCAAUUUUAAGGAGAUGCUUACUAUCUAUUAUACCUAAUUAAUCAUCAAGUCUAGUACACGUGUGUUAUAUUUAUGAACUCAAGAUUGAUUGCAUGUUUACUGAACUAAACACUCAUGCAGCUAACUCUCCUGGGCCUUUUUGGAGACCACAGAUUUAGGAAUUUAUGUUUUGCUUGACUCAUUAUCUUGGAUUUAUGUCACUAGUAUUUUCGCAUUUGUGAUGCUUGUUCUCGAUUUGAGCUAAAGAAGGAUUCAAUGAAUCUCUUUCAGACUGUUACCUCUGAAAGCCUGUUGAAGCCCAUCCUGUCAGCUGAUGAAGUCCAAGGUAAGAUUGUUGACCAGUUUAGGUUUUUUUUAUUUUCUUUUUGUAGUCCUAAUUUUUGUGUAUAUUAGUUUGUGUGCAUGGAACGUACAAGAGAAAUUUGGAGUCGAUCUUGCAAUCUGGACUGAAGCGUAUGACAAGGUUACAUGUACAUUUCUCAAGUGCCUUGCCCACAGAUGAGAAAGUAAUUAGUGGUAAGCUUUUCUUUACAAAAUCUCAGUUGCAAGACUUCUUUUUUAUAAUAGUAUACUAUAACCACUUGCUUGUAAUCAUUAAAAGUAAGGGGCAAUUGCUUAUAUAUCCCUGAAAAGUUUCCGAUUUUUCGAUUUACCCCUCUUAAAAGGCUAAUAUUGAAAAUACCCUCUUUACGUUCCAACCUAUUUCUAAUAUACUCCUAGAAUUAAAAUCUGUUAAUUAACUCUGUUAACUCUGCAAAAUUACUAUUUUGCCCUUUCAAAUAUACCCUUCCACCAUCACUGACUUUCUUAUUUGCCCUUCAAGUCAAGGGCACAAAAAGUAUUUUGACUUUUGGUCUUUUCCAAUAUACCCCUCUACCGUCACCAACAUUUCUUAUUUGCCCUUAAGUUAAGGGCAAAAUUGGCAUUUUAAAAUUUUUAAACUGUGGUAGAUGUUUAACUCACGUUUAACCCAAGUUAACUUAACAGGAGAUAACUGCGGGGGUAUUUUGCAAUAACAGUGGAACAUAUGAGGGGUAUUUUAGAAAGAAAAAAAAAAGUAGGGAUAAAUCGGAUAUUUUCAAACGUACGAGAGGUAUAUAGGCAAUUAUCCCUAAAAGUAAAAUAUGUGAAGAAAGGACAAAUUAUUAAAAGUAAAGUAUGUGAAGAAAUGGCGAAAUUAACAGAGCAUGAUUUCGUGUAAUUUUGGUUAAGGCACUUGAGUACAUUUCUCAGCUUGACAUUCUCGCUGUUGCCAUAAAUGCUAAAAAAUCACCAUCUCAAUGAUAACUUUUUUAUUUAUUUAUUUUUUUUGGGAAGCUAUCUUGAUGACGAGUAUGAAGCAGGUGGAACAAAGAGAAAAAUUAAACAAUUAUUAGCUUGUAAAGAAAUUGUUACUACUUUCAAGAAGUAAUGUCCAAAUAGGAGAUAUGUAGGACUAGCUCUGAUACUAACAGAUAAAUAAAAUAAUUGUCCAAUUGGGAGAUAUGUAGGACAAGCUCUGAUACUAACAGAAAACAAGAAGAUAGCAUAUGUAGUUCUUUAUCUGACAAAAUAAUGAAACAAGUUUAAUCUUUGAAGUAUAUUUGCUGCUGGAGGUCACGUAAGGUUUCUAUGCUACUGUCAUCCAACAUUCCUUCGUUUCCUUGUCUUUCCACUUCUGUAGUAUAUGCUGAUACAUUAUCUUCUAAAUUGGAUGGACUUAUUGAGUUCAUUAUUAACCAUCUCAUGCAUGUUUUAUUAUAAUUUAUUAAAAAGAACCUUCCUAAUUUCUUGCUUUAUGGUUGUACAUUUUCUUUGUUACCAAUAUGGCCUUUGAGCUUUUAAAUUUUUCUGAAUUGCUCGCUUAUGCUUGAGGGGUCCUCUUUGUUGCCAAACUUUCAAUUACACAAAUCUAAUUUCAGCAAAUUUCUGGAAAUUGGUUAGUGCAUGUUGUCUUUCUGCAUUGAUUCAAUGGUACUUUAUGAACUUUCUCUAAUCUAUUGGAGACAUGCUUGCGACAUUUUCGUUACCUUUCAACUAGAUAGGCAUAGUUUUGGACUAGUACUUGAACAUUCCUUGGUAUCAUUAAAGCACAUCUCAUGGCUUUGUUAUGUUAAAUAGUGUUUAUUGUCGCUGUGUUAUAUUUUAAAAAGCUUGUUACUUUUUGAUGGCAAGAGUUAUCAAACCACAAGAGUCUCACAAAUAAGAUAUUAGAAAGUGAAUGUAGCUGUCUAUGCAUGUAAGGUCUCGAGAUCGUUCUCCAUCUCCCAUUGUUAGCAGAGGACAAGAAUGUGUCGUAUGUAUUUGUGCCUUCGGAGCAAGCUUUGAUACCAUGAAAGAAGAGCAAAAGAGCUUGACCCUCUGGGGUUUCAUAAAUAAAUAUAAAUAGUACAUGAUGCAAGUAUACAAAGCAAACCGUCUCAUGAAUUAUAUCACAUAACCCUUACACUAUCUAUGGAGUAUGGACAGUAAUAUACAAUACUAAAUAUUUCAUAACAUAUUAAAUAUAUCCUAACACAUACAAAUCGACCCUCUUGGUUGCCAUACAAUCCGCAUUGUGAGCUGAGUGAAAUGAAAACUAGAGCCACGAUGGCAAUGGUCUGAUAGUUAUGUAUCCUAGGUCUCAGAAGAAGAUUUGGCAUAGAUUAUUGAGAAAUUGAAGGAACAAAAUUGUAGAACAGUUACAAGGUAGUUGGUAGCCUCUUGACCUCUGCUUGGAAAUAGGAAAUUAGUGAACUAAGAAAAUAGGCUAUUGGGCUUAAGUGGAUCUUGGGGAAGGAAGCAGUAAAACGUAAUAAUAAUGGGAAGGAGCGGUAAUAUGUAGGAUUGAGGAUGGGAAGUGUUUAGAAAUUGAAGAAAGGAACUUCCAUGGGAUUUUUGAGAGAAGAACAGAGAUAAAAAGAGGAAUAUUUGUUUCUUCCGUACAAGGCGAUAAUGUUAUGAUUGAGGUGCACAUAAGCAUUCCUGCAUGUAAAGCUCGCUAUGUCGGUAGCUUUUGCCUGGGUCACUGCUGCCCAUUCAUUUUGAUUCUCUCGGUUUGUGUGGACUGUGGAGAAGUAGAAGUAGAUGGGCUGCGUUUGGUAUGGUGCUGAGAAGCAUGGUGGUAGAGAGAGAAAUAGCUAGAAAGUAGAAGCUGAGGAAAAGGAGAAGAUAAGAACACGACAAUAGGGAAGAGAGAUGUCUACUCCAACUAACAGGAGAAGCAAAGAGUAAGCCCUUAAACCAGAAUCACAAUAUCAUAGUCAUAACCUGCAUACAAAUUGUCUCGUAGACCUACUAUAGAUCCUCUUAACUGCAAAAAUGUCAUUUAACUUGGGGAAUUCUCAAUUCUGUUAACUAUCACAGAUCAACCAUACAAAGAUAAUCCAACUACCCUAUUUCAACAAUAGUCAGCUUAAUCUAAAUUAAACUGUUUAAUUAAAUAUAGAAGAGUGAAAUUCUAACUCUGAUUCGAAGAAUGUUUAUUCCUAGUUUUCUUUAUGUGUAUUUUAUUGGCAUCUGUUAAUUUUUCAAUCUCCACUAGGUGUUGUCACGGAAACCUUUUCUUUGCUUUGUUUAGUUUUUUUGUUCUUGUAUGUUUGGAACAUCUUACAAUUCCUAUUAGGUUGGUCUUGUACGUUCGGAACGUCUAACAAUUCCUAUUAAGUUAAUGAGUCAAUUUUUUUGGGUUUAUUUGUCAAAACAACAGCCCCCUUAAAGUUACUUCCUUGACUUAAAGUGUGUUUGGUUGGCAGUAAAUGCACCGAAAAUUACUUUUCGGCUUGAAAAUUUAUUUUUCGUCUGUUUGUUUAGCUAUAAUUUUUUUUUUUUGGAAAACUACUCUUACAUAUUUGAGAAAAAUGGAGUGUUUUCAUUUUCUGCUGAGUUUCAGUAGGAAACGAAAACUCAAGCUGCGCAAAAUUUUUUCAUUAAUUUUUUCCACCGAUCCAGACAAAUGUGAUUUUUUUUCCUUUCAACCAAACAAUGUUGAUGGAAAACUACCUUUUUUUUCCCUACAAACCAAACACUACAAAACACACAACUUCUUUUCCACCAAAAAUUUUCUUUCCACAGAAAACUAUUUUUCACGAUUUUAUGUACAACCAAACACCCCCUUAGCCACUUCAUAUUUGGGCUGCAAUACUGUCAACUUAAGGAGUUGUUGAUUUAAUCUUUACCUUGAAAAUAGCUGCUCAGAAUGAUUUUAUUUCUUUGAACAGUAUUUUCUUAUAAUUAGUUGGUGUGAUUCUCUUAAUGUGACCUCAUACCCGUCUUCUCCGCUUUGGCACCAUUUAUGAUCUUUUACAACCAAGAUUGCUUUUUUUGUGUUAGGCAUGCGUAAGGAUGUCAACAUCUUAAUCUAUUUGGAUGUUAGAAAGGCAUUACAAGGUAUUCUCUAAACGUUAUAUUUCUCACCUUCCAUGUAACCGUUUACUGAUUUCAACUUCUUUUAUCUUUUUCAUUUUAGCUAUAUAUAUAUAUAUAUAUAUAUAUAUAUAUAUAUAUUUAUUUAUAUAUGAUACUAGCAAAGAAUUCUUUUCUUAGAUGGAAUGCAGCUCUACAUUUCUGACAACAAGGUGAUUUUGACUGAGGGUUUUGAUGGUAUUGUGCCUGUCAAAUACUUUGAGAAGAUCGAAACUUGGCCAAGAAGAGAAUUAGUACCUUUUGAAAGAUAGGAUGAUCAAGUUCCUUAGCAUUUGCUCUCUCUCUCUCUCUCUCUCUCUCUCUCUCUCUCUCUCUCUCUCUCUGUUUUUUUUUUAAAAAAAAAAAAUUUGCUAGACAUGUCACUUCUUGAGCAUUGCAAGUUGAGCAUUGCAAGUUAUCUCUGGAAAGGUAUGAUAAUCCUUUACCAAACAUACAAAGAAAAAUUUGAACAAGCUUUGCAAGAAGAAAUUGUUUUUUAUAUUAUAUUAUAUUUUGUUUUGUAGAGAAACUACAUUUGUUUACCAGCAUCUCAGCGGGGAGCAUUUGUUGUAGGGCAAUGUGCGCCAUUCCUCUCCAACCUUUACUCAAGUUUAACUUUGGCAUCCAAUCAUUUAAGUAUGUGAUUGGGCUCCUAAAGUCUAUUUGUUGUUCCACACAAUUCUCUUCCAUCAAAAAGCCUGUUCGCUGCUGAACUGAUAAUACACAUGGAAAUUGCUGCCUGAACCAUUAAUACUGGAUGGAAAUUGCUGUUGGAUAUCCAUUUGUCCUAAUUGGAUAUUUAUUAGUGCUGACAUGACAAUUCCAUCCAAGUUAGCAGGGAUUUUUGAUGGAAUGGUGUAUAUUGAAGCAACAAAAUAGACAUUAUAGAGAGCGAUUUGUACAAAUUACCUUUCUUUUACAAAUACCUAGGGAAGUAAUCUAAAUUAUUUUAGUGUAUUAUUAUAUGGACAUCAAUUACUUUUGAUUAUCAAUUUGUGCUGUUUGAUCAAUCAAACUAUUUAUCACUUAGGAAGCUACAAUAUCAUAUGAAAACUCUUGCAAGUAAAUUUUAAAAUUGAGGAUGAUUAACAACGAGUUUUAGACAAUUCAUUUGCUUUUUAAUACAUUGUUUGGUACUGUUUGUUUUUUGUUUUUCAAAACGUAAAUUUUGUGUAAUUGAAUGGCCGACUUGUAUAUUUUUUUAUUAUUGUCAUUAUUAGUUAGCUUGGGAUGUGCUUCUGUGGAAUGUGAAAUGCCAUUUUCUUCAAGAAGCAGCAAAAGAAAAGCCCUGUUUUGUUUGUUUUUUCCAAAAGAGAAAAUCCUUGUAAUGGAGUGUUGAGCUUGUGAUCCAAUAUCUCUUGGUCUAAUCAAACUGUUCAUCACUUGGGAAGUUACAUUGAGGACUUUUUUCGAAAAUAACCCUCUGAAAUUUUGUAAUUGGCAAAAUAACCCUCUGAAAAUUUUAUUUGUGAAACUAACCCUCCUCUCGCCACCUCAGCCGCCAUCUCAGCAUUUCUCAUAAAGACGGUGACUCGUUCACUGUCUUUACUAAAAACACUUGAAGACGGCAAAUGGUUCACCGUCUUCUCUAGGCGUGGACCCUUCACCGCCUUCUCAGCAAUUCCCCGCGUAUCAGCGAAUUCGACGAGAAGACGGUGACUCGUUUACCGUCUUAACAAAGGCGGUGAAUCGUCUACCGCCUUAUCUAGGCGUACACCAUUCGCCGCCUUCUCUGUUGCCCAAAUAAGACGGUGACUUGUUCACCGUCUUUACUUAAUCUUGAAGACGGUAAGUAGUUCACCGUCUUCUCUAGGCGUGGAACCUCCGCCUCCUCAGCAAUUCCCCGCGUAUCACCGCCUUAGCAGCAAUUCGCCGCAGAAGACGGUGAUUCGUUUACCUCUUUAAGAAAGACAGUAAGUUGUUUACCGCCUUAUCUAGGCGUAAACUAUUCACCGCCUUCUCAGCAAAUCCCCCCGACAGCUGGGGGCAUAGAUAAGACGGUGAAUCGUUCACCGUCUUACUUAAGACGGUAAAUUGUUCACCGUCUUUGGUGCAGGACACCCUUAAGACGGUCAAUGGUUUACCGUCUUAUCUGAGCAAGUUUACCGUCUUCAGUGUAGAACUCCACCCAGCCUAAUUUCGCCAAGUCCUCGAGAGAGGGGCUAAAACACAGAUAAGACGGUGACUCGUUCACCGCCUUAACAAAGCCGGUGAAUCGUCUACCACCUUAUCUAGGCGUAAACCAAUACCAGGACUUAGCUUUUUUUUCUUCGGUUUUGUGUUAUUUGCACUAAAGACGGUGAACCAUUCACCGUCUUUAGUGCAAACAGCAGCAAAUGCUGUUUUAAGCUUGAUUUUAAAGAAAAUUUCAACAAGUUUGACGUAAGUUUUUUCACGAUAACAAAAUUUUCAACAAGAAACACAAGAUCACGAGUGGAAUAACAAGAUAUAAUCAACAAGAUAAAAAUAUCAAAAAAAAUCCCGAGAAAUAUACAAAUAUGCACUAAAUUAAGUAUUAUAUAAUAUUAUACAAAGUCUAAGUUAUCUAAAUCAAAAAUAUACAAUCAGCCUCUCGAUCGUCCUCUCCCUCGACGUCCUCGGCCACGUCCUCGUGCACGGCUACAUCCACGUCUACGGCCACCCUCUACAACGAGAUCAGCAAUAGUAUGUCAUCAAUUGCCUCGAUAUCGGCCAUCGCAUCGAGAUCCCCAAUCAUAACGCCCUCGCGAUGCUCCGGUAUCGCCUGAGUCUCGUCGAUAGUGGCUGGUCUAGAUGUUCGGCGGGCUUGUGAUGAAGACGCGGCAUGACGUCGAGAAUAGACGAAUGUAAAGUGAUCUCUAGAGACUGGCGGCGGCAAAAGCAAGUCCAAGUCCAAUGGCCUAGUAGGAAAUCUCUCAGGGGCGGCGGGUAUAUCAGCAACAUCACUAGGAGAUGGAGAUCCAGCAGAUGUCGGUGUCUGACGGUGGUGAUGACCCGAUGUCGAUGCAUGUCCAAAAUCUCGACCUCUGAUAUCAGUGGCGACAGGUAUAGUAGGAAUGUACUCCAGUACACUAUCAAGAUCAAUAUCGAUACCCGUCAAUACCUCCAUCACCGCAUCGUAAGAAGGUCGAUCAUGAACUAGGCUCCUGAUGCUAUACUGUGUCUGUCGUAUAGCGUCCACCUGCAUUAUAGAUAAUAACUCACCUUUGGCAAUCUAUAAUAUACAAAAUAUUAAAAAACUAAUAAAUGGGCUGAGUGAUCGUACCAAAGCUCUCUCGGUCUGGCCACGAGGCUGGUAAGUCAAUGGUGGACGCUGUACUGGACGAGAAAUCCAUCGUCUCGUGAUCUGCCAGUACCACUCCAUAUAAAUCGAGGUCGCCUGUACUGGAUCAUCACCGACAAUCAGAUGCUGGUCAAUAAUAGCCUGUAAUCGCUGUCCCCAUCUCUCGAUGUGUGCAGCAUGAAAGUGGCCCCAAUGCUCAUCUGGCCGCCCCUGAGAUGUAAAGCGACGGAUGGUCUCCACAUGAAUAGGUAUAUGCUGCAGGAGACCAAACUGCCGAAGGACUCGAUCGGGCACGUGAAGCUCGACGAUAUGAAAACAAAUCAGCGUGGUCCGCGAUCGCCAUACCUCACUGCCCUGUACACAGAAUGCUGGUAGCACCUCUAAUACAGCAUCUGUGUACGGCCGCCAUGUAAUCUGUGAAAAAGCCAAUAAUAGUCAGCAGAAUGCAUUAAUACGGUUGAAUAUUGAAAUAAUGGUUGCAUUAAUACGUACCUGUGUCUCUCGCUGCUGAUCUAGCUCAUCUCUAUAGAACUCUAUAUCAGUCGUCCUAACGUUGGCCCCAAAACGUAAACCGCCGGCAUUCGUCCACCUGAUAUUUGAAAAGUAUGUUAGUUGCAAAUAUAUAGGAAGAAAUAUAAUAUGUAUCAUAUUUAAUUAUUAUACCGGCAACCCAAAGGGCAAUCAGCCAUGUCGGCAAUAGCUCCAACGCCAGUAGGUCGGCCGACAUGAAGAUGGUCCCAUGCCCAAAUCUAUAAAUAAAUUACAAUAAAUUAGACAUGUAAACUUAAAUAGGAGAAGUUUUAUAUAACAAUUAUUAUAUAUUACCUGUACUAAUGUCGCGAAACAACAGCAUUCGACCUUGUCCUUUAAUGACGCCGUUCCCAAUGCGCGAUAAAGGUAGGCCAAUGCUGCCGACCCCCAGGCUAAACCACCACAUGCGUCAAAAUCCGCCAAAAGUGGUAGCCACUUAAGAUGAACUCUAUAUCCGGUGGGGUUUGGAAACAGACUACAGCCAAUCUGAUAUAACAUAUAUGCACGGGCUGUGGCUGCAACUAAUCCAGCCGGAGCAUCCAAAUGUAUAUGAUGGAAGUGCUGGUAUAUCCAAUCUAAUCGAAUCUGACCAGCUCGGAUGCCAUCCGGCACAACCCCUAAAAGCUCCUGACAAAUCUCUAUCCACGGAUGCUGUGUAGUCCCCGUGACAGGCGCUCCAUCGACACGAAGACCUGAAAUAACCGCCACAUCCUGAAGUGUAAUCGUCAUCUCACCGUGGCGGAAGUGGAAGGUCUGGGUCUCCCGUCGCCAUCUCUCGACCAGAGCUCCCAAUAGAGACUGAUCGAGCUGCAGACGCCUAAGUCGAGAAAUGCCGUAGAAUCCUGACUGUCGUAGCAAAUCUAGCACCGCUGGAUGAUCCAUAUCCCACUGGUUCAAUUUGCGGCCAUGCUCUACGAACUGAACGCCGCGAUAUCCCUACAGUGACAAAAAAAUAGUUAGCACAACAUUUAUAUGCAUUAAUAAUAAACAUAAUUUAUAGAGAAAUAAUUCUUACUCUCACCUCAGUCGUGAUAAAUGAAGACCUAUGUAGAUGCUGCUCUGUCAGGACGGACUCAUCAACCGGUCCCGCCUCCUCUAGAUCUGCCAUCUGCAAUUUUAAAGAAUUUGUAAUUAGUAACAUAUUAGCAAAUAGCGCAUUGAAUAUUGGAAUAUUGAAAGUUUAAUAAAUACUAGUAAGUUAGGUAACAAGUCCUACGUCGACGUCCUUGUUGUGCGCUCUCUGUAUUCUGUGGACAGGUAUUUCUAUAAUGACCGUGCUGCUUACAAAUGCUGCAUUUUGUUCGUCGACCACUGGUUGCGUCCAUUAUAUUACGAAUACGUGUUGAUCGUGGUCGACCUUUCUUUCUUCUAACUGGAGGCGGUACAAUUGGUGGGCCCAUGGGUCGUGGCCAGUAGCGCCUGUCUGGAACUGGAUGGAAAAGCGGUGCGUAUGUCUGGCGAUAACACUCUACAGUAUACCAAUGGGAACAAAGACUAUGAUAAUCUAUUCUUAGUUGUGAAUUACUGCAAACUGCUAAAAUAUGCGAGCAAGGUAUGCCCGUUAGCUUGAAUUCUCCGCAAUUACAAUCCGCUUCUGUUCCAUUAAUGGUAACAUUGUAAUCAGAGUAUCCUGUUUGAACUUCAAACUCAAUAGUCCCAAAUCGAUAUACAAUGUGUCCCCGUGCCGUCACCAUAUUCAUCGUAAUUCGACUUUGUAUUUUUGGUGCUAACGUGGCCGUCAUACUUUCACCAUUUUCACGACGCUUUACAAAAUAACUAUUCAGUUUGUAAAAAGUUCCCGCGACAAAUGCCGUUACUGGAAGAGCACGGAUACCCUUAAGUACCCCAUUUAAACUCUCGGACAUAUUUGUAGUCAUCAACCCGAAGCGUCGACCUCCAUCAAAUGCCCACGCCCAAUACUCUUUGUAUACUUCGAGCUCAUCGACCCACUUCCACGCAUCCUCAUCUAGCGCGCGUAACUCAUCUUUCAGUUUAUAAUAUUCUACCGACGUUGGAGCACUGCCGAUACUAUAAAAUUUGUCUAAUAAUGAUUCAUUUUUAAACCGCUUAGCCAUAUUUGCUUUCAUGUGUCGAAGACACCACCGGUGUGCAUGCCCCUGUCGAGUAGGAUAUAACUCAGCCACUAUUUCCUUUAAGCCACUAAAUCUAUCAGAUAUAAAACAAACCGGUCGAUUGCGUAUAACAUAAUGGCCCAAGUUAUGUAAAAACCAACGCCAAGUUCCACCAUUUUCGCCUUCGCAAAUUGCAAAAGCUAAGGGAAAAAUGCUAUCAUUCGCAUCGACAGCCGUCGCUAUCAAUGCAUGGCCUUCGUAUUUGCCAUACAAGUGAGUCGCAUCAAUGCUCACCACCGGCCGACAAUGUGCAAAUCCAUGAAUAGAAGGAGCAAAUGACCAAAAAAGACGGCCAAACUGACAUAUUCCCUCUGAUGGCCAUCUAUGAUCAAGCCGCCAAUAAGUUCCAUGAUUAGUACUCUGCAGCAUAGUAAGAUACCGAGGCACGUCUGUGUAUGACUGCUCCCAGCUCCCAUAAAUAAUUUGUAAUGCUUUGCUCCUUGCCAGCCAUGCCUUCCAAUAAUUUAUUUGAACAUGCAAAGUGGAUCGCACCGUUUCCUGCACUUCUUUUGGCGUCAUAUUUAGUCUUGCCUUCAUUAACGGGAGAAUUAGUUGACAUAUGAGAUUUGAAGUACAAUUACGAUGCGCCGCAUUUAGCAUUGGAAUAACACAAGUAUGUUGACCCGCGUAUGUCUUAACUCUGAAAUAUGUUGCAUCCUUAGGAACCGAAGCGUGUAACCUCCAAGGACAUCCCUCAACUGUGCAUUUCACUGUAUAAGUUGUUUUGGUAGAUUUCACAACUUUCAUCUGAACAUUGUGAGUAAUGUGCCAUCGAUCAAGAGCGUCCACUAAAGAUGCCUUAUCAUUAAAGAUUUCACGGAGCCAAGUCCCGUCAAUGCUAGGUAGAUCGGAAUUGGUACGUCUAACAUCGAACUCACUCGAAUUCACAACAUACUGUUGUAUCCAAUUAUUAUCCGUAGGAAAUUGCUCCGGAUGGUCAAUAAAAUCAAGUUCCUCGUCAGGAUUGUCUACAUAAUCGUUGUUUACAUGCGGGUCGUCAUUCAAACUGUAAAUGGCAUUCGCAAGACAAUUUAAUCCACCAUCGUGAUCAUCUUCAAUGUCAACGGCUAGAUCAUUCCAAUCGUCGUCCUCAUCCUGAUUACCGUCAUUAUCAAUGGGUGCAUCCUCCUGAUGACCAUCAUUAUGAAUGAGUUCAUCGUCCUGAUUACCGUCAUUAUUAUCUCCUUCAUCGACAUAUUAUCAAGAACUUCAUUCCAAUUUGUAUAGGGUGUAGAUAGCCUGCAAUACGUCCCGAAUGUUUACUAUAUUAGGUAAAAUUUUAUUUACUAUUAAUUAAAUAAUCCAAAUUUUCUUUACCCCCAAUCGUAAUUUUCAUUAGGUAUAUGAAAUAUCCUGGGUUCGUCACGUGACAUCGAGGGUUGCGCACGUAACGUCGACGGUUGCGCACGUGACGUCGAGGGUUCGGCACGUGACGUCCAGGGUUGCACACGUGACGUCGACGGUUGCGCACGUGACGUCGAGGGUUCGGCGCGUGACGUCGAGGGUUGCGCACGUGAAGUCGAGGGUUGCGUACGUGGAGACUGACUCUGUCUGCAGUAUUCAUAAUUAUAAUGUAUGAAAGAAUUUCAUAAUUAAAAAAAUAUUCACCGCAAUCUUGAGGUAUAUUACUGACCUUGUCAUUCUUACGCCUUGUUCAUUAUCAACUUCACGGUCACCAAUUGGAUUCUCCGGAAAUUCCACAUCGAUAUCAUUAUGUAGCAGGCUUAUGUAAUAACCUUGCGACUGAUAUUGUGUCUCUGAAUGAUAUAAAUCUUUCUCUAUGUAUAGCGACACACAUCCAUAAUGUUCAAACAAUCCAAUUAAUCCCUCCAAUGAUUCAUCAUCUACUAUAUCAUGAGCAAUAUAUUCAUUUGCUCCCGUAGGGCAUCGAAUUGUGUAUUUAAGACAACAUUCUUCUCUAUUACAAUUUACUAAACGAUACAUUCUCCUCUCAAAAUUCGCAUAGGUCGUAUCUGAACGAAUUGCAAUCAAUUUCUUUCGACCACAGAAAUAUCGAGGACCAUUCCCAUCCAUAUCUAACUGUCCAUCCCAAUGAACACUAAGAGACAUCCGACGACUAGCCAUUUUAACUACACAGAAAAAUAAAUCAACAAUAUUCUCCAUGUUCUCAUCAGCGAAAACUAAACCUAAGUGAAAUGAUAACUAAAUGAUAGAAAAUUUGCAACAAGAAAAUAAAGGGAGUGUUACUAGAUUAAAACUUGGUAAAUUAGGUUUAAACAUAGUUUAGACAAGUUUAAAAGUGAAAAACUAGGUUAAAACUGGGUAAAUAUAGUUUAAAAGCCGGUUAUUUCAUUGGAAAUAAGAAAUUAGAACGAUUAGAAAAAUAGUGGGUUCCAUCGUUUCUAUGGUUACCUCUUAAACAGUGAGGUCCUCCCUAUACACCGGUGCCUCUUCUUUCAUUUAAUCAAAUGUUAUUGUUAACUUGUAUAGUUCACACUCUUUGGCUCUACCUAUCUACAGUAAUAGCUCUUUUCACAAAAAGAGUUAUCCAUACAGUGACGGCAUUUAAUUAUGAAAGUUGGCUAGGCAGCUGACCCUGUUAGUCUGUUCUUUCAAGAAGCGGAGCAUAACCUUUUUGCUUCUUAUGAUACUAUUUCCUCAGCUUAAUGGAUAACCAUUUGCUACCAAUGGAAAAUUGCUUCUUAUUACAAAUCUAGAUGAUUGGAUUUGCACCAAUGGAAACCAUAAAUUCUAUAUACAAUAUGGCUAUAUCUUUAACUAGGUCUAAACCCUAAACACUAUCCAAAUUUGGAUCAAAUUGGAUCAAAUUGGAUCAAAUUAGAUCAAAUUGAUCAUAUUUGGGAUUUGGGAUUUUAGGGAUUUGAUCAAAUCGAUCAUAUUUAGGAUUUGGGAUUUGAUCAAAUUGAUCAUAUUUGGGAUUUGGGAUUUGGAUCAAAUUUGAUCAAAUUUGAUUUGGGAUUUGGAUCAAAUUUGAUCACAUUUGAUUUGGGAUUUGGAAUUUGGGAUUUGGAUCAAAUUUCAUUGGGGUUUGGAUCAAAUUUGAUCAAAUUCGUUCAAAUUUGAUUUGGGAUUUGGAAAUUUGGAUCAAAUAUGAUCAAAUUUGAUUUGGGAUUUGGGAAUUUGGAUCAAAUUUGAUCCAANNNNNNNNNNNNNNNNNNNNNNNNNNNNNNNNNNNNNNNNNNNNNNNNNNNNNNNNNNNNNNNNNNNNNNNNNNNNNNNNNNNNNNNNNNNNNNNNNNNNNNNNNNNNNNNNNNNNNNNNNNNNNNNNNNNNNNNNNNNNNNNNNNNNNNNNNNNNNNNNNNNNNNNNNNNNNNNNNNNNNNNNNNNNNNNNNNNNNNNNNNNNNNNNNNNNNNNNNNNNNNNNNNNNNNNNNNNNNNNNNNNNNNNNNNNNNNNNNNNNNNNNNNNNNNNNNNNNNNNNNNNNNNNNNNNNNNNNNNNNNNNNNNNNNNNNNNNNNNNNNNNNNNNNNNNNNNNNNNNNNNNNNNNNNNNNNNNNNNNNNNNNNNNNNNNNNNNNNNNNNNNNNNNNNNNNNNNNNNNNNNNNNNNNNNNNNNNNNNNNNNNNNNNNNNNNNNNNNNNNNNNNNNNNNNNNNNNNNNNNNNNNNNNNNNNNNNNNNNNNNNNNNNNNNNNNNNNNNNNNNNNNNNNNNNNNNNNNNNNNNNNNNNNNNNNNNNNNNNNNNNNNNNNNNNNNNNNNNNNNNNNNNNNNNNNNNNNNNNNNNNNNNNNNNNNNNNNNNNNNNNNNNNNNNNNNNNNNNNNNNNNNNNNNNNNNNNNNNNNNNNNNNNNNNNNNNNNNNNNNNNNNNNNNNNNNNNNNNNNNNNNNNAGGUUAAACUAGGUUUAAAUCUAGAAAAUUGCUAAGAUAGAAUAUUACUUGCAAUGUGGGUUGCUGUGGCACGGGGGAAGGCUCGGUGGCUCGACAGCGACCGGCGGCGACGUCGGCUUGGGCGGCGGCGACGGCGGCUUGGUUGGCGGCGACGUCGGCUUGGGCGGCGGCGACUGGCGGGGUGCGGAGGGAGAGAGAGACAGAGAGUUAAGAGAGAAAGAGAGCGAAGAGUGAGGGAGAGGUGUCGGGGCUUCGGGUAUACCUAGGUAAGACGGUGAAUUGUUCACCGUCUUCAUAAAACAACAUUGGAAACGGUGAACGAUUCAUCGCCUUACCUUGGCCCAGGGUUCCCAAUGAAGACGGUGAAUAGUUAACCGUCUUUAGUGCAGCACAAAUAAGACGGUAAACAGUUCACCAUCUUAUCUGUGUUUUAUGUGGCCAAAGUUGGGGGGUAUUGUCCUGGCCGAAGUUGAGGGGUGUAUACCGUCUUAAGUAAGACGGUGAACGGUUUACCGUCUUAUCGUGGGCACAGCAGUUCCAAAGGGGUUGUAUUCGCUCUAAAGACGGAGAUGUAUUCGCUCUAAAGACGGUGAAUAGUUCACCGUCUCAUGAAGGCGGUGAACCAUCUACCGUCUUCAUGAGAAAUGCGCAUAGACGGUGAAUGAUUAACCGUCUUUACGAGAAAAAUCCGACCUGGCGCCGACGUGGCGAAAGGAGGGUUAGUUUUACAAAUAAAAUUUUCAGAGGGUUAUUUUGCCAAUUACAAAAUUUCAGAGGGUUAUUUUCGAAAAAAGUCCUACAUUGAUGUUAGCCUUUUCAUGAGUAAAUAAAUGAUGAUAAAACAGGAUCGAGGUGUCUCUAUGAAGUCCUAGAAAUUUCUCUUCCUGAAAACUAAUGCUCAUUGGAUUUUGAAGAGGAUUGAAAUUUGAAAUUUGAAAUUUAAAAUUUGAAGAGGAUUGCCGACAAGAUUUAGACAAAUUCAUUGGUUUUUGAAGACGUUUGUAUUGUUGUGUUUUUUGCAUUUCAAAACAUUAAAAAAAGAAGAUAACAUUGCUUUCUCUGUAUACUUGUAAAUUUGAUAAUUUUUUUAUAUAUCUUUUGUUUCAAAUAUACCCAUGAAUUUUUUUUUUUCCCCCCUUCUCAUGUAUAAAUGGACACUUUGCAUGGCUCCGGGCCGACAUUUUGUUAGGCCCGAUUGAUCCGAUGCUUUCUCAAUGGUUGCCCUCAUCGUUUAAUCAUUUCAACUGACAUCCUCUUUUACUUUAGAUAUUUUAAUAUUGAGAGUGUCAGUAAGAUAGAUUGAGAGUCUUACCAAAUUUAUUGAUGUUUUCAUAAAUAAACGUUAGUGACUAAUAUUACCGUUUAAUUUACGAGAGGUUUAACUUAACAAUACAUAGUAUUUAAGUUAAAAUAAAUGAAAGUUUGGGGAUCUCAAUAAUAAUAAUAAACAAAAAGGUUUCUGUAGCCUAUUUCAAAGUGGCCUAGAUUUGAGGGGACGUCCCCCCUUAAAAGAAAAGAAAAUAUUUUCUCCAUCUUCUGCUAAAGGAGGGAUGGGACAGCUAACAGCUUUGAGAUAGGCUUUAAUUGGGUUUUAGUUUGAUUCUUCGUUUUGGUUUACUAGGAAAUAGAAACUCUAGCAAAUAUUUAGUCCCCAUAACAAAUAGGCUCAAUAUUAUAUAUGAAGAUCUAAAAGAGCACUGAACUCAGGGGCAAAUGGACCAGCAAACGGCCCAAGCAUAGAAUGAAAUGGGCUUUGACAAAUCUAUUCACCAAGUAUUUUAGUCUUUGUCCUAAAACUAAAAAGUUUUUAAUUUACAAACCAACUUACCCGACAAAAACUAGAAUAUCUACUACUGUAUGGGCUAUUUGUUAUGCUAAGAAGACAAAUUUCAGGCUUGUCCGCUAAUGGGCCAGCCCAAUCGCGGCCUAAUAUUAGGCUGGAUGUAAUUCAAUAUGGGCCAUAUCAACGCAAAUGUUGCAACAUACGUUAAUGAUCCUACUCGGAACGCCGCAGACAAGUGGGCUUACGAAUGAAUGGCCCACAUAUUGGAGGAGAUAUGCCUUUUCACGAAUGGACCAUGCCGGUACUCUCUCUUCCAUCUUUUCCAUCUUUAACCGCCAGCAAUAAAAGACUCUCAAGGAACAUACAGAGGAGAAGAAGAAGAGUUAGAGAGUGGAGAAGGAAAUUUUGUUUUAAUCUUUUUUUUAAUAAUUAUCAAUGACUUGCGGACAAAAAUUCUUGCACAAUCUUCACCAUACAUAUGAAUGGAUCUUGUCUACCAAUUGACAUACAAUAGGACCAAAUAUCCUAUCAAAUAUUAAUUUAUUAUUAUUGCUAUUGUAUUUGAAACUAUAUANAUAUAUAUUAAUAAUAAUAAAUCAUCAGCAGACUACAAUUAAAGAAUACGUAACAAAAUUAAACCCUGGGCCUUAGGCCGGCCUUUUUAAAGCCUGCAUAAUUGUUGUUCGGCUUAUGGUUGGGUCUCGCACACUUGUUUCUCAUAUUGGGCCUAGUAAGAUCGGUCCAUUAAGCUGUACGGAAGGAGUCGGACUGGCCCAACGAGAGGGCUCUUUGGUGGUUGAUUGGUUAUUCCUUCCUUGGAAACUCGGAAGGCAAACUAAAACACACACAAUCAGAUGAUUCACACACAAUCAGAUGAUUCACAAUCUCUCUCCUACGGCUACGGACGUUUUCUCCACCUGACCUGAUUCUUGAAGGUCCCUCCCCUCCCUUCAGUCCGCAGACUCCGCAUUCCGCUGUAACAACCCUGAAAAAUAAAUGGUAGAAAUAGUAGUAAUAGGAGUUAGUAUGGGAGAGUAGUAAAAGUAACAGUUUUACUAGUUAAGAUGGAGAAUAAGGGCGGCAGCCGGUUGGAGAGGAGGAAGCGCGCUAGGAUAGUUUAAUUUCAAUUCGCUGUAUAGGGUAUAUAUAGUUAACAGAUGUAAUUGCAAUGAAAUGAAUUAGUCUAUUUUCUUCCCCAAAAUUCUUUUCCAAACCUUUCUUCUUCUCCACCAUUUCUCUAUCCCAAUUUUUUAUCCCACUCUUUAUCUCUAAUCUCUAUUCCUAACCCCUUUCUCUCUAAUUCUCAUCAUCUCUAUUGUCUCUAUUUCAUCUUUCUCAAUCCCCCUCUGCUCCUCUCUUAUCCAUUCCGGUAAUCCAUUACAUCACCAUUACCAUAGGGAGCACCAAGAACCUGAUCCGAGCCACAGGGAUAUUACAUCCGCAAACCUUGAAACGCUCCCCUAACUCUCUUCCCCUUCGACUGCUCGAUUCCUCCACUCGGGAAACCCUUAUUAGAGCGAUCAGUUCCUUUCCCCUGCAAUCGCCCGACUCCUCCGAUCGAUAGAUAGAUAAUCUAGCUACGUUGCUCAAUAUCGUACACGGGCGGAAACUCUCGCUUUUCGAGGCUCGGACAGUUCCGUGUUGGAGCUAGGGUUUCUGGUUGGAAGAGGUAAUUUAUCUAAUCCCUUUAAUUUGGCUCGUAGUUUCAUCAUCGGUUUGGCUAAUUCACGAUUUGCUUUUGUUUCUCGUGAUUGUAUGAUGAACCCACUUUCUUGGUGAUUCCGUAUGUAUCUUUUCCGGUUGUUGCUCUUAAAAAUAGAGAACACGAACCCUAGAUUCAUAUGUCGUUGCUUUCUCGCAGAGACCACGAAACCCUAGAGUCAGGUAUCAUUGCUCAACUAGAUCGGAUGGAUCUAAGGUCUACAAUGAGGUUGCCUCGCCAAGACAAUGUCAGAUAGGUGUCCCUUAGAUCCGAUCCUAAUUGCUUCGUGUGGUGUAAUCCAAUUUAUUUUUUUUACUAACAUUACAUGUCUCUUAAUAACCGUUUUGCUUUUAGCAACCAAUUUAUCCAUAUGUGCUCUGCUUAGGGUUCUGCAAGAUGCCGACGAAUUGAUUACCAAAUGAGUCAUUAGGACAGCCGUUGUCUCUUCUUACGGGAAGGUUUACGAUAGGAGCAUAAGAUAUUAAGCUUAGUUAAUUUGGUCUUUUCUAUCUUUCUUCUUCUAUUACUAUAGACACCGUAUAUUGCACAGAUUUUUAACGACUCAGGGAUAGCCGUGGACAAGAAAAGCUACCAUCAAACUAUGAAACUUGAAUCAGAAUUUGAUUUUCACUUCGACCAUUUAGGUAUUGUCUCUUUACUUGUUCUUCAUGUAGUUCUUUAUGUACAUUUUUGUCAAAUUUUCUUUAUUAUUCUUUUUCUUCUUGCUAUCUUUCUAUUCCUUCUUUUUGCCUCUCUUUCUCUUCUUUGUUUUGAUAUUAUCUUUUAUUUUAUUUUGUAUCUCUUAGUUUAACAUAUGCAAGCAUGAUCUUCUAUUUAUUAUAUAGUUUUUAUUUUUUGCAAUACUUUAUUGCUCAUGAUAGUGCCUUUUUGCAAAUUUUUCUUUCAUUUGUACUUUCUGAACUUUGCAGUCCUUAUCAAAAUUUAUUUUCGUUAUUUUUAAAGUGAGUAGUGUUAUCUCCUUUCAUUUUGAUUUUGUAAUUAUACCCUUUCUUUUCUUUCUUUUAUCCCUUCCCUUUGCUUUUAUUAUUAUUUCAAUUCUCUUUAUCUUUUGAUGUCUUAUCAUUUCAAUUGUCUAAGACUUUUAAUAUUUCUUUUUGUACUUUUAUAUUCUAUUUUGAUUUGUACCUUAUUCACCUUUUCAUGUAAAAGUUGUGUAUUCGAAAUUUUCUUAUGAACAAUCAUUUAUACAAUAGACUGUUUACCUUAUAAUGUCCACAUAAAAUUUUCUUCAUUAGCUUUACAAAUGAUUGUCUUUCACUUGAUUUGUUAUACUUCUAAUGUUUCUUAUACUUUCUCUUGCCUUCUGUCUAGUUUCAUGCUAUUGCAUAUCUUACCCUGUAAUGUUUGUAUCAAACCAGUUCCUCUAUUUUUGUUAUUCUAUUUCUAUCUCUUCUUUCUUCUUUUCCUUGUUCAACAAAUUUUCUUUUUCUUCAUUUUAUUGUUAGUUAAUGAUGGGUUUUGCACUACUUGUUUUUUCUGCUCUUUAAUCUUAGCUACUUUUCUUUUAUUUUAACUUGUUCAUACUAUCAUCUUGCAACUUUGCUAUUGUCUUAUUUCUUUUUCUUGUCUUUUGGAACCUUGUUCUUCCGUAUCCUAUACAUUUUCUUACGCAUAGAUUUCUAUUUGUUAAAUAUCCUUAGUCUGAUUGCUUAAUCAAUUAUAGUGCAAAUACUUAUUUGGUUGUUGUUAGAGGUGGCAAUCUUUCACCCAACUUGACCAACCAAUUACGGUCUCACCUAGCCAUAUAUUUAAUUUGGGUUUGGGUCAUCCCAAGUCUAUAAGUUUUUUGGGUCAGAUCUAGAUUUAGCUUAUGACCUCAUUUGAGUUAUGGCACCUCUGCUUUUGAAUGAGGGCAGUAAACGGUUGAUUGUAUCAUGUUGGGCCAAACAUAUAUAUGUGCUAAAAUAAAACAUAUCUCUUUGGCUUAAAUAGGUCAACAACUUAAGGUUAUGUUGUCAUGUGAGUAAUUGUUGCAGAAAUUUUGGGUGACUCAAUGGACAGUUAGGUUUGGAUUUUUCCUUCACUCGAGUCAAAUCAAAUCGGGUUGGGUAUGUUGUCAGGUCUGGAUUUUCCCUUCACUCAAAUCAAAUUGGGUUGGGUAUGUUUUAACCCAUGUACUGGUAUUAUUUGAAAGCAAACCCGCCUUACCCAAUCUAUACCUCCUUUAGGUUUUGUAACUUAUUGAGAUCAGUGUAUAAAAUUGCUAUUUCAACUAGUUCUUUCCAAUAUCUUUGUUUUCUUAGAUUGUCCAAUGUUUGUUGUUUUCACUGGCUAACAAAAUAUAUUUGUGAUUCCCUUCCAUCUUUUUAAGGAGGAUACUCUGCUUCUUGUCUUUCUUCUUCUUCUUCUUUUCAUACACGGCCUUCUUCUCAUACAUGGUUAAUUUUUCCAUUCCUAUAUUAUCUUUUUCUGAUCAUUGUCCUUUUAUUCCUUCCUUUCCCAUUCUUACUCGUCUGUUUUGUAGAUUCUAUCUCUUCAAGUCUUCGAUUUCUAUUUUUUUCAUUGUUUGUUAUCCUUACGGCUUAGAUUGAGUUUGGUUAUAUGUUUUAUAGUCUUUGUUUUCUGUUUUCAUUCUUUGUUAUGUGUGGGGUUUAGAGUGACGAUGGAUGGUGAAUUGUUGGUCACCUGGUGUUAUUGAGUUCAAGUCUCCAGGACUUCCAUUUUUUUGUGUAGUUCUAUUUUAUAUGUUUUGCUAUACGUAACUAAAGUUGUAUGUCUGAUUUAUUUAUAUAAUUAUUACAAUUUUUUUUAAGUUCAUCAAAAUCUUCUUUAAAAUCUUGUAUUCUUGUAUUUGGAACUCUGUGAUAUUCAAGAGAAGAAUUCUUGCCCCAUUUAUUGCAUAAAUGGCCUUCUUUUAGUAUUAGGAUGUGCUUUAACUGUUACCAAGAAUUGAAAAGAAACUUUGGGAUCUAAUGAUUCAGUAAGUCAAUAUUUGAUUCGGUGAUAAACAGCUCUAGGAAUUACUAUUCUUCUCUUAACGGGUUAUUCUGGAAUAACCUGUUAAAAGGGGAGAAUAGUAGUUCCACCCGUUAGGUAGAACAAGCUUUUCUCUCUCUUAUUUCUCUACUAAUUAAGUUAUAAAUAAUUAUACAAAAUUAGUAAUUAAUUCACUUAUUAUUUAAAUAAUUAGUAUUUUAUUUUACUUGAUUAAUGUAUUAACAAAAAAUAUAAUUGAUGAAAUAAUUAAUUAAUAUUAACAUAUUGAUUUAUUUUUUAUAGUUGUUCACUAAUUAACGCCAUUCCUCAUCAUCCCAUAUAAUAUUCCUAUUAAUUAAUUUAUUAACUUGUUAAAAAAUAAUACUAAUAUUUAGAUACUUAUUAUGUAGAUAAAUUAUUUUGUUUUCAAUCAUAAUUACUCUUAUUUCUACUAUUCCAACCAAUCACCAAACCAAAAUUUGUCUUAUUCCUCAGAAUAUCUCUAUUCUCGUCAGUGUUUGAAAAGGCGCGCCUCACGCCUAGGCGUGAGGCGCGGGCCUCAGCGUCUCAGCAAUAGCGAGGCAAGGCGCUAUUGUUGAGGCGCGCGCUUAGGCCCUGAGGCGCGCGCCUCAGGCGAGGCGCGAGGCGCACAUAAGGCGCGCGCCUCAGCAUAUUUAAUAUUUCUUGGAUUUUGGAUUAAGGUUUUCGGGUUGUUGGGUUUCGGGUAUAAAUUUUAUGUUUUAACCCGAUAAGCUUAGUAAAAGAUUCUAUAAGAAACAUAAAAAAAAACCCUAAUGAAAUCAUCUACUGCCCUCUCUUUCUACCACCCUUCUCUCCCUAUCCCUUCUCUGUCCGUGGGCAACUUGGCAUCCAGCAAGCAUCCGCAGUAGGAAGCAGCAAGGAGGAGCAGUGGUCAGCACUCAGCAAGCAUCCAUUGUCAAGAACAGCAUCAGUUUUUUUAUUUGCAGCGGCACUGCAGCAGCAGAAACAGGAGCAGCGGCAGCAAGAAAGCAAGAACAAGCAGCAAUCAAGUAAGUAUUGCCUCUAUACUCCAAUAUUUUUCCUUUGAAUCUAUUUUUUAGUUAUUUUUUUCAGGAUUUGAUGUAUUUUUGAGAUUUUUCUUUUUUUUCCUAUAUGUUUUUACUUUUUUUGUUUCGAUUGCAUAUUUCUUGAUCCAGUUUUUUGUUUUGAACUUGUUUUUAGUUAUUAUUUAUAGGAUUUGAUUCCUUUUAAGAUUUUUUUAUUUUUUCCCAAAUGUUUUUUUUUUUUUUCAUCUAGGGCAGAUGCCAAGUGUUUGGCAAUGAAAACAUUUAGAGUUUCUUGUUGGAAUUGGAAUCUAAAAACGCUGAUGCUGCUAGCUUCAGCCUGGCAAAACAAAUUUCUUUACUUUUUGAUAGUUAUUUUACUUUUGUAUGGUUAUUUUGGAGUUUUUUUAAUGUGGAACAUUAAAUUAAAUUAGAUUUAGUAAAAGUGCGCCUCGCCUUCUUGAGGCGCGCGCCUCGCGCCUAGGCUCCAGAAAGGUCUUGCGCCUUUUUGCGCCUUGCGCCUUUUCAAACACUGAUUCUCGCCUAAAUAAAAAAUUGGCUUAAUUCCUGCUUAUCCCAAAAGUUAUACCUAUUCCAGGAAUAAGUAAGAAUAGCUUAUUAUCUAAAAUCAGAUGAAUAUAAAGCGAUUUUCAAAACACCAAUGAUUAAUUUUCUUUUAGUUCUACAGUUGAUUUGCCUACUUAAGUGGAAUUGCAACGAGAGAUUAUUUUUCAUAAUUAUGCAUGGCUAAGAGGAGUUGAUCCAUGGAUCUCAGAAGCUCUUUUGCUCUUGGUGUUCACGACAACAAUUGUAAGAACCAUCUAGUUGACUCAAUGCUUUAUAAUAUCUUAUCUUUGUUCUAUCCGUCAAAGUAUUUGAUAAUGUGUGCAUAGUUUCUUUAUUAAUUGUCUGGGCUUUUAUAAAAUUAAUGUUAUAUUGAAAUUUAAAAUAUUUUGAAAUGUUAUUAAAAUAAAAAUAUGAUUAAAAUUUUAAUUGACUUCUUCUUCAAAGAAAAAAGGGUACGACACGAUUCACACUAGUCUAGGCUAGUGCCAUGUUGAAUCUUGGGCGGGGAAAGGCAGUUUGGCGUGAUACAACCCUAGUUUGGAUCUUUGUGGUGUCAGACCACCUUCAGGCCCAAGUUGGUCUAGCAUAAUUUGGAUGGUCCGAGGUGAACAUGCAACAUCCUUGAGGGUUGCGCUUCUAGAGAGGUCGGAGGUUUGUCUUGCGGGUAGAAUGUAUGGACUCUCUUUGUACUAUUUAGAACAAAAAUUUAAUAGGAACUGCCUGACUGAAAACAAAUCAAUGUUGAUGAUAUUUUGAAAGUGUGCCUAUUGAAUCCACGUUAAGAUCUAAUUUGCUUGUCAAAUAUUUUAGCAUAGAUCACUACAAUCGAAAGUUGAAACAUAAGCUAGGCCUAAUUGGUUCGAGGCACUGAUCUAAUUUAGUCUGUUUUUGCAGUGUCAUUUGUGGCAUUAUUUUCUAGGUCAUUGAAGGCUGGUCUAGUGCCUAUUCAGCAUAGUGGUGAGACCAAAAUUCUUCAUUAUGUUAGUGCCUAUUCAUAUCAUUGUUAAUUUGUUGUUCGUUUACUUAGUUUUUCUCUAUUUAUGUGCUGAUUCAUGUCAUGCUAUCUGAGCAGUUCAUUUUAUUGUUUAAAACUCUUAAUUCUUUUUGACACGAUGUUUGACUCAAUUCGGAGAUUACAUUUGUAGCAUAAUAGUUAAGUGAUGAUAUGAGUCUAGGGUCCCAGUAUCAUAGGCAUGGAGGCUAGGUUCUUUCCUUGCAGCUGUCAUAUAUUCAUUAAGUACCAUUUCUGUUUCUGCUGGAUUGAAAUUUUAAUAAAUAUAUAAGAGUUGUCGGAUAUUACAUGUUUUUGUUGUUUGUUGUGUUAAUUAUUUAUAAUAUUUUUGUGCCACUAACCAAUACUUUCAAUCUAAAAAACGUACAAAUUGAAAUUGUUAUGGACAUCUAGUGACUACAUUUUGUUUUUGAUUUUAUGCUUUGUUGUUUAUUAUAUUUUGGAUAUUAAUGGUUGUUAUUAAACAGUAGAAGAAUGUUAUAGUGUCCUUACAUGCAAUAACCCUCACAAGUACUUUAUUGUUGUGUAGAUCAUGUACAUCUUGUUAGCCUAUUAUUCAAAAAUAUUUUAUUGCUUAUUUACUAUGUUAAAGUCAAAUUCCUUUUCAAUUAUAUAUAGAAAUAAUAACCAAACAUUUGACGAACAAUUACAAAUCAGCUCAUGCUCAUUACGGAGCAGUUGCUAGUGCAAUCCUUCUCAAUUGGGCAUAGAAUUUACCAUAAACGAAAUAGCUCAUUUCAUCCAAUUCUUCUAAUUUGGCCUCACUACAACAAAAUUGCCUUUUAGCGGCAAUUUAGUAACGACGAUUAUCAAACGGCCACUAUUACUUAUUAUCUAAUUGUACUUUAGCGGCAAUUAUUUUAAACUACUUUUUUUAACGACUAAUAAUUUUAUACUAAAUACAUUUAUUUUGAAUCCAAUACUAUUCUAACCCUAACCCAAACCCGCACCCAACCUCUCCCCCAUCCUGCGGACAAAAAUUUUAUGGACAUUGUGUCCAUCUAAAACAAUUUGGGGAUGCCAUGGAAGGAUGCCGCGUGGCACCUACCUCGGAAAGUAGCUGGAUUUUUUUCUAGUGAACCUGGUGCAUAAUUUUUUUACUUUAAAAUUUUAUUUUUACUUUUUAGUUAUAAUUAAAUAUAAUGUAUAUAUAUUAUAUAUUUUAAAAAUAUAUGUAAAAAAAUUUAUAGUUUAGAAUUUAAAAUUCUUUUACAUAUUAUUUUAAAUAUCAUAAAAUAUAUCUCUAUUAUUAUAUUAAAUUAUAAUUAAAAAUAAAAAAAUAUGAUUUUAGAGUAAAAAACGGUGCACCAGGUGCACCAGAAAAAAUCCCACUGCUCUCCCAAAUGGCGGAGCAGCGGGGGCACGUGGCGGGUCACGCGGCGCCCAUCAGAAAAAUCUGAAUGCCACGUGGCAUUCAUCUACGGCAUCCCCAAAUUAGUUUCUGUGGACAUACUGUCCAUAAAAGUUUUGUCCCCAUCCUGCGCGAGCUCUCCCCCUCUCCUUCACCUCUCCAUCUCACACGAACACCCUCUCUUUAUCUCCCUUCCCCCUACCUCUCCUCCAUCCUGGCGGCGGCGUCCCUUCACCUCUCUUCUCUCCUCCCUCUCUAAGCUCGGAUCCCUAUCAGCGGCGGUGUCGUCGUCGUCGUCCGCGGAGAAGGGUGUAAAAUCAAAAUGGCUCGGGUCCAGGCCGGGCCGGGCGCGGACUCUUCAUCUUAAACCCUUCCCUGCUUCUCCCUCACUCGAUACUCCGACGCAUCAAACCCCUUCCACGGGGCGCCCCACACCCUCCUCCGCCACCGCGCCUCGUGCCAUUCCAGGUACAAAAAUUCAAAGCAUAACAAAAUAAAAUAUGGUUCACAUAUGCAAAUCUAAAUAAUCACAAAGUAUUAUUCUUUUGAUUUCGAUAUUCAGAGGUAGAGGGAAUUACUUCUUGUGCAAGUUCAUAUAUAUAUAUAUAUAUAUAGGCCGGGGCUACUAUACUCUUAUGAGUAUAGACCCCCUUGUACUCAUAAAUUUUUAACCGUUGAUUGAUGGGAUGUGUGGUUAGGAUGAUGGUAGUUCCCACUUAGAAUGAUAGUGAUCCCCUAGGGUUGAGUGGGUAGUUGGUUAAAUAGUAUGAUCUAACGAGUGAAAAUGAUCAAUGGAAUAAAUCUUAGGGCCAAAAACUUAUGAGUAUAAGAGAGCCAAUACUCAUAAAAGUAUAGUAGCCGGACUAUAUAUAUAUAUAUAUAUAUAUAUAUAUGUAUAUAUAUAUAUAUAUAUAUAUAUAUGUAUGUAUAUUUUUUGGUGAUAUAAACCCUAAUUGAAGUCAAUUCAGAAAUUCGCAGCUACCAGGUAGAAACCUGCUUCGAUCAUCAAUUGGAUGCUCUUCAUAUUCACCGCAUAUAAAAAAAGAGAAAGGUAAAAUUUCUAUAUAAUCAUAUAUUCAUAUGUUAUGUUUAGGGCAAUUCAACAAACAUCUUACGAGCGUAAAAUCCAGAGUGUAAGUGCUCUGCAUAAGAGAUCGUUGGAGCUGUUAAUUAGCAUGUUCGAAAUUAUGUGUUGUAGUUAUUAUAAUCUAGUAAAAGUACGAGUUCAUUAUAAUGAGGGAAUAUAAGUAAAAAUUGUAAAUAUCAUGAGUAUUUAUUCAUGUCUUUUUACUAUAUUUUCUUUUUUUCUUUUUACAUUAAUUUACUAAUGUUUUUCGGAAAUCAUAUUAGGUUGGACCUAACAUUUUCUUGGAUAAAUGGAGAUGGCCUCAAAUAAUCCUCAUCCUACUCAGUUUCCUGUUACAGAGAAGUCGAUAUCCUUAGAUAUCAAGGUCUCUCUCUCGCUCUCCGAACUAACUUUUAGUAUAAUUGGACUUAAUAUGUAUAAUAUAUUUAACGUAGUGUAACCUUGUAUAACCUUGUAUUUACAACUGAUUGGCAUGGCAUGUACCUAACAGCACCAGAUUUGGCAUGAUUCAUUCAUAUAUCAUCAUGAUGUAGUUUUGUUUUUGACAACUUAAUGGGUUUGACGAACAUGUAACAGAGUGCAUGGUUGUUUCUUGGUUUAAGUCAUUGACGAAAACAUGCUUGAAAUGUUUAUUUGCCAUCUUAGUCUACCAGGCCAUGUGGUUUAAGAGUAUCAUGCUAAAAUAAGCAGUUAUUGCGACCAAUUAAUUCUGGUGACAUAGCAGACUGGUUACAGAUUGUGUCUGUCAAUGAUAUACACUCCAACUAUAACUACUGCAUGUGUUUGUUGAAUAGCCUAAGUUCAUUAUUAUGCAUUUUUUUUAUUAGAAGCUAGCAUAUUGUGUAUUGCGGAAUGUUCUCUCAGCUCGCUUGGCAUUUCCUACUAAACCCUGUGCCUCCUUCGUCCUACUUUUUCGCUUCCUUCCCGUCUGAAUUGCUGUUAGCAUAACCAUUCCGCUUCUUAGCAAUUUUUUCUAUUCAAAAUUUUUGCGUACUUCAGCCUGAAUUGUUGUUACCUCCUUUCCCUAUCAUCAAACAAGGACAAUGCAUGCACCAAUUUGAGCCUAGGGCUGUGGAGAUGUUAGCGUGAUGAAAUUUAUGUAUAAACUUUUGUGCAUGCAAGGUGACAUGAGAAUCUCUUCAUAGCAUUAUGUGUUUGGCAUUGUAGGGAACUAAGACGGACAUCAUAAUCAGCAAGUAUACAGAUAGUUUUCUGGUGAGUUGCAUCUCAUACUCAGCUCUAUAGCUUUUAAUAUGGACAUGUUUACAUGAAAAUGUUCUUUCAGGUCAUGGUGACUCAAAUAGGAUCUAUGGGUACCAUACUGCAUGCUAGGUCUGUGUUUUCCUUUUUCCUGUAUGCUGUUUCAACUAUGCAUUCACAGAUUCUUUGAUCACAACCUUUUAUGUGCAUGUGCAUCUUCUAUUUAGUCACUAUGUUAUCGACAGUUUGACACCGUUCAAAAAAACAUAUUUUGGACUUAUCUUUGCUUAAAUUGAGGUAGGAUGGCUGAAAUAAAUUUUUAUAUUUGAAUUCUGAUGCACUAAAUGUAAUACAGUGUAUUUAGUUGAUUGGUAGGAUGGGCAGAACCUAUAAAAUAGGCAUAAUUAUGGGCUUCUAAGCAUGUCUCUAUGGUUGAGGUGUCUUCAUAUGGAGAUAACAACAAGCCUUUUAAACCUUCAAGAUUUUGCUUGCCAUUUCAUUUUCUAGUUGGAAUGGUAUUUUACUACAAAAAGACAUUUAAACUUACGGUUCACCAUGGUCGUUGACUUAUCAGCAAUGGAAUAGAAAGCAAAUUGGCAAAUCAAUAGUUACUUAAGCACAAGUGUUUUAGUUUCAAUAAUGCUAUAAUUUAAUAAGAGUUGAGAAAAUUUCAGUGUCUAACACCGAUGUGUUGAUCAAAUUUAUAAUAUUGAUCAGGCCUUAUUUUGUGAGGCCAUAGCAAAUUAUUUUCCUCUUCUGUUUGACUAUAAUGCUGAUUGAAGAUUUAAUUUUUCUGAUGAUAGGAAGGAGGAAGGUGUAUCACUAGAUCCAACUUUUAAUGUUUCUGUGAUAUUUGGCAAGAGAGAUGAGGCAAAUACAACACAUCUAUUCUCUAGUUUGGUCUUUCUUUUCCUAAUGGAUAUUGAUCUUGAGUCUAAAUUGUGAUGGUUGCAGCCACUUUUAGUUGCAUGUGCAAGGCAGAUGAUUGAACAUAUAAGGUAUUUUUACCUCUCUCCGUGGUAGAUAUGGAUAUUUGAUAUUUUGAAAUAAGAGCUUUCUAUCAGUUGAACUUAGUCAAUGAAUUUGUUAGUUCAAGUUAUGCUAAUUUCUGGACUUCAUGCUGUAAAGAAAUCAGAAGUGCUGCUUUAUAGGGGCCUAAAUUUUUUACUUUUGUCUCAUACAAUCAGAUAUUUUAGAUAGUUCUAGAUUAUUUCAAUUUUCUUAUAAUGGAGUUUUGAUUUUGAUUUCCUUUCAGUCUGUUGAAUGACUAAUUCAUAAUCUGCAAAUAUUUUUGGCAAAUUCACUCUGUUGUCGCUGCGUAUUGUCAAUAAUUCCAUCAGAUUAUGUCAUGUCUAUUGUCAUCUGGGAAAUAAUUCUAAAGAUUAGGUAUAUAAGAAACUGGAUUGUGCUAGAAUUUAAAUUUUAUAGAAAUUGGUGAGUUAUAUUUUGUGGAUUGUAAUACCAUACUUUCAAUCUAUAUGUUGCAGCCACUGCAGUUCGUCGAGGGCAUUGAUUCUGUCUCUUGGUCUAAAAGAUCACUCUCAGGUAACAUAUUGAAAAGACCUGGAGAUGUUUAAAUCUUUCAUGGAUUCUGUCUCGUGUUUUAACUUUGAAUACAAGUCACCGAUUUGAAUUAGCAUUUCACCUAGAAUUAAAGUGCUCCUUACCUUUGAUUACAUAAGCCUCUUCAUUUGAUCAAAAUUUCUUUGUUUUUUUCCUCCUUUUACUUUGAUUAGGUUAUUAAGCAUUUGUUCUCACUGUGGUUUUUGGUUUCCACAGGAGAUUUUAAAGGAUAUCAUUUCUGCCGUUAUUGAGAAUCGCCUUUGGUGAAUUUUAAAGGAUAUCAUUUCUGCCGUUGUUCUUUCCGUUCCUUUUUAACAACCUUUUUCCUUUUUAUUUAUUAUCAAUUUUUUUUUAUUAGUUGUAACUAAUGCAUUGACAAAAUGCGCCUUAGCUUUUGUGGCAUUAAUUAUUUACUUGCUCACUUAUACCUUUUGGAGUUUGGUUAUUCUUCCUUGUUAACAACUGAUGUCCUAGUUAUUUGUUCCAAUUUUAGUAUUAAAAGAAAAGGCAAUAAUUGAGUUUCAUCAGGAUUAUUCAAAGCUUAUACUUAUAAAACAUUUCACAAACGGCUGACUUUACCAAUUUUACAUUAGUUCACUCCAUCUUCAUACAAAAGCCACACCUAGUAAAUUAGUUCUAAGAAGCACUUACAGUUUUUCUGAAUAAAACUGUAAGUGCCAACUGUUGAGACUUCAGUGCCAACUGUUGAGUUUAUUGCAGGAGGCCCCAGAUAUGUUAUCUUCACCUGCAGUGCCAACUGUUGCAUAGCUUUUCAAUGCCAAUGUUUGCUACUAUUCUGUGCACAGGGCAUUUAUUGGGAGGAUAUGUACAUUGUGGGGGGGGUACUCAAUUAUUUUUGUCCCGAUAAUUAUUGCCCAGCAGUUGUCAGGAUUGUACUUGGGCGUAAUCUUGCUGUUUUUCGUUCCAUUGUUGAUCUGUUACUAGGACAAUUUCACCACCAGAAGAUGAAGUGUCUGGCAAGUCCUUUCUUUUUCAGCACUCUCCUCUAUAUUAUGCGCAGACAAACUAUGGUUCAAGGAAAACUUGUGAAAUGUUGAACAGUGAAGGAAACCAUCUAAUAUGCUGAGACAUAUUAGUUCUGAUAUAGUAUGAAACUGACAGAAGAUUACUAAUAGUUUCUCCUCGGCUCCUUCCCAGCCGCGCGUUUGAAGUCUUUGGCUGUAUGUGCGCGCGGUGAGCUCCACCUCACAUGUCAGCCUACUUAAUAACCGCAUAGGAUAAGCAAGAAGAAUGAUUGGGUGGGUCAUAGGUGGGUGGAUAGAAUGGCACAACCAAACAAAUUAAAGCAAGUGGGAAAGCCAUAAAAGGAAUUACAAGUAAAGAAAAAUAAUUAACAGAAAUUAUUACCAUGGAUGCUCAUUGCUGGGCGGCUCCACUGUCCCAUUCUUCCUCCCUUCCUCAUUCUCCAGCAAUUACGGGAAUAGUACGUUCCUGCAGCAGUACAAGUACUCUCCAUCUUCUUCCCCCGUGGAAGAAGGCGGUCGCGUCGUCACCCAUCCACCGCCGCAUCCUCCCGAUCUGCAGUACUGUAGGGAGCAGAAAGCCUCGUCUUCCAAUUAGCCGUGCCCGGCCCGCUGCCGCUCCGACUAGAAUCCGUGCCGUUGUCGGUGAAGCCGCUGCUGAUUUUUCGUCGGCCCCCGUUGAGAUCACCUGGCAGAUCGCCGUCGGAGCUGUAGGUACGUAGCCAUCUCUCCUUCUGUGCUAUAUGCAGAAUGAAUCGUACUUCAUCUGUCCACUGCUUGACGUCUCUUCUCUUCUUCUGCCGUGUUUGCUUUUUACGCAUGCAGCUGGAAUUACGCCCUUCCUUGUUGCAGGAAUCGAGUUCAGCAAAAGGAUUGUAAGCUACUCUUAGUGAUUCCUCACUGCAUUAAUCGAUUUCUCUUAGACCCUAUUUGGAUGCAUGAAUACCUUAUUCAGUAUAUCACGUUUGAAUGAUAAGAAAUAAGAUCAAAUGUUUAAAAUUACAUACUACAUUCAACACUCAAGUCAUCUUUUUAACCAGACAAAUCACCUCGUUUAAAUUAGCGUAUAACUUCUUAUCGUUGCUCUAAAGAACUAUCUGCAAGAGAGAAAAUAAAGGCAGAAAAUAAAAAAGAACAGGUAAGAACAAAUGAAAGGAGAAAUAAGAAACAAAACUGACACAAUAAAAAUAUAGGAACAUAAUUUCGUAAAUAAGGUCAACAACAAUCACUUACACAACUAACAAAAGAAAUUGUGUCCAUGGUAAUACAUACUAUCCACUCUUAACUUUAAGAAACAUAAUGUACAUCCAGAAGCAUCAAGAUAAAUAAACAGUAGAUAAGAGCGCGAAAAGUGGCAAGAAGUAUAAACACCACCAAAAGAAAAUCAAACAAUAGAAUGAGGAAAACAAAAAAAACAUAAAUAAUAUGUAAUAGUAUUCAGCAGAAAGUAAAAUAAACUCAACAAGGGAUGAACAAGAGAACAUCCUUCGCUUUGACGUAAGAAAACUUGUAUCCAAGGCCACAACAAGGUAACAAAAGCAACCGAAAAGAAAAAAGCCAGUGUCUCUCUGAGAAAGCUAGUUUUAGGUACACAAUAUUACACUAUGAAACAAUAGGAACAUUAAGAUGCACAGGAAACCAAAUUAAAAUGAAAAAUAAACCAAGGGCAAAACUUUGUAAAGAUAGGAAUACAUUGAUCAGGAAAAAAAAAAAAAAAAAAAGGACAGCCGAAACACCAAAUAACUGGAAAAAGAAAGUGAAAACAAAAGUCCGCCAAAACCUAAACUAAAGGAAUGGGGAAUUUCUCAAUCAGCAAUGCAGAAAUUUAUAUAAUACUAAGGAGGAACUACAAGAAUAUUUUUUUUUAAAAAAAUCAAAAUUUAAAUCGAAUAAAUAAUAAACAACUAUAAUAUAAAAUGUGUAUAAAGUACAGCAAAAUAGAAAAUAAUAACAUAAAAAAACUAUAGGAUGUCUUAGAGACUUAAAAUAAUAAGAAAUUAAAAGAUAACGGAGAAAAUUGAGAAUGAUGAAAGGGAGGUAAAAUAAGGGGAUAAGGAGAAAGAAAGUGAAAUAAACAUAGAAUAUGCAAUGAAAAAAAAAGAACCUAAGUUGAAAGAGAUACCGACAACUUAAAAAUCAACCCAAAAUCAGUGCCAAUCAAUUCAAAUCAUAGAGAAAUAAGUUUGCAAACAAUGGAAGGAAGGAAAAUUGAGGUCGAACCUAACCAGUUUGGUGAUUCGGUCAUUGGCAAAUAGGGUGUAAAACUUCGAAUCACACCAACUAUGAGUUAUUAUGAGUUGUUACCUAUUGUGACCUAACAAAACCAGACAACACAAAAGUUAAGAUUAACUAGGUAAACUAAAUUGAAAGGAACAUGAUUAUCCAAUAGCUCUCCAGAAAGAAAAUUUAAUAUUAAGCCCGUAAAGCCCAAGCAUCCCUGCCUUGGUCCUAUAUUGAGGCCCGGAUUUUCAAAAGGGCCAUGUUAGGACCAACUAGCCGAAGUUAGAACCCGCCCAUGCUGAGCUUGACCAAACUUUGAAGACCAAGGCUUGUAGCUUCCUGGGUUUAGGCCUAUAUUCGGGCCCAGAUUUAAGAGCCUGGCUGGAUCCAGGCGUUAAGUAGUGAAACUGUCCCAUAAACAGGUCAUCCAAUAUUCACACAACAACUAGCGAAAUGUCAGUGACAUACGUGUCAGUGACAUAAGCACCAGAAGACAAAGUCCCAGGUUUUACAGGGCUUUACAGCUGCAGCUAAAACAAAAGCAAAUGUAUGUAUCCUUUCCAAUACAAACAAAGAAAAGAAAAAGAAUUGUUCUGCGAAAUUUUAUGAGGGCAAAACGAAGAAACAUUGUACUCAGAAUCCAGUUAGUCCAACAUUACCCACCAGAACAAUUGCAAUUUUAUAUAUAGAUUCUCCUAAGCAAUAUAAAUCACCUCAUAUGACUAAGCAAAAUGCAAACUAAUAGCGGUUGAAGAGGGUCAGUUUCCUCUCUUUUCUCAUGUCUUUUAAUUGACAAACAUAAUCAAGCACAAUGCACCAACUAAAUAGCAAGUAAUACCAUUACAUUGGUAAAAAAAUCCACUAAACUGAAAUUAUGAGCAUGACUAUUAAGACAUACUAAGCACAGUGCAAACCCCCUUAAUAAUUCAACUCAAUCACAUGAACUCGUAUACAUAUUGUCAAAUUGAGAUUUAAACCGUACAUUAACUCGAAAUCUAAACCAAAUUGAUCCUAAUACUUGAUUGUGUCACUGAAAAACAAAUGCAGAGCGAAAGUACAACUAUUUCAUCUUUGGUGAUGCGGAGCAAAACUAACAACUUUUUCAUCUUUGGUUUUGAAAUAUCUUCCUUUUAUAUUCUUUUUAUUUUUUAUUUUCUAUUCUUUUUGCAAAGUUCAACAUUUUGAGUAACUUGUGCAUUCAUAGCUUUAGAAUCUUGUGAUACUCUUUUACCGACUCGAGGAACUUGGAUUUUUUUUUAUUUUUUUCAUGUGAUGCACAUAUGAAGUGAUGCUGGUGAAUGAUGCAUGUGAAUAUAUCUGCAUGUGACAUGAUACAUGUGAAAUGAUGCAUAUGAAGUGAUGCUGGUGAAAAGAUGCAUUUGAAUACGUAAUGCACGUGAAGUGAUGCAGGUCACAUGAUGCAUGUAAAGUUCUAUACUUCUAUAGUGAUUUCCUCUAUCAAGCUUGAAAUUACCAGAGAAUGUUCAAAUCGUUAAAGACAAAUUAGUCGAAGUUUUUCAAAAAAGAUUACAAAACAUAAAUAGUACCAACAAGUUCAUCAAUUCGGUACUAGAUUUUAAAUCCAAAGUUAGGAAAGGCAUAAAUAUUGCACAACAAAAGAACAAUCAAAACUUAUUUCAACACCAAAGUAAAGCGAUUAUAAGAUAAUCCAGCUGAAUCAUAAGAAAAUGAUUAAACAACGAUUUUAUUUUGGAAUAGGAAUAAUGGAGUAAAUUUGGUUGAUUUGAAUCUCAAUUUCAUAAUUUGUAUUUCAAUUCAUGUAAUCGGGACUGGGUCGAAUUAUUAAAUGGUGUAGCACUAAGUUUAGUAUCUACUAAGAGUUAGCCUUCGUUAUGAAAGAUUAAGGGGGUGAGCACUAAAUUUAGUAUGUAGUAAGAGUUAGCUUGAUUUGUAUAGCUGUAUUAGGUCGGUCAACAUAUCAUAACUUGAAUUUAUUUCAUUAGAUAGUCAGUCUUUUAGAGUUUUGUUUAUUUUGAAAGAUCCGAGGCAUGCAAAAAGAAUCAGAAUGAGUGACUCUCAUUGUUGGUGUUUGAUUUGAGGUAUUCACACAGCGGAAAUUUAACCGCCCAAAUCCCAUAACAGAGGUGCAAGUCAAUUUUGAUUCCAGGGAGGAUUGAGAAAAGAGCUUUUCUUUUUUUAUUACUACUAACAAUUAUUUGAAUUUGAAUAUAAAUUUAAGUUUUAGUUUACACUAGCUAAGGAUAACAGUAAUAGAGUGCUCUCCUGCAACCAUCUACUUAGUAAUAGCUUAUUGGCCGCCCCAUAUUAAGUCAGUUUCAAUUGAAAGCAAAGAUUUCACUAGUAGUGAAAGGAUUAUCAAGUGAGAAACAUUUGUCUAGCCACGAGUAAAGUGUUUUAGGUUGUUUGUAAGACACAUGUAAAAGAAAAUACCGUCCUUUAAAUUAUGAAUUCAAGUUUAAAUUCAAGUUUUAAUUUCUUAAGUUCAAAGUAGGAAUUGGAAUAAUAGUUUGAUUUUUUGAAUUUAGUUCUAGUUUAAAUUUUGAUUUGAACUUGUUCCUCACUGGAUGGUACUUGAAAUCCUCAAGUGUUGCAUCCAUCAUGACUUGAUUAAUGUUUCUUUAAUCAAAGUUUGUUAUAUAUCUGGAUUACUUGUGUUAACGUAGUUAAUUUUUUUUUAUGGUAAAACAGGAGAUGGUUCUUAGUGUGCCCAAAUUCAUUAAUGGGAUAAGAAAAUUAAUGCACAAUGUAAGUUUGCACGUCCAAACAAUCACGGCCAAAAGAUCAGCAGUCAACGAAGCUAACCUAACGUAGAAUGAAAAUACAAGUGAGGAACAACAACUAACCUAAAACCAACUUACAAUAGAAUAAUCACAUAGUUAAUUAAUGAACACAGUAUGCAAAACAAUAAUAACAAUAUGUAACCAACUCAUAAGUGCAGAAUCGACUUGGCCAGCCUAUGUAUGACAAAAAAAGUUCUUAAACGAUUGUGAGUGAAGCUCGAACUGAAGUCACCACUGUUAAUACUUACUUCUGCCUUCUUUAAUUUGGCCUGUUUAACCCCUAGUGGUCAUUGUUCAUUCUGACUUGAACGUACCUUCCCCCCUUCAACAAUAGGUUGCGCAAAGAAGAUGUGAAGUUUGCAAAGGCUCCGGUCUUGUACUAAAAGAUACUUAUUACGUUCGCUGCCCUGGCUGUGGUAUGUUGAUCUUUAUCUGUGCAAACUUUUUAUUUUGUUGAUUCCUUUUUUUUUAAAAAAAACAUGUCCAUCUAAGCUUGAAAUUUGUUUUAAUAUUGAAGUAAAAUUCGCAUCAGUUUGUCCAUCAUUUUUCAGUUUAACAUUUUAAUCUAUUCCAUUUUGUAGGUGGCUUUCUGCCAUGGCAGUCGUGGAAAAGAUUCUUUACUGGUUAGAAAUUAACUAAGAAGUCUGUGGGCUGUUUUAUUUGUCCUACUAAAUUCGAACAAUAUGUAAUAGCAUGAAACUAGACAGAACCCAAGAGAAAGUAUAAGAAAUAUUUGAGGAAGUUUCAUAAAUUAAGUCACAGACAAUCAUUUAUAAAGCUAAUGAAGAGAAUUUUGAUGUAGACAUUAGAAGGUAAACUAUUGGAGUUUGUUGCAAAAAUAAUUGUUUGCAAGAACAUUUCGAAUACAAAACUUUUAAAUGAAGAGGUGAAUAAGGUACAAAUAAAAAAAAUAAUAUAAUAGUACAAUAGAAAUAUUGGAAGUCUUAGACAGUUGAAAUGAUUAGUCAUCGAAAGGUAAAGAGAACUGGAAAAAAAAAAACGAAAGCAAAUUUUAGGGGAUAAAAGAAUGAAAAAAGAAUUAAUCAUUAGAUGCAAUUAAAAAUUUUGGCAAAGGCCGCAAGAGUAUAGAAAGUAUACAUGAAAAAGAAACAGUUGUGAAAAUGCGCCAUUAAAAAUCACGAGCAAUCAAGGAUUGAAAAAAUAAGAACUAUAUAAUAAAUAGAAGACCAUACUUAAGAAUAUUAGACUUAGAUAUACCAAAUACAAUAAAAGAUAAAAUCAAAAACAAAGAAUUCGAUGCCUAGAAGUGUGUUUACCAAUCCUCUACUUGCAGUGUUGCAUAAUUAAAAGUAAAUUCACCUUUGCUUAUUUGAUUAUGACUUUGUAGUUCUAACACAGCCUACAAAUAAUAAGCAUCAGUAGUUCCAACACAGCCGACACAUAAUAAGCAUUUGUAGGUUCAACACGGUCUAUACAUAGUAAGCAUAGUGAAAUGGUGUAGUGGAAAAAAAAAAAAUUAUAAAACAUUUUAAGAAGAGAAACAAAACAAACAUCAUUGGAUAAAAACAAUCUAGAACUAACAUGAAAGAAAACGGAGGAAAAAAAACAAAUGAAACAAAAGCAAAACUAAAAGAUCAGUAAGAACAAACAAGACCAAAAGAGAUACAUAAGAGUAAAAGAGAGGGAAGAAAAAUAUGUGGUGCACAACCCAUCAUUGGCUAAAUAAUGAAAAGGUUGUAGCAUUUCUAGCUUUCGCUCUAAAGAACAACUGAAUAGCUAGAAAGAAAAGAAAAGUACAAGAAAAAUGAGAAGAUAUAAAGAUGAAAUAGCACAUUGGGUUGAUUUGAAGCGUUGAAUAAUAAAAUGCCCAAUAAUAUGUAAGGAAGUAGAAACCAAAAUAAAAUUAUACCAAAUUCAGAAUAGUUCCAUAAAUGAAGUCAAGAAGAAUGACCCAUCCAAGAAACACGAAAUCCCCCGAAAAUAUGCAUAAGUCAGUAGCUAUCGGAAUAUUGUAAAUAAAGAAAAGAAAGUGAGAAACAAUUAAAAAAAAAGGAAUGUAUAGCUAAUUAAGAAACAAGAAAAUUAACAAAGGGCAAGAGAGACCCAUAACUGUGAUAUACGAACUUUCAAGAACACUUUCAAAACCCAACAACCAAAAGCAAAAAAAAAAAAAAAAAAAAAAAAAAAAAAAAAAAAAAAGCGAAAAAGAAGAGUACACCCCUAAAAUGACAAUUUUGAAAGGCACACUUGAGAGAAAAGCAUUAACCUACUAGAAAAAUCAUCAUGAAAGAUAGCAAAAUGAGGAGGAUAUCAUAAGAAAUCAAAUUACGUCAUAGAAAUAUAACAAACUUGAAAGAAAAUCAACACAAAAAACUUCUGGAGAAACAAAGAAAGUAGGAAAUUCGAAUUACACAAAAUAUGAGUUGUUGUGAGUAAUUGCAUAUUUCAAUCUAGAAAACAAAAGUCAAAUUAAUUAGACAAAUUGAAUUACAAAAGAAAAUGAUUACUCUUCAAAAGACCCAACAUUCUUGACAAAGUUCUUGAAACGAAGUAAACCUACAACUUGCAUAGAUAUACCUCAUUCAACUUCAUAGCAAAGUUAGAGAAUUCAUACAUGGCGAUAUUAAAUGAAUAAAUACAGUGAGCAACCAUAAAUGUGUCAUCAUCUGAUGCAAGAAACUCAGCAGUCAUACACUACAUAGUAAUCAAAGUUGGGAAAUACUACUGUGAACCAACACAAUUUCAUUUUGCAAUCAUCUUCACAAAAAGUAAAAGGGUCAAGCAGUUUGCUCAAUCAAAAGCAGUAUAUGAAUCAAACAAUUAUUUUCCCAUGCUUAAAAUAUGCCCUGCAAUGACAAGAAUACUCGUAUUAAAUUAUGAAUAUUUGUAUUACAUUAUGACCAAGGAGGUGUCAUUUUGUAGCAUGAUUAGAUAAAUUUAAUAUAACAAAUCUUACAUAAUUUAUAUCAAAAUUCUUUCUGAGCAAACAAUUUAUCUUAAUUCCACACUCGUUGACAUCUAAAUGUAUUAGAUAUCUGAACUGGGCCGUGCCAAGUAUUUAAGAGCUAGUCCGGAGUAAGCUCCACUGCCAGCCCAUCAGCACGUAUUCAUUUUGUAUAUUUGUUUCAGUGGUCCAGGGAUUGGGGUCCAACAAAGUUGGGUUAAGCUCCUUAAGAAAAAAGACUCGAACAUAUACAAUUUAAUAUGUACAUUUGAAAAUAUAAUGGCCUUGACCAAUUGAUGCAUUGGUUUUGAAUCUGAGCCAACUUGCUUCUCACCGACCUAAUAGAAAUCAGCCCAAGAAAGUUUGAUUGUACCACUACCCGAGCUUUGUUAGCAAUUAUGCUCUAAAGACUUUGAAUAGGCCAGCAUAGCCUGUGGGCCUUAGAAACUAAUCAGAGAGAGCAGUUUCAUGUCCACCUUGUUCUUAACCGAAACUUAUUAUGCCUUCAAUUUUUUUUGCUUUCAUUAGAUCGAGCCAAGAAUGAUUUAAUCGGCCAAAAAUUAGAAGAAUUGGAUCGGAUGAGCUAUUUCGAUUAUGGUAGAUCUAUGCCCAAUUGAGAAGGAUUGCACCAGCAACUACUUCGUAAUGAGCAUAAGUUGGUGUCUAAUUGUUCAUCAAAGAUUUGAGCUAUUAUUUCUACACAUAAUUGGAAAGAAAUUUAACUUUAACAUAGAAGAAAAGCAAAAAAAUAUUUUUGAAUAACACGCUAACAAGAUGUACAUGAUGGCAACAUGAUAAAAGAAAAUAGUCGCCAAAUAGGAUAUAUAUCUCAAUAUAGGUCAAUAAAUUACUUUACGAUGAUAAAUUACUUACAAGGGUUAUUGUAUGCAGUGACACUACAACAUUCUUCUACUGUUUAACGACAACCAUUAAUAUCCUAAAUAUAAAAACAGCAAAGCAUAAAACCAAAAACAAAAUGUAGUCACUAGAUGUCCACAGCAAUUUCAAUUUUGUACAUUUUUAGAUUGAAAGUAUUGGUUAGUGGCACAAAAAAAGUAUAAAUAACUAAUACAACAAACAACAAAAACAUGUAAUAUUCAACAGCUCUUAUAUAUUUAUUAAAACUUCAAUCCUGCAGAAACAAAAAUGGUGCGUAAUGAAUAUAUGAUGGCUGCAAGGAAAAAUUCUAGCCUCCAUGCCUAUGAUACUGGGACCCCAAACUCAUAUCAUCACUUAAUUAUUAUGCUGCAAAUGUAACCUCAGAAUUGAGUCAAACAUUGUGUCAAAAAGAAUUAGAGUUGUACAGCAAUAAAUUGAACUACCCAGAUAGCAUGACAUGAGUCAGCAUAAACAGAAAAAAUUUAAGUGAACGAACAACAAAUUAACAAUGACACUGAUAGGCGCAAGCAUAAAGAAGAAUUUAGGUCUCACUACUAUGCCAAAUAGGCACUAGACCAAGCUUCACUAAUCUGGAAAAUAAUGCCACACAUGACACUGCUAAAACCAAGAAUUUAAGUAUCCAUCGGCACGGGCCGUUUCUUUUGUGCCGUAUCGUGCUGAUAAGAUACCAGUACGGUACAGUCUCCGUGCCGAUAGCACAGUUCAAAACCCUUUUUACUUUAAAUUAGGAAGUAUUUUUUUCAAUAAAGUUCAAAAGAUUUGAUAAAGACAUAUACUAAGCAAUUAGAAAAUUUUGUUGAUAAAGAAAAUAAAUUUUGCAUAUCAUUAAGUAUCGGCACACAUGUAUUUUUUGUGACCAGUACACAUCGGUACAGUCCGAUACGCACCAUGCCAUACCAUGCUAGUAAGUUUACAGCACGAUCGCAUGCCACGAUACUUAAAUCCUUGGCUAAAACAGACCGAAUUAGAUCAAUACCUAGAACCCAUUAGGCCUAGCUACUGUUCCGGAUGUAGUGACCUAUGCUAAAACAUUUGACAAAUGAAAUAGUUUAGAUCGUUUUCUAUGUUUGAAAGUUGUGAUGUGCUUGCAAGCCUCAAAAGUAGAAAACACACUAAAAAGGGUUCUAACAAAGGAUGAGGGGUUUUAACAAGAAAACAGUUAGUGCUUCUCCAAAUAUCAUUGCUCAAUAGGCACAUCGUCGAAAUACACUAAACAUUGAAAUCCGGAAAAAAAAAUCCCAUAUCUCUCGGCAUCCUUUGAUACCGCAAUGUCAAUUUUCAUCCUCCAAACCUAAAUUAUUCCCAUUCCCAAAAUUGUCAAUACCAAAGUUGUUAGAUAUUCAUACGUGUAAUUCAUUUCCAUUUAUCACAUUUCAAAUAUUAACAUUCACACAUACAACUACAUAGGAAAUUAUGUUCAAACAACUGAAUUCUUAAAAUACAUUGUUCUCUAUAAGAGAAUACUCAAUGAAGACAUCUUUAUCAAUAAACAAGCCUUUUGAUUCACCUCUGCAGGGUCGCCUAAAAGAAAACCAAUUCUUGUACUUGCAAUCUUUUGGGCAAGAUUCUUUGCUGAAUUAAAUGCCAUCAAGUCUAUUCUCAUUGCUUUGUGUAAUGUUAAUUAUCAAUUCUACUCUCUGAAGGCACAUUCUAUUUAAACAAAGAAACUUAUCUUCAUGAUGUGCCAUAUGGGUCCUAUUCCUAAACUCCACAAUUUAAAAUUGCAAGGCUGCCAAGGAUAAUAUUUAGAAACAUGUAGCAUAUUAUCAACACAUUGUCAACAGUUUGUUCAUUUAUUGCUCCUUUCUUGCUAUCAAAAAUGAAAAAUAUCAGGUAAGAGAGGAAAAUUACGAAAAAGAAAAACCUGAAGUGGCUAGACCAUUCAAAGAGUAUUCAUGUUUGGUUAGCUUAUUUUCUAGACAAUUAAGAGUAUUCGAAGUUAUCAAAACUAUUGUGCACUUUGAAAGAGCGUUAGCAUACCGCUUGAUUAAGUUGCCGUAGUGUAUUAAACCUCGAAAACAUUAUAACCAAGAAUCCUUCAAGAUGUACAAGUUUAAUCAAUUUCCAUUAGUAUGUUGUGUUGUCUAAUAUAAUGUUCACAAUAGCAACUAAAUGCAAUAACUAAUAUAUACACAAAGAAAUUGGCAAUACGGCAAUACCAACCAAUAAAUCUCAAAAAAUCAAGUUUCAAACCUAAAAACACCAAAACCAGGGCAUCCAUAAAUCAAAUAUGAAGAACCAAAGAGAUCUUCCCAAACUUCAAGCAAGUCCAAGCAAUUUCGGGGGAGAAAUCAAGAGUUGGGAAGUAUGGAAGAAAAACAAACACUCGAGAAAAUGAUUUGACCAAUUGAGAAAACUACCACUACAUAUAGAAAAUAGCUACCACCCCAGGCGUCCGAUAAGUGUGUGAAGUUACCACAUAUUCCAAUCCAUGAAGCUAAGGUCCAAUAGUACAUCAAUCUUACUCAAAAGCUGAGCUAACAGUACAUCAAAAUGAAUUAACAGUACAUCAAAAACUUAUUUAGCAAAUAACCAGGUAAUUGAAAAAUAGAUGUUUAGGAAUUAGGAUAAUAAACUGAACUAGCAGAACUAGCACGACAGUACAGUAAGGUUUCAGCAGAUAACCACCUUAUAUGCUCAUCAAGCUCAAAAAGAGAUAACUAGAAUGACAAACUGAACUAGCAAGAUAGCAAAUAAGAUUUAGCAAACAAACAUUGUAUAUGCUUAUCAACCUAACUCAAAAAUAGAUGUCUAGAAUGGCAAACUGACCUAGUAGGACAACAAAGUAAGAUUCAACAAUAACCAGCUUAUAUGCUCGCUAAUCCAACUGAAAAAUAGAUGUCUAAAAUGAGAAACUUAUAAGAUUGUAAAAAAAGAUUCAACAAUAGAGCCAAAAUUUAAUCAAGUGGUAUGUUACGAUGUCUUUGAAAGAGCGUUAACAUGCCACUUGAUUAAAGAUUGUUAUACAACAUAAAUUUGGCCAAUAAACUCUAAAAUUUGAAGAUUGCAAAACUCGAGUACCCGGGGUGGCUCUUUGAGCCUCUUUUAAGCAUAACCAACAACAUAUCACCAAAAAAAUUGUCUUUUUUUUUUUAUUUUAGAAGCAUCAAAAACAUGUGAUAGCUUAACACACCUACCGAAUGACCAGGGCGGUAACCCUUUCCUACAUGUGGUAAUAAUUUUCACACUCAUUUGGGACGUAACUCUUUCCAUAUCUUUUUAUGCAUAUAAUAUUUUAUUUUCAUGAUCACUCCCCCCUAAAUAUGCAACCCUAACUAAAAAGCAUACAAACUGAGUUUAUUAUCAUAUAUAGAUAAUUUUCAUUUAUUAUCUUCAACAACGCACAAACAAGAUAGUAUAAAUAACAAGUGAUUAUUAUGAGAUGAACGAAAUCUGAUAAAGACAAGAAAAAAGUAGAUAAAGAGAGAUACAUCAGGAAAAAUGAUGAAAUCGGUCAUAAUGGUAAAACUUUAAAACUUAAUAAGGAGGAGAUGAAACAACAUGAACAGCUCAUCACUAGCAAAUAGAAUAAUUAGCUUCUUGUUCUCAAAAAUCGCAAACAUCUUAUGCUAAAGAAACAUCAUCCUUGUUUCAGAUAAUGGAAAGCAUUACUUGUUGAAAAAGAAACAAAAAGCUAAUCCUAUAAGUGUUGACUUUAAGAUGUACAAGGAAUGACGAAAGAUAAUUUCCCAUGCAAUAAGCGAGUUGGAAAGAGGUUACCGAUUUCCCAUUUGGACAAUCCUUUUUGUCCUUAUAAGCUAAACUUCUUCUCUAAAGAAUAAAUAAAAAGGUAGUGAAAGCAAAAAUUAAUGGAAAAGUGAGUAUUCAUCUAGAUGGUAGCUGAAAGCCAACCACUUCUCUCGUCACUUAAGUCUACUGAUAUCAGGUUGCCUAAAAAGGAAGUGCCAAAGUGCUGCGCGGUAAUAAAGCAUUUAGCUGAACUUUCGACAACCUUGCACGUAUGAACAUUAAUAAGAAGACUAACAUGACGGACACAAAUAAGACCAAAAAGCAACUUAAGAGCGUUAUCAGCCGAAAGUCAAUAGAUCUCCCCCGAACUCCGACAUGAGAUUUUUAUGAGGAACAAAAGUAAUGACAAGACAAAUAUAAGAAAAAAAGGAGGAAAAAGAAAAAGGAAUGCGUGGUAUGUGAAUCCUAUGCCUACUUAAUCCACCAAAGGUAACGUGCAUGAGGUACCGCGUGCACAAGCAAGUCCAAAAUUUAAACACUUACUUUAAUGAAAAAAUUAAUUAAGAAUAUGGGCACUUGUACUUAGUUCAUAGUCUUCUCGCUAACGGCCAAUUUGAACACAGAUCUUGUAAUGGCAUACAUGUAUAUAUGACAAACAAGUAGCAAAGGGCAGAUGAAAUUGUUGUGUGAGACGCACAAAAGCUUACCGCCAGAAGGGCAUCAUCGAUGAAAUUGCCGUGUAUGGUACCCGGCGGGCGGGCGGGCGGGGAUGCAGACGGCCGCCAGGUUGAUCAUCUGUGUUACGCAAACGAGAGAGAGUUAGGAGUGGAAACGGAUGGAUGCUUCGCUUCCGCCAAACCCUAAGGAAUCCAUCGAAACAACGCUAUAGGUAUACGAAGGGCGAAGAAGAAGUAGAAGGCAAAAGAAACCACCAGAAAGAUCGCAGGAGGGAAGAAACGAGGUACAGGUGAGGAAGCAACUAAGGAUUAGGAGUCGGGAGCCGUUCUUGAUGUUGAGUCGGCGGAGCUGGAUCCGACGGGGCCUCCGGCAGGGGUUCUUGAUCUUACUUUUCGCUGCAGACGUCCAGAUCCGACCUCGUCGUCGCCGUUCCGAUCGGCUUCCUCUACUUGAGAUCAACCUGCCAGGAUCCUCGGCCGAGGAUUCGCAAUGGAGAUGGAAGGGAAAAGAAAGAAGAGGAGCGGCUCCCGCCUACACGAUUCGUUACGUUCGAUCGCGUGGCAAUGCCGAUCAAUCAAAAAUCCGACCGUUAGCAGGACCCAAUCCUUAUUCUGACUAAGACUAGAAAUGCCUGGUGCAUGGCUCGUAGAAAUUAGUUUGAAAAUCGAAUAGAAUCCAAAGUUCGACUGGCCGAAUCAUAAUCCAAUCUAUUAAACUAUUUGGUUCAACCAACCUCUUACUGAUAAGUUAGAAAAUUACUUUAAACCCUUUAAACUAUUCGAAUUGGUAGUGCAACUAUCAGCCGGCCUAAUUUUUUUUAUCAAGUUAUAUUAAAAUCCAACGGCAAAAAAUCAAUUUUAGUUAGAUCUACAUUAUGAAAAAGUAAUUUCAGUAGAACAGGAUUAGCUUUUAAUCCGGUCGAAAAGCUCUUUUUUUGAAAUAAUUUUAUAAAAUUAUUUGGCGAAAUGUUUUUUAUUGUUUGCAAAAUAAUAUUGUUUUUGCUAAAUUUUAUUCAAACAUGAAAUUCAAAAUUUUGAAUUAGACUCUAAACGUUUUAAAUUUUAAUAUCUUAAGCAGAAUUUAAACUUUGAUAUUGAAUUUAAAAUUUAAAAUAUAAAAAUUUUAAAAACUAAAUCUAAAUUUCAAAUUUUAAAAUUCAAGUUUAAGAUAAAAUUCAAAUUAUGAAAUCUAAAAUCAAAAUUUGAAAUUUGAAAUUUGAAAUUUGAAAUUUAGAAAUUUAGAAAUUUAAUUUUAAAUUUUAAAUUUUAAGUUCGAAUUUUUGAAUUUACAUGAGUUUUUAAAAUUUUUAUAUUUUAAAUUUUAAAUUAAAUUUAAGAAUUUAGAAAUUUAAAACAUAAAAUUUUAUAUUUUAAAUUUCAUGAAUCAAAUUUUAUCUUAAACUUGAAAUUUGAAAUUUAAAAUUUUCAAAUUUGAGUUUUAAAAUUUAACAUCUAAAUUUAAAAUUUUGAAGUUUAUAAUAUAUAACUAAAAUUAAAAAUUAAAAAUUUAAAAUUUAAAAUUUAAAAUUUAAACUUAAAAAUCUAAAUUUUAUUAUAUUUUUAAAAUUAAAUUUUGAAAUUUGAGUUCAAAAUCGGAAUCAGAUUUUAAGAAGCAAAUUUUUGUUACUUCUACUUUUGGACCUCUAAAAUAAAAAAAUCAAUUUAAGAAUCAGAAUCAGAUUUUGAAAAAUAAUUUACCAAAUAAUCGCUUGAAAGAGAAUUCAUCUUUGAAUCUAAAAUGACGUUUCAGAAUCUAGGCCAAAUACCUCCUUUUAUUAUUUUCUAUUAGCACCGAUUAGUCUUAUAUCCACUUAAUUUAAUCCAUAAAUUAAUAUUUUAAAUUAAAUAUGAUACUAAAUAAUAAUAUAUACAUAUUUUAUUAUACAAUAAAAUUAAAAAUAAUAAUUCAAUAUUUAUAAUGUUAUGUUUGAUGCCAUUAGUUCAUCCGGAGCUCUUGACCCAAAAAUAUUUUUGAAUCACUAUUUUUAUCUGAUUUUUAAAAUAUUGGUAGCAAUUUUUUCAAUUUAAGUUUGACCAUCAGCAGUAUUCCAGUCUGAUUCCGGCCAAGACUCGAGAUGUUCAGACGUGGGCCCCGUGAAAUCUCCUUCAAAGUUAAUCUAAUCAUCAUUUGCAGAACCUCACUUUUUUUUUUUUAGAGAGAUAGGUAGCAUGCUACCCGCUUCGUUUAUUUCAUUUUAGAUAAAAAUAAAUUUAGCUGAAAAUGUGAAUCAACUAGAAUUCGAAUUUGAGAUCUUGAAUAUCAAUCACCAAAUUUUUUGUCAUUUACUUGGCAGGUCGAACCCCAGUUUUAUUAAUUUACGAUAAUUUAGGUCCAACAAUUUUUAAAAUACGAAAGAGAGCGCAAAGAGCUCCUCCGUUUCUCCUUAUUAACUAAGGUACGAUCCUUCCUACCAACUCCAGAGGAGAAAGCCCCAUCUGCGACUCCCCUCCCCUCUCGUUUCUCGGCCGACACCUUUCCUACACUUGCACGUGACUGAGAGACGAGUAUUCUAUUCUACUAUUAUUAUUACUAGUGAAGAUAUCUGCGUGUUACGGCCAGUCGAUUUCGUAGAAACAAAUAAAGCUAAAAAAAUUUAAAAACAGUAACUACUAUAGUAAAAUAUAAGAAUAAAAAUAUAAGAAGGAUAAAAAAGAAUAAGAAAAAAAUUUAUAAGAAUAAUAAAUUAUAUUUAUAAUAGUAAUAGUUCAAAUCUAUAAUUGCAAUUUAUUUAAAUUUGAGAACUACACAUACCUCAUACUUUGAGCAAGAAAAUAUACCCUAUUAAAAUUCAAGAAUUAAAGUUUCAUGUCUAUUAUUGUUUGAGGAUCAAAAGUGUAAUUUAUCUUUUUCAUAUUUUAAUUUUAUUCCAGACAAAGACAGAAUUAAGCAUCGAUCAGUUUUAUUCAAUUAGUAAUUUUAUUUGAGGAAAGAAUAUGUUAAAUUAUCUAAUAAAUUUUAAAAUAUGAAAAAGAUAAAUUACGAACCAUUUUGAAUUAGCUGUCCAACCUUUCAAAAUUUUAUUUUUAUUAUCUAACUUUUUUAUAUGUUAGACUUGAAUUAGUUAAUGAUACUUUGACUUCAAAAUUUAAAUUUAUCGUUUAGAUUUACAUAUUUAAUUAGUACUUCCUAUAGUUUUCACAACUAAAUUUAUUAAAUAAGUAAUUAACUUAAGCUUCAUCCACUGCUCUUUUAUUUUUUAUUAUAUAAUUUCUAUCUAAGUGAUCAAUAUAAUAAAAUUAAAUUUAUAUUUAAUAAUGCAAUCUAAACUUUUCUAGAGUGAAAUAAUGGAGAGAAACUUCUUACCAAAGGAAGUGAAUAUUGGGGAAAAAAAUUUUGCCAAUUUCUUUAGAGCUUUGUAUAAUUAUAGAUCACCACCUAAACUUUUGAAAUACAAAGAAACGUACUUCAAAGUUGGGGAUUUUCGUAACAAUUAAGAACAAUACUACACGUACACUUAUAAUGAAGAUAUAAAUCUUACACCAUAACAUUUAAAAGGCCAAUGUUUACUCAUUUGUCUUAUAAUUUUUUUUUUUAAUACUGCAAAUCCAAAAGAUUUUAGACCCUAGAAUUAUAGGUGUAAGAAGUACAGAACAUUUUUCUAAAAUUAAUGGGAGCUUGAAAUAAAAAUCACAUACAACGCAUUCCAUUAGGCCCAUUGUGGGUAUUGGGCCUCUGCAGGCUCUACAUAAACAACUGUGGAGUUGUCCAAACACGGGCCAAGAAGGCCCAGUUUUGACAAUAUAACUAUUCGGCCCAAUUUAUUGGACCAAAAUGGCCUUUUCUUCGUUUGGAUUCGCCUUGGACUUGAGAUUUAACUUUUAACCCCUCGGGUCGAUUCAUAGUAGGCCUGGUUUUGGGUUCACGUGAAAUUGGAACUAAUUAAAGUUUGAGGAUGAAAGUGUCACAUGCCUCAUUAUUUAAAUUAUAAUAUAUUAAAAUUCGAGGAUUAAAGUGUUACUCGUCUUAUAGUUUUAAGGACGAAAAGUGUAAAUCCAAUUUUUCAAAAUUUUAUUUUUAUUAUCUAAUUUUUUUUAUAUAUUAGAUUUUGAUCAAUCAAUGAUAUUUUGACUUUAAAAAUUUAAAUACAUCGCAUAGCUUUAUAAAUCAAUAAUUAGUAUAUUUUAUAUAAUUCUCGCAACUAAAUUUUAUCAAAUAUAAAAUUAAUUUAAACUCUAUUAAUUUUUUUUAUUUUUUAAUGUACAAUCUAGCCAUAUCUAAAUGCUCAAUAUUGUAAAAUUAAAAUUUAUAUUUAAUACAAACAAUCUAAAUUAUUUAAAAAUUAUUUAUAUAUUUUAAAUUUUUAUAGUAUAAAUAAAAAAUAGAUUGGACUAAAAAAUAUAUAUAUAUUUUUACAAGUACAUGAAAGAAAAAAAUUUGAAACCAGAGGAGGAAAAAAGAAAACUCCUCCCUCUCUCCCGGCUGGCCCCCUCGCACUGGCCAGCGCGAGUGCCCACGCCGCGCAAGCGCCCGCACAAGCUCGGCUCGCGCCGGCUCGGACCCGCACGCGCGCCUCGCCGGCGCCAGCUCCCACUCGCCCACGCCGCUCCCACGCCCUCGCCUGCACGUGCUGCUCGCGCCGUGCCCAUGCUCGCGCCCAAGCUUGCCCCUCCCCACUCUUCCGCCAGCGCGUCAAAAAACCUGAGCUUUCAUUUAUUUAUUAGUGAAAUAGCCGCGCGAUGUGCGGAUAUAAAAUUAUUUUUAUAAUAAAUUUUAUUUUUUUAAUAUUUUUAUAUAAUUUUAUAAGUCUAAUUAUUAAUUAAAUAAAAGUUAUAUAAAAAUAAUUUAAUAGUUAAAUCUAUUUAAAUAAAAGUCAUUAAAAUUGAUAUAUGCGCAAAGUAAAUUUAUAUAAUAAUUUAUUUUAUAAAGAUACAUAUGAAAAGGAUUUGAGAUAAAUCUAUCAAAAUAAUUUUAAAAAAUCAAUAAAUAGAAGGAAAAUAAAAUUGUAAAUGAAAUUGUUUAAUAAAAUUAAUUAUAUAUACACAGAAAUAUACUAUAUUUUUAAAAUUUUACUCCUAAAAUUUAAAAACUAUAUUUUUUUUAUACAACAAUAUUUUACGUGAUUUAAAUUAUAUCUAUCAGGUUAGAUUUUAUUACGUGAUUUAUUAUGCGUAUUAUUAAUAAAAUUAAUUAAUUAUAUUAUAAUUUAAUUAAUGUCACGUCCCGGAUUACACGUUUUCCGGGCACGCCGACAAAUCCACCGUAUACAAAAAAAAUUUUCCUGUAUACGAAGCGAUAGCUGUACUUGUAAAUCAUACAAUACUACAAACAGUAGUAUAGAGCUGCUAGAAGAAUCAGAAUUAAAACAAACCGAGUUCCAUAUACAUACGCCAAAAUUCAAGAAACAAAACUACUCGCAUUGGCGAGUUAAAUAAAUGUAUGUACAUGAACUCCAACAAAACAACUACCACCUGUAGGGGCACCUCUAGCUCGGCUCGUCGGGUAGGGCUCUAACUCGCGACGCCUUUGCCUCGAUCCUGAUCAGCAACAGCAGCAGCCGAAGAUGAUGGCUCUGCAAAAACGGGGUAACAAUAGAGCGUGAGAACUACUGUAAAACAAGUAGUCCUCAGUGGGUGCCGCCCUCAAUAUCAUUGGUCCACCCACUAAGUCUACAGAAGGGAGCAAAGGUAAUAGUAAAUACCGGAAUAAAAUCUACGGUUACCAUUUAUUACACUAUCAUGCUCUAAGCUAACCUACUGUAGAACUGUCAAUUCUGACCCAAUCUCUUUAGGGACUGUAAACAUACCCGUCCCAAGGACUGUGAAUAUACCCGUCCCGCCCAGUUGAGACUAUCCAGCUACCUCCAUACUAACUAGUCCGUGGAGAGCAAGUCUAACCGGCAUACACGACACCAACGCAAAAGCACAGCGCCCGUCUCCGGAGUGGCAUUCGUAGGAGCUACCCAACCGAGUAUGCAGCGUAUCUCUGUCGAGCUCAAUCAGGCUCUCUCAAGCCAAAGUCCAAGUAACCAACACUAACGACCAACUCACAGUCACGUGCCAUAGGCACAAUCCGACGCCAAAAAGGCGAUAUAGGUUCACCGUCAACCCCGACGGCACCCAACAGUCUGGAACAGCCUGAACGCUACUGUAAAAAUACACUCGGCAUCCCAGCACGAGCGUAACAUAAAACUAAACUAUCUGGGGUAUCCGUCGCCUUGAUACUGCGACAAUACAAAAUUACAACGGCUCCUAGAGCUAAAUCAGGUAGUGUAAACAAGUGACAGGUCCAAAACGCUGAUUUUCUCCUAAGUCAAAUUCCAAGUCCAACAUGUAUAUUUUAUUGUUGCCAAUCAUGUCCUCAAUGUUGAUUUCAUCCAUGAUACAAUCAACAAAAAUGAAUUACAACAUGAUUUACAAAACUGAAAAUCAUACAUGUCGACUAAUACUGUGCUUAGAAAUAAACCGAUGUAACCCACCUCAAAACCUAAACCCUGGCAGUGAAUGAGGUCGCCGGAGUCCCUGCCAAGCUCGGCGCAACCCAACGAACCAGCGAUAACAACACUCCACGAAUCUAGACAUAGAAACCCAUAAUAAGCAUCAAUUCUGCCCAAAACAACAGCAGCAGAGUGGAACAGGAUUUCGACUAAGCUAACCUUCACCAAAAUCGACAAUCUUGGGCUUAGUGGAAUCCUCUCGAAGUCCUGAAUCCAACGAACCAAGUCUCGCUGCAAUCCGACGCUCCUACGUCGCGUACGAGUCGAAAUGCCAACGGUCGACACAGAAAAUCUGCGAAACAGCAUCCUGGAGCUCGGAAGUGAUAAAGACUUGCCAUGGUUGGAGAAAUAGAUGAACAUCUCACCUCAGCAGUGAUUCUAGCACCGGCGCGACGUCAAGAACGGCGAAAAUGCACCCUUGCCCGGCUUCCUCGCGAUGCAACGGCAACAAACGCGCGCUCGAAUGGCUCCACGGCGCGACGUCGGCGACGGAACUACCCCACCCGAGCUCCUCCACCACGCUCGGUCACGCACAAGGAGAGGAGAGAGAGAGUGCUGAAGUCCUCUCCUCUCUGCUCUCUCUCUCUAUCCUAUAUAGGAGGGAGAAGGAGUGGGUGAAAACAACGAGGGAAGGAAAGACCAAAAAGCCCCUUACCUAACCUGGCGUACCGGUACACGAGCCCACGUACCGGUACUAGAAGCCAACCCGAGAGCAGUUUGCGCGCAGCCUGUGCAGUGUACCGGUAUACCGUGAUGGCUAUACCGGUACAGCAAGCAGAAAAACAACUAUUUGCAGAUUUUUCUUGCUAAAUGCUGCUCUCGCGUCGCACAGAGUUCGUUUUGCGUCUAUUUCACGCCAACGCGAUUCAGACUUGUCUCGACACUCUCGAGAGCUGUCGACAAGCCUCAACCGCCAAACACCAGAGAUCUCACAAUUAAUUAUUAUAAUUUAUAAUUUAAAAUUAAAAUUAUGAAUAUUAUAAGUUAAAAUUAAAAUUUAGAAUUUAAAAUUUAGAAUUUAGAAUUUAGAAUUUAAAAUUUAAAAUUUUAAAACUUGAAAGUAUCAAAACUUUAAAUUUUCAUAUCAAAAUUUAAUUACUAAUAAGCUGUUAUACAAUUUAUUAAUAAAAUUAAUUAUAUAUAUAUAUAUAUGUGUGUGUGUGUGUGUCUGAGUGAGAGAGAGAGAGAGAGAGAGAGCAUGAAGUGGAGGGUUGGGGGACAGGUGUCAACCUAAGGUUCCCCCAACCCUCCUUUAAUGUAAUAUAUAUAUAUAUAUAUACUAGUGCAGAAACCCGCGUGAUGUUGCGGGUAGAUAAUAAAAAUAAAACUUUAAACUUUUUUAGUUAAAAAGUAAUAAUAAUAAUUAAAAUUUUAAAAUGUAUAUGGUAACGUAAUAACAUAAAAUAGCAAGUAAGUAUAUUUUACCGUUGAAAAAAGAUUGAUUGUUAUCUUUUUGAAUUGAAGGUGAUACCAUAUUUUUAUAAUUGCAACAUCUCUCUCAUAAUUGUACUAAAAGCCAACAUUUAGAAAGAUAACAAAAAAGUAUUACCUAUUCCUUCAUAAAUUGGAUUGCUGUAUUAUUCAAUUCAAGAAGGAAAAAAACACUUAAAAAUGUCACCCUCCUUUUUUUUUCCCAUUGCCUUUUCAUUACAAACCUUGAGACGGAGAGAAAAUAAAUAACAUCAAAACUAUUAUAAAGAGUUUCUUUUUUCGAAAAAAGUUAAAGUGGAUAGCUUAAGUUUUUUUGAACCUAUCUUUUAAUGAAACUCAUAACUUUUAACCAACAAUGAAGCAAAUAAAAAAAAGUAACUCAUAAACUUAUAAGAAUUUAGCGAGAAGUGAAGCAAAAAUAAAUAAAAAAAGAAAAAAGCAAAAGGAAGCAGGGUAAAAAAAACUAAAAAUGCACGCACCUCACAAAUAUACAUAGACUCAUCAACCUUUUCUAUAAAACCUAGUUUGAUUAAACUCCCCUCUUUUGCAAACUUAUUUCUCUAUUUUUUCUAAAAAAAAAAAGGGAGAAAAAAAAAACUCUGUAAGUUUUCUAUUACCUCGUUAUAUUAUUUCAUCUAAUAGGCGAUGUUGAUGGUGCCGGCAACGACGACAGGGCUGAUGAUGUUAAUUUAAAGUUAUUAUAAUCUUCAUUAAGCUCAUCAUUCUCCUAAAUCUUGUAUCUACAUUUCUCCUUCCUAUCAUAUCACAAAAAUGAAAUAAAAUAGAGAAAAAACAACACUUUAGCCAAUUCAAAAAAAAUAAAAAAAAAGAAAGCUCAAUAAUUUUUAUUUUAAAAUAAUAUUACCUUGAAAAUCUAAAUAUUAUUUUGCGGAUGAUAACCAAAAAGGAAAAAAAGGGAGAAAAAAAAAACUCUGUAAGUUUUCUAUUACCUCGUUAUAUCAUUUCAUCUAAUGGGCGAUGUUGAUGUGCCAGCAAUGACGAUGGGGUUGAUGAUGUUAAUUUAAAGUUGUUACAAUCUUCAUUAAGCUCACAAUUCUCCUAAAUCUUGUAUCUACAUUUUUCCUUCCUAUCAUAUCACAAAAAUGAAAUAAAAUAGAGAAAAAAUAACACUUUAGCCAAUUCAAAAAAAAUAAAAAAAGAAAGCUCAAUAAUUUUUAUUUUAAAAUAAUAUUACCUUGAAAAUCUAAAUAUCAUUUUGUGGAUGAUAACCAAUAAAUGAGAGUUGGGAUGAUAAUAGUGAGCAAAGCCCAAAAGAAGAAGAUGAGAACAUCAACUUUUGGAGGCAUAUUUUUUUAUUUUGAAUUUUAUUAAUGAAAAAAUUUAAAAAGUAAUAGAAAUUAUUAUAGUUUAUUAGACAAUUAAUUAUUAGAGUUUAUAAUAAUUUAUCAAUUGCAAUUAUGAAGAACCGUUUCCUAAUUUAGAAAAUUAAUUGCUAAAAAAAGGUUAGUAUGAAAUGUAGAAUGUAAAGGGUUAUGUGGAAUUAAUAAAAAGUAAUAAAUUUGACAAUUAAUUAUUAUAGUUUAUAAUAAUUUAUCAAUUGCAAUUAUGAAGAACCGUUUCCAAAUUUAGAAAAUUAAUUGCUAAAAUAACAGUUAGUAUGAAAUGUAGAAUGUAGAGGGUUAUAUGGAAUUUAAAAAAUAAAAAAAUCAGAAAAAUUUAAAAAAAGAGGUCAUGCCACUCAGCUUUUGUUAUUGGGAUUAAUAGAAAGUAAUAGAUAAUAUAUAUAUAUAAUAUAUAUAUAUAUAUAUAUAUAUAUAUUAUAUAUAUAAUUAAUAUAUAUAUAUAUAUUAUCUACUAUAAAAUAAAAUAAUAAAUAACAAUAAAGAAAAAAAAAAUAGAUUAUUUAUUUAUUAUUUAUAGAUUAUAGAUUAUUUAUAUGCUCUAAACUAGCUAAUUGAUGGCCGCUCCGAAGCUUAUUUUUCUUUUCUUUUUUGGGAAAAGAAAUGGGCUAAACUUUGUGACUUUCUCUUGAAUCUACGUACGGGUUUGUGAUUUAAUCCUACCCAGGAAGUAUAGAUUUCUGUUUUUGUAUAUAGUCGCCGGUUGUUUUUCUUCCUUCCCUACUGCUCGGGGUGCUUUCGGCUACAUGAUUUUUGUUUUUCUGUAGAUGGUCGUACGGGUUUGCGCUUUUGCAAAAGUUGGCCACCUUUUUUGAUUUUGCAGAUUUAGGCCGGAUUUUCAGGCGUCUUAUCAAAAUGCCCCUCGUCUACAUCCGCCGCUCGCGUAUUCCCUAAGAUACGUAUAUCCUAACAUACGAUCCUGGCGGGCAUUAAAUGCACUCCUUUCGUUUCACGCAACCUUGCUCUUAUCAUAACUCGGACCAAAUCGGCACUGUUAUUCGCCAGCACCGCUGUUUGCUGUUCGGCUUUAAGAAAUUAAAUUUGCUGAAGCUACAAGAUAAGAACAACGCGGUCCGCAAAAGAAAUAAUAGUGCAACGCCACGAAGCAAUGCGAAGACAAAUGGUGCAACAACCUUUUUAAGAGUGCAUCCCUCUGCUGCUAGUAGUGCGACGCUGGCGUGUAGUCUUCUCCCUCACCAGGGCAACCUCCCAUUCUCUUGGAAGGCAAUCAGGCAGUUUUCUUCCCAAACCGUAAAAAGCGUAGAGGAGUUUAUUCCAGUACUCAUUUGCAGAGGAGAAGUGGAAGAAGCGUGGCCGAGAGACAUGGCUUUAGGGUCUGGAAGUGGAGGAGGGAGAAGGAAGGAGGUGGUUCCGCGGUGUAACAGCCACCUAAUUAGUGCAAUAGUUUUAGCCAUGUCUAAAAAAGAGUAUAUUGUUAUCUGUAUAUUGUGCUACCGCGAAGGUAGUAGUGCAACAAAAGGCUGUAAAUGGUGUAACAUAUUUCUAAGUAGUGCAACAGUUUAAAGAAAAUGGUGCAACGAGCAUAUAACCAGAGAGAAAAUUUUCUUAAAUUAGAUGUAAUAAUUAAAAUUAAUGGUGUAAUAUUUGCAUUAAUGUAAAUUUUUAAUUAGAGGAAAUGCUGCAACGAGUUCAUAACCAGUGUAAAUUUUUCUCCCUAAAUGGUGACAACAUGAAGUUAAUAGUAAAAUUAGUAUAUAAAUUGUUUAACGAUGACCAAAACAGUGCAACAUUCUUUCCUAACUAGUAUAACAAAUCCCUAAGCAGUGCAAAAUUUUUCCUCUUUUGUUGCUACAAUGAAAACUUGCACUAAUUAAAACUGCAUAUUGCACUAUUUUAUAUUGGGUUGCACUAAUAAGUUUAAAAAGAACAAUCCAGCCAGUGUUCUAUUGUUCUGUUACACUGGUUGGAACUGCAUUGCACUGUUACGGUGAAUGUUGCACUUUUAUUACGACCGCAUUGCACUCUUAUAAGGUUAGUUACACUUUUUUAUCCCGCGUUGUAUUAUUUUUCACGAUUCACGUUGCACUAUUAUUGUACGGUCUUCUUUAAUCGUUUAGACAUUAUGUUGCACCUCUCAAACGCCGCCCCCUCCGCCGACCUGCCUGCCCUGCCGCCACUUCACCUACGUUUGGAGGGGACACCGUUCGUCGCCGUAGAAAAAUUUAAGAAAUUAUUUGCACUAUUAUCUUCAAAUUAUAUCACCAAAUACAAAAAAAAAUUGACUGGUUAUGGACUCAUUGCACCAUUUGCGUUAAAACAUUGAAUAGAUUGCACCAUUUUCUUUUAUUUAUUGCACAUAUUAGAUGAAUGUUACACUACGUCGAGUAUUUUGUUAAACUACUUCCUUCGAACCUUUUGUUGAACUACUAUUUUACGGGGGAGUGGGAGGUUGCCCUGGUGAGGGAGAAGAUUGAACGCCAGCGUCGCUCAUCUGAGUGGCGGAGAUUGCACUGGUGUGAGCCGAAAGAUGCACUGUUAGAAGAGCUGUUGCACCAUUUCUCGUCGUGUUGCUCCGUGGCGUUGUAUUAUUAUUCUUGUUGCGGGCUGCGUAGUUCUUGUCUUCUAGCUUCAGCAAAUUUAAUUUUUUAAAGUCGAACAGCAAACAGCGGUGCUGCCGAAUAGCGGGGCCGAUUUGGUCCGGAUUCCGAUGUGAGUAAGGUUGCGUGAAGCGAAUGGGGCACAUUUAAUGCCCAGCAGGACCGUAUGUUAGGUAUACGAAUCUCAGGAAAUACGCGAGCGGCGGAUGUAGACGAGGGGCAUUUUGAUCAGGCGGCUGAAAAUCCGCUCCGAAUAUGCAAAAUCGAAAAAAAUGGUCCACUUUUGCAAAAGCGCAAAACUAGUGGACCACUUUUGCAAAAGCGCAAAACUAGUGAAUUUUUUUAUGCAAAUUGGCCUAAAAAGUUUUUAUAAUAUAAUUGUUAUUCGGCCAAGUGAAUUUCUCUCUUAUUGUCAUAUAUUGUUGGUUAACUUAAUUAGAACGCAUCGAGAUUGAAUGAAGAUGACAACUCCUUUAAAAAAAGUCAAAUAACUGGAGAAAGAAAGAUACUUACAUGUUAUUUAUUUUUUGCUGCAAAAAUAAAUAACUUAGAAGUAAUUAAUUCAUCACCCACUUCUACACUCCUCUAUAUAGAAAUCUUAUUUAAAAAACAAAAAGGACAAUAAUUCCAAGCAACGCCUUCCGGUUUUAUUUCUUUUUUUAGUAAUUGGAUUACAUGCAUAAAUAGUGACAGUAAGUGUGCGAAGAUAGCAGAUCAAGUGGUUAAAAAUGGGACUAAAAGUAGAUAAUAUUGUUGUGUAUAUAUUCCAUUAGUGGCUUGGUUUAGUGAGUAGUAGCUCAAUUUGUUUUGCUCAUGGGAGCAAGAUGUACCGUGUAUUUUGUGGAGAAAAUGUAUUGAAUGAAAUUUUCUUUACUAACAAAUUUCUCUCCUAUUUAAGAAUUAAUUUGUUCAAUAAUACUUUUCAAGUUUUGAAUUAAAAAUUUGCUUCUUCUGCUUUAAAAUUAUUCCUUGUGUUAUAGUAGAAUAGUAUUAUGUGUUCACAAACAUAUGUUAAAAUGUGAGCUUCAUUUUCUACCAGCAUAAAGUAGGUACUGAAAGGAGGCAUAAACUCAACAACUAGACUAAGUCAGAUGUUUCUUUAUCUUUUUUGUUCUUUUUUCUGUGACUGACGGGUUGGGGGUUAAGCUAUAUAAAUAACUCUUGAACUUUAGUUUUUUUUUUUUUUAUAUAUAAAUAGCUAUAUAAACUUCUAAUUUUGCUAAUAAAAUCUUCUAAAGCUUAUGAGAUAGUUCAAUAGGCCCUCCUCAAUCGCAGUCGGUGGCUGAGCUCGGCCCACCCCUAAUUGUUUUUUUGAUAAAAAUUAGUAUAUGCACCUUAUGCAUGCAUAGAAAUUGUGCACCAUCCUCCUUUUCUCCCUCAUAAAAUAUAAAAAAUUAAAUGUAAAAUAAAUAGAAAACUUCAAAAAACCCCCUGUGGUUUCAUACGUUCUCACUUUAGUACCCUAUGGUUUAAAAUGUAUCAAUUUGCCCCCAUAUGGUUUUGUUUUUAUCUUUUCGGCAACUUUUUUCUUAAUAUUUCAUUAAAUUAUAUACAAAAAACUUCAGAUACCCACCUAGAUUUAUCGAAUAAUUACUUUAGUAUCCUUUAAUUUUAACUUUGUCACUGAUUGAAGAAAAAAAAAAUGAUAAUAAAAAGAGAAAAACGAAACCACAGGAGGGCAAAUUGAUACAAUUUAAGCUACAGGGUACUAAAGUGAGAAAGUGCGAAACAACGGAAGGGUUUUUGAAGUUAUCCCCAAAAUAAAUAAUUUUAUUUUUUAUAUAUAUACUUAGAUAUUUAUAAUUUAUAAUUUUUUAUAUAUUUAGAUACUUAUCUACUUAUCUAUCGUGCCCCUUUCUAUCUUUUCUUUCUCGCUCCGCCGCUGUUAAAGUUACUAAUUAUAUGACUGUUUUGAUCACAUGUUAUGAACAUAAUCUUGUAUUAUUUCAAAAUAUAAAGAAACUAACAGUUUUUUUUUUAUUUUGAUAAUUAAAAUGGCGAUUAAAGAAUAGAGUGAACAAAUAUUCAAUUUUCUUCACUUUUCUUUGAUAUGUUAGAGUAGGAGAAAUAAAUAUCUUCGUGUUUUAAAGCUUUAUAAAGUUACUAGCAAAGGUACGCAUGCAAUCAAAAUAAUUGUAUAAUUACUAAUUUUAGUAAAAACAAAGAGGCCUAUAUAUUAAUACUAUACUCCCUUAUAUAGAGAUUUUAUUUAAAAAAUAAAUAAAACAACAAUGCCGAAGAAGGCCUUUCUGUUUCUUUCUUUUUCUCAGUAAAUUGGAGUAAAAUGUGUAGCAAGUUACAGAGAAAAAUGAGAUAUGUUAAAUGGAGCUAGUUUUCUUCACUUGCAAAUUUUCUGCUUUUUUUAAAGUUUUUUGUAGCAAUACUAUUUAGCUGUGAAAAUUGUCAUAUUUUGAUUGACAUAUUAUAAGAUUACAACUCAAUAAGUAUUGUAGAUGUAGCAUUGCUCUUAUAUUUUUGCUAUUAGGUCCUAACCUUUAUAUUUUGUUGCAGUUUGGUCCAAAGCAUUAAAAUAUUUGUUAAUUUUGUCAAAAUAGGUCAUGUCAACUCCGACAAAGCCCUACUUAUUGCUUAUAUAUAUAGAUCACGACAAUGGUUGGGUAGCUGUUAAUCAAUCUCAACAUCAAUUUUUUUCAAAUUUGUGAAUUUGAAAAAGUCUGCUGAGAUGCCUAACUCAACAUCAAGGAUGCUGAAAACUCCAAUUAAUUAGUAGGCAUUAUUAAUUUGUGAGGUUGAGGUGAUUGUAUACAGACCGGCCAGAGGACAAUGUUAUUAAGGGCGUGAGAUUGAGUGCAUAUGGAAGAAGAGGUUAAUUAGAGAUCAAAGUGGAAAAUAAAAAAAAGAAGAAGAUAAACGUGAGAGGCCAAUGGUUCAAUUAAUCCUAUAGGUUAACAAUGGUGCAACAAUUGAUCCUUUCAAUUAAGUAACCUUCGUCUUCUACCAAUAUAAAACCAUUUUUGAGGCAGGAGGCAUGAGUGGGACGUGAACAGGGUGGCGCACAAGCAUAUAUAUAAUUCAUUAAUCAGGUCAAAGGCAACCAAUAUUAAUUGGACUCGGCCGUCUAUAGAUAAUUAAACACGUAUCUUGCACCAAUAGAUAUCAACUUCAAAAUUAAUUAAUACAUUCCAUAAACUUAAUUUAUCCUUGAACCAACUUGAUGAGUUAAUUAAUUUGACUUAACCCAAGUUCAAAAGAAGGCGCCAAGUUGACAACAAGUGCAUGAUUUUAAAACUGUUUGAUGAUUUUUUAGAUGCUUAUUUAUACUAUAGACCUGUGCCAAGGUCACAGAAACCUAGUUUUGGGGUUCUUCAUUGGAUCAGAAUAUUUUCAUGUGACUUAACGUGCUGUGUUGAGCCUCACCCAAGUUGACUUGAACUCAUGGUAUCAUUAAAUUGUAUAUGAGUUAUUCCUGAUUCAAUGAAUACCCUCUUUUUUUUUUUUUUGCGUUAAAAUAAGCUGUUUCUAUCUGAUCUCCGGCUUCAUUCAAUCAGGAAAAAUAGAUCAAAAAUAAAUAAAUUUUUUAGUUAUUGUUUGAUAUGUUGUCACAUACCCCAUCGGUAUGUUUAUGAGUAAUUAUUGUAUUGGUGCACUUCAGUAAGUAGGGUUUUUCCUAGAAUCAUAUCAGAUAGAACCUGAAUCUGGGCUUUUGUUCUUUAAUUUUAAAUUUCUUUUGACCCUGAAACUGGUAUAGUUUUUGGAUGAACAUUUUGAAAUGAUGAUCGAAUUUGUUUGGGAGAGGCUAGUUCUGCAGUUUCUCGAAUGCCGUUUAAAACCCGCAAAAGAUUUAAAGUUGAGGAGACUCAUGUCCCGAUGGUCAGGGUACUUACGGAUUGAGCUACUUAAUAAUAAUAAAGUUUUAAUGAGCCGAUUUUUAAUCUGUAACUUAAAACCAUAGAUAUCUUUACAUGAAUUGAAUUCUUUCCUUUUUUUUCAUUUUUAAUCUUAUUGUUAUUGUUUAAGAACAAGAGGAGCUUAGAAGAUGUCAGAGGAACACACGCAAAAGAAAUUUUUGUGCCAGUUCUCUCACGCCUGUUUGGACCAAUAAAAAGUUGGAACUGAAGCAUGCAUAGGUAUUACUAAAUUAUUUUCUGUACUAUUUUUUUUUUUCCAAAUACAUUAUUCUAUUAAUUAUUAUAUUGUAUUAAUUUCACACUGUAUUUUAGAUUUAUUUUUAGUUUUCUAUUUUGUACUAUUUUUUUCAUAGAUAUUACUAAAUUAUUAUUAAUUUUUCUUGCCACACUAUAAGCAAAAGUGAAUGUAGAGACGUAUAGAGUGUAACGAAAUAACGAGACCCACCAAUUCCAAACUCACUACCUCAAAUAAUGGAUCAAGAAACCACUAGCCUAAGAUCAUACCACACUAGAGAAGAAGAACAAGAACAAUGAAAAACAAGAAACAACUUUCUAUUCAUUAAAAUAAAAGAAUUCUCACACAUAAUUAGUAUAUUUUUUUUGAGAACGGUAGCACGCUAUCUGUUUCAUUUAUUACACAAAUAAAUUUAGCUACAUGGAGUGAGGCAGUUGGGACCUUAGAAGGGCGAAAAAGAAAAGGGACUGAAGAUCUCAAAAGAAAGACAAAAGAAAACCAAGACAAGCGUCACAACAAAGAACCUACCCAAUUAGUUUUUUUUUUUUUUUUUUUUUUUUUUUUUUUUUUUUUUUUUUUUGAGAGAGAGAUAGGUAGCACGCUACCUGCUUCGUUUAUUUCAUUUAGAAAUAAACUUAGCGGAAAAUGUGAAUCAACUAGGAUUCGAAUUUGGGUCUCGGAUACCAACCACCAAGUCCUUUGUCACUUGCUUUAAGGAUGGUCGGCAACCUACCCAAUUAGUUAAGUCCAAAAGAUGGUGAAAUACUUUUUUUUUUUUCUUUUUUUCUUUUUUUUGAGAGAGAUAGGUAGCAUGCUACCCGUUUCGUUUAUUUCAUAUAGAAAUAAACUUAGCUGGAAAUGUGAAUCAACUAGGAUUCGAACUUGGGUCUCGGGUACCAACCACCAUGCCCUUUUGCCACUUGCGUUAGGAACGGUCGGUAUGGUGAAAUACUAUUAAAUUCAUAUGUUCUCAUAAAGUGCAUACAUGCUACUCAUAUAAACUAGGCUAAAUUACAUAAAAUUUUCCUGUCAAAACUCGAUUUUUCACUUUCCCCCCCUGUCAUUUAAAAAUCUACACUUUACCCUCUUGUAAAAUGAAAAAUGUUCACUUCACCACCUGCCGUUGGUGAUUUGUUAAGGUUUCGUUUAUAAAAUAUUAUUAUAUAUUUUUUUAUACCAAAAAUGUCCUCAGUCUUCUCUUCUGUUGUCAAAAAUAGUGAGGGGCAAAAUGGUCAUUUUGUCAUUACAGUUUACACCGUACCCCCUGUGAUCAUUUUUCAUUCUACAAGGGGGCAAAAUGUAGGUUUUUAAAUGACAGGAGGAAAAAGUGAAAAAUCAGAUUUUGAUAGAGAUGUUUUAUAUAAUUUAGCCUAUAAACUAAGAUAAUUGGUGGGUUUAAGAGAUUAGCUCCUGAGUCCAGAAUAUAAAUGUGAAAGGGUGUAAAUUAAAGGUUGAAAAGUGUAAUAUAUUUUUGAAUAGUUGUUAAGAGUUGGAAGGUGUAGAUGAAGGUCAACAUAUGUGCAGGAAUGGUUUUGGACUAUGUGAGUUGCAUGAGAAAAUUAUAAGGACACAUGCAAAAAUAUAAUUUAUUUAAACAAAAGAAAAAUAAAAAAUUUAUUUUAAAAUUUAACAUAGAGGUGCAUGUUUCUUGACGUCACCUCUGCAUUAUCAUGUUAGAGACAGUUUAGAAGUAAUUUUUAAAGGCCACCUCUAAAUCUGUUUAAAAAGAAAGGGAAAACUUCAAAUACACCUUCUGUGGUUUUGCACAUUUUCAUUUUAGUAUCAUGUGCAUUAAAGUGUAUCAAGUUAGUACCCUGUGGUUUCGCACUUUCUCACUUUAUGUAGUAACCUAUGGUUUUAAGUGUAUCAAGUUAGUAUCCUAUGGUUUCGCACUUUCUCACUUUAUUACCUUGUGGUUUAAUAUUUCGUUAAAUUAUAUGCCUCGAAAUGGAUAAUAAAAAGAAAAAAUUGAAACCACAGAAUACUAAUUUAAUACAAAAAUGAAACCAUAGGGUACUAACUUGAUACACUUGAAACCACAAGGUACUAAAGUGAGAAAUUGCGAAACCACAGAAUAUUAACUUAUUUUAAACCACAGAAUAUUAAAGUGAGAAAGUACGAAACCACAUGAGGUAUUUGCAGUUACCCUCAAUAAGAAAAAAGCAAAAGACAAAAAAAAAUUCUAAACCCUACUAAACCCUCUCUUUUUUUAACCCCACGGGCUGCCUAAUCCCAAUCUGCCCCAGACACUACCACACCGAGGCCGCACCUCCCCUUCCCCCUCAUUGUCUUCGUGUGCUGAAGAAGCAAGUGAUAAGGUCAAUCUUAAUUACUGGCACUUUGAUCCAGUUAGUUAGUUUCCGUUUCAGCUUCAAGGCUCCGGAAGAUCGAAGUCAGAUAUUUACAAUGGCCGCUGCAGUUGCAGGCGAGGAGAGCGGCGAACAACAACGUUUGGACUAUAAGUUGCUCAAGGCAUUGCAGAGAGGGGACAAGAGAACCGUCGAAAGCUUCUUCCCGCAAGAGGCAUCAACGGCCAUUGAUCUUCGUGGUGCAGAUAAUAAUAAUGUUAUCGAUGAUGGGGCAGGACGCGGGAGUUCGCGGGGAGUUACCAAAGGCGGAAACUCAGCCCUCCAUAUCGCGGCUGAUUUUGGGCACAUAGAAUUGGCGGAGUUGAUCUGCUCCAGAGAUAUCUCCCUCCUAGAGGGACGCAAUGCAACGCUCGAGACGCCGCUGCACUGCGCUGCAAGGGCCGGGGCAGAUCAAAUUAUAGAAUUCUUUAUCUCGAAAGCCCACCAAUUGGGGGUGGUGGAGGCGGUGCUGCGUGCCACAGAUCAGGAAGGGAAAACUGCAUUACAUGUGGCGGCCGAAGAAGGUCGUGUGGCGGCUGCAACAAAAUUGAUGUCUGAACUUCCUGGGCUGGCAGCUAUCGUCGACGACAAUGGUGUAUCUCCACUUUAUGCUGCCGUGCUGUCAAAAUCGCUCGAAAUUGUUCAGAUCUUGAUAGGAUCCAGAUCGGAGGCAUCCUAUGCCGGACCGAACGGGCAAACUGCACUGCAUGCAGCCGCCAUCAUCGAAAGCCAGGGUAAUCGACCUGCAACUCAUGCCCUAUUUUAUAUAUAUAUAUAGUCCGGCUGGAUACUAUUGAUAGUACCAAGGAUUUGGUGCUAUCGAGUUUUCCACCGUUAAUUAGAUUUAACCCUCUAAUUAUUUUUACUUUUUAGAUUAUACUAUUCAACCAACCACACACUCAACCCUAAAGGGCCCACAUCGUUCUAACCGCACAUCUUUUAAUCUAAGGGCGAAAAACUUAAUAACACCAAUUCAUUGGUACUAUUAAUAAUAUUCCAGCCUAGUUCUAUAUAUAUAUAUAUAUAUAUAUAUAUAUAUAUAUAUAUAUAUAUGUGUGUGUGUGUGUGUGUGUGUGUGUGUGUGUAUUGAGUUGAGCUGGAAUACUAUCGGUAGCAAACGAGCUCUGUUGCCAUCCAUUCAUUUUCGAUGAUUGAGCUUUCAAAUCGACGAUUGACGCCAUUGAAUAUGAUCUAUACCACUUAAAGUAUCUAAAAACCAAAUUUCAAAUAUUUUCGACAUUAUUAACCUAAUGAUUAAAGGGUUUCAAAAAUUGUAAUUUUAAUGGUAAAUAUAAGGCAUUUUUCGUUUAACGGUAUAAAACUAUUCAAAUCAAUUGAAUUUUCGUUAGAAAAUUCUUUAAACUAUUUAGAAUAAGGUCUAUACUCUCGAUCUUUAUUAUAAAAUUUCUAUCAUUACUUUUUAGAGAAUAUUCAUUUUCAGCCGUUCAUUUUUAUGCCCACUUGAUGAACAAUAGAACAAUAUCGAAAAAGCAUGAAAUUUGAUUUCUAAAUACUUCAAGUGUUGUAGAUCAUUUUCAACGGUGUCGAUCGUCGAUUUGGAGGCUCCAUCAUCGAAAACAAAUAGGUGGCAACGGAGCCCGUUUGCUACCGAUAGCAUUCCAGCUCAACUCUCUCUCUCUCUC